AUGAACUGAAAAUAUCAUUAAUUUAUAAUUGAUAAAUUGAUAAUCGAUUCUUUUGGGAUAUGUCAAUCCCGAAUCUAUUAUUCCAUUUAUUUAUUAAUUAUCAUAAAAACAUUUAUUAAAUGUGUUGUCGUCCAACUCUUUCCAUGAAAAGGAAAGGUUGUGAACCACCACAUUUGAUCAUGGACAAAAGGUAAUCAAAUAGUUGCCUCCACUAGGACAAGUAAACGUGCUCGAUUUAUCAUCAUAAGCAUAACUGUAAGCUUGAGGACACUGCUGCUUGAAAGUCAUCGAAUAUUGGCUAGGUUUACAUUUGUCAGCAUUAUUGUACUCUCCUGUGCAGCAGUACUGCGGCUGGUUAAAUGCCAAACACGCGCUCUUGCAGGCAAUCACAGUCCCAUCUGAACCCUUCACUUGUAAACUAGGAUCACAAACAGCAUUCACGUUAGCUGCACAGCUUGUAGAAGGGCAGCCAGUAGAACCUCCUUGCGGGGUUAUCGAAAUCGGGAUGUUAAAGCCAUCAACAAGGCUUAUAUCGUAAAAAUCUUUCCCACCAUCACCUCUUAGAGUAAAUUCUGCCAAGGAUGCUGGUGGGAUCGCACCGGCUCCGUUGCAUUCUACGACGCCAGAGGCGCAGUCAGCUGUAGCACAAACAAACUUUCCCGAGGCAUCUGUAGAGCAUUGCGUUCUGGCCCACAAGCGGCCAGACCAUGUUGCAGGGACACUCAGCGAAGAUGAAGCACCCGUUGCCAAUGUGAAGCCAGUUGGAGAUAAAGACGGACGGCCAGCAGCCGUUAGCGUUCCUGGCCAGACUGUGUAUGGACAGUUGUUUUUGAAGUCGAAAGUCACAGAUUGAGCUCCUGCAUGCGUGCAAGCUGCGCAAGAUUUAUGUUUGUUGAUAUCAAUAAUUAAAUCUUGGUCGAUUCAAAGAAAAUAUAUAUGCAAGCUGCGCAAUAUUGCAUAUGCAAACAGAAAAUAUAUAUGUAAGAGCAAGGAGAAUAAUCAAAGUGAAUAAUAUGCAUAAUAGAGUUUUCCAAGCAAGAAUCUAAUAUAUGUAAUAUUGUAAAACUACUUGCCAUAGAGGAAGAUGACGAGGGUGAAGGUAAUUAUAGCAAUGGGCAUACGACUCUCCAUUGCCGAUCGAGAUGCGUCGAAUUAACACUUUUUCAGUAUCUUUUAAGAGAUUUGAGGUAAGAAAGAAACACUCUAUAUUUUAAAAAGAUUGUGUUUGCCACUUAAUAAAUAGUGUUAAAUUUGCAGACUAGUAAACAGCCAAACAGUGGAACACGUGAAAAUUAAGAAGAGAAAGAAGAAAAAAAAGAAGAAAAGUCUGUUACUGCCAAACCAAACAACCAUCUGCCAGCCAGACGCAUUGUCUUAUUCGAUUAUAGCUGUACGAGGAAUCUUAAUUUUUAAAUAUAAUUUAUAUUAUUUUUUAAUAUAUUAUUUUAAAUAAAAAAAUUUUAAGCUUAAAACUUGCAAAGCUAAUAUUAUAUUGAUGAGAUUCAAACUCAUAAAUGAUUGGUCAUUAAAAUUCUGAUACCAUAUUAAAAAAUUAAUUCAAUCCAAAAACUUAAUAUACUAAAUUAGAUUUCAAAUAUACUUUAUAUUAUUUUCUAACAAAAAUAAUCCACCACAAAAAAAUACCCAACGAAAUAUACAAAUGCCCUUGAUUUGAACCAUAAGUGACUAACUAGAUAUCUCAAUUAAUGAGAAAGUAAACAGCCAAUUAGAGGAACGCCCUGCUUCCCACGUCUCAUGAAAGCAAUUGGAUGCAGGAAUUGGGCCAUACUCACAAGAAAAUUGAUUUACACCCGACAUACCGUCAUAGUACUUCGUAAGUGUAAAAGCUAUAUUUUUGUGUCUAUAAAUAUCGGUAGAUUUUUUUAUGAAAUAUCUUGUUAAUAAAUAUUAAAAUAUUUAAUAUUAUAAUACAGAGUAUAUACCUAUUUAAUAAUUUUUUUAUUUGAAUAAAUUUGUAUUUAACCAAAAGAUUAUCCGUGCCAAAAAAACGAUGUCUACCCGAUAUAAUUUAUUUUUAUUUUAUAUUUUAAAAUAUUAUAAAAUGAGCACCACUUGUUUAUAAUAAAUAAAUUAAUUAAAUUAAAUUAAAAAAAUGUCUAAAAAAAAGAAAUUAAAAAAAAGAACAAAUAAAUAUACUCCAGGUAUCCCGAGUCAUUUUCAAAAUCAGUGAAAAAUCCUAUAGGAAUAAAAUAAAAAAAUUCAAUAGAGCCUAAUAUCCAAUUAAAUAAAUGUUAAAUGAUGAAACUGAAAUAAACAUGAGCUUAAAAAAAGAAAAAAAACCAAGCAAACUCGGGAAAGCCUCCUAAACCUGAGUUAGUUUCUAAAACUUACAACUCAUGAAAUCCUAGACUUAAGCUUGAUUAAGAAGUAUAAUUCUCAAUUAAUCUAAUGUUGAAUAAUGAAAAUAGGAAAAAAAUCAAUUUAAAAAAAUUGUAAAAGUGAAAUAUCAAAAGAAUAAGGAUUAAAUCUGAUAGGAAAAAAAAACUUAUGAAGGAUGAUAUUGUAAAAAAAAUCAAAUUAAAAAAUUAUCUCAAACAAAAAAAUAGCAAUCAAAAUAAUAGGGACAAAAUUUGAAAGAUAAAAAAACUGAAAGGGGAUGAAAUUGUCAAAGAAUUCCUAUUUAAUGAAUUAUUCCAAACAAAACAAACAAUGAUAAAAAAAACAUCACCAAAUCCAAAGGAAUAACAAAUUGAAGGCGUGCUUUGAAAUUUUGAAGGGGCAUCAAUGGGAGAGUAAAUAAGAGAAAGAAACGGUUGUCUGCACAAAACCAAACAACUAGUUCACUUGGUCUUACCAAAUGGUCGAUCGGAUCAACUUAAAUACUAGAUUUUGAUAAUUUGAACCUGUCGAAUCUAGAACUGAUACUAAUCUUAUAUACAUGUAGAGUGAAGUGUUUGAGUUCAUUUUAAUUAUGCUGUUAAUAUAAGAUAUAAAGAUUUACAUAAUCACUAAAAUGAACAAUUAAUUCUUAGUCUUCACUCGUUUUGCAUCUUGGACAUCUUUAUUGAUUUUUUCAUGACAUCCUUCAUGCCAAGGUUGUCAAUUCUAUUUCGGUAGGUGUUUCGUUUUUUCAAUUGGAAUGGAAUGUUUCAGUUUCGGAGUGUUUUGGUGUGCCGUUUCGGAGUUGUACUGUUCAUAUAUAUAUAUAUAUAUAUAUAUAUAUAUAUAUUCAACAAACAUAAUUCAAAUUCAAGAUAAAUUAAUUAUAAACUAUGAAAUACAAACACAAUGCCAAACAAAUAUAAUUUCAAAAUUUAAAAUAUUUCUAAAUAGUCAAGAUUAAAUAGAUCUUUAACUUAAAGUAAUUCAACUUAACAAAAAUAUUUAAAUAUAAAGUUAGGUCAAUGUUAUCAAGUGGCUAAUGGAAUCUAAAGCAUCCCUUGUUUUGCUCAAAUUCCUACAAAGUAUAAACAUGAAAAAAAACAACAUGAAUAUAAACCAUAUAUAUUAGUGAUAAAUCUAAUUUUAAAAAAUUAAUAUCAUUGUUAAUGAAAAUAGUAAUAAUAAUUUUCAAUAUUAUUAUUAAUAUCAUUGCUAUUGAAAAUAGUAAUGAAAAAGAGCUUUUUAUAAUCGGGUGGUUUAAUUAAUGAAAUUGACCAAGGUUCAAUUUCAUUCAUUGGCUUUUCAAGAGCGGAACGGAACAUGUGUAAUGAAACCGGAACGUUUCGGACGGAAUUUAACCGAAAAAUCCGGAACGGACCGAGAUUUAAAUUGAGAUGAAAUUUGUUCCGUUUUUUAAAUUGGUAUGGAAUGUUUCGGCCAUUCCAGGCGGAACGGAACGGAAUUGACAACCUUGCUUCAUGCUUGUUGAUGUCAAAACUUAUUUUUGGGCUAUUCCCCAAAAUUUUUUACCUUAUUCCUUUUCAAAAUAAAAAUAAAAUAAUAAACAAUAAUAGCAAGGAGACUAGUGAUGUGAAAAAAGCUGAUUGAGGAAGGAUUUUGAAUAUAGAAAAAUUAAAGUUUUUUGGUCAAUCAAAGAUUGCAUUAAUGAAAUUUUCAACCAAGGACCCUUUAAAAAAAAGGCAAUUAGAGACUUGAUUGAAGAAAUCCAAAACCAAGGACCAAACUAGAAAAGACACAUAAAUAUAGGGGUUGAAAUUGACUGAGUCAGGGACCAAAUUGAAGAAAUUGGAAGUUUGUUGAUGAAUUGAAGGUCAUAAUGCACAAAUUCAAAACUAAGGAUCAAAGUGAAAAGGCAACCAACUUCAGGGCUGGCAUUUGAAUUUGACCAAGAUGCAAUUGAAUUAAUUUUUAAAAUUAAAAUUUGAAUUAAGCACUUUGUUGUUGCCCAAUCUUGGACCCAUAUUUUUGAUAAAAUAUUGAAAAAAAAUCCAAAAAAUAGCGAGAACAACAAAAAUCCAAAAAAACUAUAUUUUUAAUAUAUUUGCAUCGUUUUUAGUAUUUUUCAGCCUCGUCUCAAUAGAAUUUAAAUUUUCAAAGGUCUUUCGAACACAUUCGAGUUUUCAUGCGUCAUUUUUAAAAUCAUUGAUUUUCCUCGUUGAGUCGACGUUGAUAUUGCUCGUUUUUAAAAAAUACAAAAAAAAAAAAAAAAUCAAAAUUUACAAAAAAUAAAGAAGUUGAGGGACCAAUGUGUUAUGGAGACCAAGCCACUUUGCCUAUAAAUAAAGGUCACAACACACAUAAGAAGGGGGAGGCAAUUUUCAAAAAAGGGGAGGCAAACACAAAAAACCCUAAAGAUAAAAAAACCUAAACCCAUCUCUAUCAAAACUAGUUGGCGCCCCCUCUCUUUUGGACAAAACUAGAGAAACAAAGCCAAACCCUUUCCAUUUGAAAACAAAACUAGGGCCUCUUAGUCUCAACUCUCAUCAGCUAAAGUUUGCCACCCCUCAGUCAAAAGAUCCACACCUCUCUCAUUCUCCUAGCGCACCCCCGUCUUAAACGACCGCCUUCAUUAUCAGCCACAACAAUGUUGUUCUCAUUGGAGAUCCAAUAUCCUAUACACGGCAGCGCUUGGGCAGCAGUCUAUUCUCCACAACAAAGCAAGCCUAACAAAUGACAACAAUGAGAGCCCCAUGGACAAAUUUGUAGUGAAGCAUAUCUAAAAAAGAGAUGAAGAGAAUAGAUCUGAAAAAAGAAGAAGAAAGAAUCAGAAAGUUUGCUUAUGUUUUUCUUGUUUUGCAGGUCACCACUAGCGAGGAAAGGAAGAAGGGAGUAAGCUAUUCUAGAUCCCAUUGUUUUCUUGUUCUUCCUCAUGGCGAUGCGUGAAUCCAUGCGCUGCUAGUGGCAAUGGCGUGUUGAUUAGUACUUAAAACUUUAGUGCAUUCUCAUUAAGGCUUCAUAUCAUCAUAUUGCACCUAAAGUCUUAUAAUAUAAGAUAGCUUUAGUUUAUGGUAAAUACUCAUUUUAAAUGCACGUUUAUCCCACAACUCAAAGGAUUGAUUGAUGUGAUUAACUAUUAAAAGUGAAGAGACAAAGAGAGGACUAAACUUAGAGAAGAGAUGCUGGUUCAAUUCAAACUGAAAUACCAUUCGGUUAUUGGAUCAUACCUAGAGUUGUAGAACUUGGAUUUAGGUUUGGUUUAUCUUGAUAGAAAGCUAAGACAUAGGCCUAAAAUGUUCAUGAAAAGUCCAAGAUUCAAAUCUUUCAUUUUUAAGUUCAACUUUUAGCAUUGACACGACUAAAAGAUUGAAGUCUUCUCCCAAGUGCAGGAGUGUUGAAGUAAUUAAUAACCAGGCAAGACCGGGGUUGAACCAUAUGGAGGUUAACUAUAUAAAUUAUAAAUAACAAGAACAAGAACAACAACAAUAAUAAUAAGAAGAAGAAGUUAAAGAGGACUUUAAGAUAUUUGAUUAAUAUGAGGAUUAAACAAUGAUAAAAAUAAAUGUCAAGGUUUGAGGAUCCACUAAUAGUAUUUCAAACAAAUAUAGUAUAAACUCUUUUUAUUACUCAACUGGAAACCACACACAAAGAAGAUUCCAAUUGGAUGAUUUUUCAUUAAUACCUCAUUAUAAAUUGUUAACAUGAUCAUAUUAAUUAUCUUAUUUAAGUAACACCAAACUUUUAAAUAUUGUCAGGAAUUCAUGAUGCUAACUUAUAUUAACAACAAAUCAAGUUCCUUUCAUAGCACAUGUGUAGGUUAUAUAAUACGGUUGGGCUAUGAAAGUGCCAAGCCUUUGUUGUACCAAGUGUUAUACAACACAAAUCUAGAUUAACCAUUUAACAAGCAAGGUAUUAAGAAUUAAUAAGAUAAAAAUAAUAAGACAUGUUAAUAACAAGUUGUUUAGGAUAUAAGCAUUGAAGUCUAUAUUGAGUUUAUAUUAUACUUAUUCUUACACCAUUAGUGUAACCUUUUCACCUUGACAUAAUAAACUUAGCUAAACAUAAUGAAGAAGAGAAACAUGAAUAAACAAGAUAAGAAUAUAAAUAAUAUACAAGUUAACUAAGUAAAGGAAAGGAAAUGAAAAGUAUAAACAAGAUAUUAAAGAAAGCAAAACUUAAGCAUUACAAAAAUAUAAAGAGAGAGAGCAAGAGCAAGAUCUUGAUUUGAACAACCAAGAUGCCUAAAUGCAUGGCAAAUGCCUCCUUUUAUAGGCCAAAAAUUGGAACUAUUGAUUUGAUGACUAAUUGUUGAGUGGGUGGCCACAUCUUGACUUGGUGACAAUCCUUAUCUUAUUGUCUGAACAAAACAUCAUUGAUAACGUCAGAAUUUGAACAAACUUAACACACAAAAGUUCUAGGAAAUUGUCUCAACUUUCCAGGAAAAAACAAUUAAGGUCAUUUGGACUUUUAGAACUUGAGAUAUGGACUGAAAAUGGAACAGUGUCUUGGUUGCAGGACAGAUUCGGACUUCUCUGUUGUUGUUACAAUUUGAACUUGAAAACAACCUUUUUGAAUCUUGAACUCCUCAUGAAAGUUUUAGGUAUGUUUUAGCUUUUCAUCCAUAUAAAGCAGGCAUAAAUCCAAGAUCUAUAGCUCCAGAUAUGACCAAAUGACCGAACAAUAUUUCAGUUUGGUUUGAACCAUAUUUCUUUUCUAACUUUGGCCCUUUCUUUGUCUUUUAAACUCCAGUAGUUAAACUUAUCAAUCAAUCAUUUGAUUUAUGUGAUAGGCCUGCAUUUAAGAUGAACAUUUACCAUAAAUUAAAGGUAUCUUAUAGUAUCAAACUUGUUAUUAUAAAAUAUGCUUUUGUUAAGGAGUUAUUGAUACUUCAAGUGCAAAAUAAUGAAAUAAAACCUUGAUAAAAAUGCACUUUUAAGUACUAAUCACCCCCCCAACCAGCUUAUUACUAGUCCCUAGUAAUCAAAGAGUUAAAAAUAGAAAUGUUUUUUGCAAGUUCCACAAAGCAAGGCAUUCAUCAUUCAACUUCCAUUAAUCUAUCCAAAUAAACAAAUUCUCAUUAAAUUUAUAGAUAUCUACUCAAUACCUCUUAAAUAAAAUAUUAAUAAGCCUUCCUUUUUAUGUGCUUAAUGUAUGAAAACAUAGAUGAUGGGGCUUUUAUUGGAAGAAAACAAUAUUCUGUUCUAAUAUUUAAAGUUGACUUUCUUGGGUUGGGAUUAUUAUCUUUUUUUAAUACAUAUACAUAACUUAAAACACAAUGCAUCUUUAACCCAUGUAACGAGCUUUACUAAUGACUCCCAGACCAGUUGGUCUUAAGGCAUUAGGUGUUAAGACACCCCUACGAGCUUAGUAACUCGGGUUGCAAAUAUGAUAUAUACAUAGUGUAAUGUUUGAUUCCCUUAAGCUUUUCUUCUCAACCCAUGUAACAAGUGUUAGGCCAAAAGCUCCCAAGUCAGUUGACUUUAGGGUAUUAUGUGUUAAAACACCCCUUCAAGCUUAAUUGCUUAGGUUAGGGAGGCUACGCAACCAAACUUAUCUACUUUUUAUUAUCAUCAAUAUAAUCAAUUUGUUUUUUUUUGUUUUUUUUUUUUUGCAAAUUAUAUACUAUCCCUUUCCUUUAGUUGCUACCUUUAACAAAAGAACAUAAAUAAUGUAAUAAUCCAAUGUGCAACCCACAAUCAUAUGUUAAAGUGUGUGUGUGAAAAUAAAGGUUUAAGAAUACUUGUUAAAUAAGUAUAUGAGCAGAAUUAAUUGAUGAUAAUGGAGAGUUUAUAAACCUGAAUAUUUCAAGAAGUAUUUUGAUAGACCUUGUUAAGAAUGUUAACUAAGAUGCGUUUUAAGAGUCACUUUAACAAAAGAACUCAUUUGCUUUGCCAUCCUAGUAACAACAGUUUUGCAAAUGUUUUAUGAAAUAGAAAACAAAAUUAGUUUUUUUUUUUAAUAUCAAUCACUACCCUUUCCCCCCAACCAAAACGAGAUAUUGUCUUUAAUGUCUUAAGGUAGAAAGAUAGAAUAUAGAAGACAUUACCUGAAACAACGAACAUUGACAAUCCUGAAACACACUUAAAUAAAUAUAAGAAAAAAAAAAUAAUCUGUUAUUAAUAAAACCAGAAGAAACAAGGUUUCACAAAUGAAGGCUCAAAUCCAAUCUAAGAUUUUUAUGGCUUUCCAUAGUUGACCAAUUUAUGCGACUCAUGGAGGGAUCAAUUACAGGAUAAAAGAUUGUAGUUGGUUAAUCAACUGUUCAAAUUACAGAGAUCAUGAUUUGUCGUGCCGAAGAUGUUAGGAAUUUUUGUUCCACAGCAUGAUCAAGAAAAGACAACAAAUUAUCAUAAAAACCAUUAACAUUUAACAGACCUAUGAGUUUAUAGUGAAUGUGCAGUUGGGCCCAAGAGGAAAUAUGAAAGAUCUCUUCCAAAUGUCCAGACCUCCUGGUAAGGCAAUGAAGGCAUCAACAUGGUUACAUUGUAUUCAGUCGAUCAGACAUUGUGGACUUGUAGUUCCUCUCCAAUUAUUUUUUCAAUGAUGUCCCUUUUUGCUAAAGCUUUGGGGACGACCCUCAAAACUUGAUUACCUCCUAAAAAUAUAGCUAUUGACACACCCCCAUUCACUAAAUGAAUCUUUCUCUCAGCUAGUACCUGACCAAGAUGAUUUGCUGAUUCUAAAAACUCCUUUUCUUUCCCAGGAUUAGAUCCACUGAAAACACAAAUAUUUCUUAUGUGAUGACUUGAGGAACCUGCCAUUUCUACACACUUCUACAUCUGUUCAAUGUAUGAGUUGAGUAGAAAUGAAGGGAAGAAAGAGAAGAUUUUAUAGAUGAGAAAUUAAAAAUGCAAUCAUACCACCUAUAUGUAGACCAAUUAUAGUCUCAUUCUCUCUCUCUCUCUAUUGAUUUUUUUUUUUAAUUUUAAAAAAGCAUGAGUAUGUACAUGUAGUUGUGAUUGUGGCUCACAUCUUCCCUUAGUUUUACAUCCAAGAAUGGCUUAAAUGCCCUCUAUGGGCCAGGGAUAAGCUUCCCAUCCAGUUCUUAAAAACUGGCAAACAAGGUCUUUUUUAGUCAGAUUCCCAAGACUAUGUUGAGCAUGUUUUUUAUGGAAUUAUGGCCAUAAAUCAUGAAUCACACAAUGAACAUCUCCACUAGGGUGCAUCUCAAGAGUCAAUAGAAGAUUAUCUAAAGACCCCUUACUCAGGCCAUCCUUAAUGAAUUGUAUUUUAUCUUCAUGGUUUACAGAUACUAUUUCUAAAGAAUGACAUGUUGCAUUACAAGUCCAUCUGGCACAUCUGUGACAUACUUUUAGUCGUUUUGCAUAUGUUUCUUCGCAAAAGUGCUUUUACCUGUUCCAAGCAUGUAUGAAAUGAAAGAAUUGGAGGACUCACCUGAUAAUCGGACCUUUGCUUCAAUCAGCCAGUGAAUAUCUUCAGGAAUUCCAUGAUUCAUUAAGAACCUCAAUCUUUCACACCUAGCAUGGUAAAUUUUUGCAAUCGCAUUUGGAGGCAAAGCGGGAAAAUACUUUUUCAAUUUUUCAAGAGUAGUGUCCAUUUUCAAAUGAAAAUUAGAGACGAGAUGCAAAGAAAGGAGAAAGAGCAAAGAAUUGCAUAAUUACAUACACAUAUAUCAGUUAUCAUGGGAAACUGAAAGAAUCGACUUAAGAGUCACAUAGUACCGUUAUCUGUCAUUUGAUCGGGGUGAGAGAAACUAGCAAAAUAGAAGUCACACUGAAAAGAAACACAAAAACAAUGUGAGAAAAAGAAUCAAUCUUUAUAUACAGGAUCACCCAAUUUAAUAGAGUCAUUUUCAAUUGAAAGAUUGUCAAAGUAAACUUUCAAACGAUGUCCAUUUACCUUGAAAACAUUACCAUUUUUUGGAUUCUCGAUAUCAUAGGCCCCAUAUGGAUACACAUGUUUCACAAUAAAAGGACCGCUCCAUCUUGAUCUUAGUUUUCCAGGAAAUAAAUUGAAUCAAGAAUUAUAAAGCAAGACUUUUUGACCAACAUUGAAUGUUUUUCUCAAUAUUUUCUUGUCAUGAAACUCUUUGAUUCUUGUUUUAUGGCCGAAGAAGAUUUUCUCAAAUUUUUGGCUUGUUUAGAAAACUUGACCGAAGAAGAUAACCAGUCAAUUCAUAAUGAGAAUAAUCGUGUUAGAACACUUGUACCCACUUGUAUAAGAACAAGUGCAUUGAAUAAGAACAAGUGCACCAUCAUGUAUAAUUUUUCCUCCAGAUGCAUCUAAUUUUAAUUUUAAGCCAAGUAUCAUUAAAAUUUUACCCACUUUUCAUGGCUUAGAUCUAGAAAAUCCAAACUUGCAUUUGAGAGAAUUUAAAGAAGUUUGUAACACUUAUAAUGACUUAAAUUGUAGUAUGAAUACCAUCAGAUUAAAGCUUUUUCCCUUUUUCAUUAAAAGAUAAAGCUAAAACAUGGCUAUAAAAUCUUAGGUCAGGAUCUAUUCGUGCUUGGGAUGAAAUGCAACAACAGUUUUUAAAGAAGUUUUUCCCUUCUCAUAGAAUAAACUAUUUCAAAAGAUAAAUUGCCACUUUCACUCAAAAACCAAGAGAAAUAUUUUGCAAGUGUUGGGAUAGGUAUAAAGACUUGCUUAAUACAUGUCCUCAUCAUGGUUUUGAAACAUGGAGAUUGGUUUUCACUUUUUUAUGAAGGGUUAACACUUAAAGAUAGACAAAUGGUGGAAUUGAUGGGUAAUAUAACUUUUGAAGAUAAAGACCCUGAUGAAGUAAUGAAGUACCUAGUACAGGCAUUUGUGAGGCACUAGGUAAAAUUCAACCUCAUACAUCUAGUGGAGGCAUGUACAACCUUAGGGAAGAUCAUGAUAUCCAAGCCAAAUUUGCAUCCUUAGCUAGAAAAGUCGAGGCACUGGAAUUGAAAAAGAGUGGUUAAUUAAAAUCUAUUCUAGAAAUUGUGUGUCAAAUUUGUGAAACUAAUGAACACUGAACCAAUAAGUGUCCAACUUUGCCUUCUUUUAAGGAAUGUCUCCAUGAACAAGCCAAUGCUUCAAACAAUUUCCAAAGGCUAAAUCAUAACCCAUACUCAUAAACGUACAACCUUGGUUGGAGAAUUCACCUAAAUUUUAGUUGGAAGAGUGGUAACAAUAAUUCAUAAACUUCACAACCACCAUUUUAAGCACAACAUAAUUUUCAAAAUUCUCAUGAAUAUGCACCUCCUUAUACUCCCCUUCCUAAAAGAAAUCUUGAGGAAACUUUGCAUGCAUUCAUUGAAAAGCAAGAGACAAGCAACACUCAAAAUGCUCAAACUAUGGCUGAUUUGAUAGAUACUCUUGCAAAAUUCACAUCUACUCCCUGUUUUUAGGAGAAAGGUAAGUUUCUAUCUUAACCACAACAAAAUCCUAAAUGGUAAUACAAUUCUAGUGCGAGUAGCUUCGGAAGCCAAUAUAUGGAUUGAGUCAAAUCAAUCACUACUCUCCAAAAUGGUAAGGUUAUUGAAAAACCUAUUCUUGAACCUUGUGAGAAAGAUGACGAGUUAAUCUCUGAGGGUAAGGAAAGGGUUGAACCUGAACAUUGCAAGGAAAAGACUGAUUCCCCAUCAGCACUUUCAUUUCCUCAUGCCAUGUCCAAACAAAGAAAAGUUAAUCACAAUUAUGAAAUCUUGGAAAAUUUCAAGCAUGUAAGGAUCAAUAUACCUAUGUUGGAUGCUAUCAAACAUGUACCUUCUUAUGCUAAAAUUUUGAAAGACUUAUGCACCGUGAAGAGAAAAUUGAAUGUGAAAAAGAAAGCCUUUUUAGCCGAACAAGUAAGUGCCAUUCUUCAAAACAAUAAUGCUUUGAAAUAUAAAGACCCUGGUUGUCCAACAAUUUCAUGCUUUAUUGGAUAACAUAAAAUUAAAAGAGCUUUACAUGAUUUUAGAGCUAGUGUGAAUUUACUUCCAUAUUCAGUUUUUCAAAGUCUUAAUCUAGGUGUGUUAAAACCAACUUCGGUAAAUUUUUUACUUGUUGAUAGAUCUGUAAAAAUUCCUAGAAGAAUAGUUGAAAAUGUGUUAGUAUAAGUUGAUAAAUUCAUUUAUCUUGUGGAUUUAAUUGUCUUGGAUACACAACCUGUUGAAGCAUGUAAUUCAAUUCCAUUUAUUUUAGGACAUCCAUUUCUUGCAACUCUAAUACAUUGAUUAAUUGUAGGAAUGGAGUUAUCUUUUGGAAACAUGACAUUGAAGAUGAAUGUUUUUAACAUUUGCAAGCAACCUAGAGAUGAUAAUGAUUUAUAGGAAGUGAACUUUAUUGAAAAAUUAGUUUAUGAUCAAUUUGAAAAAAACUUCAAGUGAAACUAAGUUUAAUGAAUCUGAAUAUUUGCAAAUGGUUUAUUUUCAGGAAGAAUCAAAGGCAAAUAGUUGGAGAUCAAAAAUUGAGGAAUUGCCACCACGAUCAAUUGAGUCCAUACCUUCAAGUGUUCAACCACCAAAACACGAUUUGAAGCCAUUACCAUUUAAUCUCAAAUACUCCUUUUAGGGAGAAAAUAAAACUUUUCCGGUAAUAAUUUCUUCCAAACUUAAUGCUCAUCAAGAAGGUAAGUUAUUAUAGACUCUGAAAAUGCAUAAAAAUGCAUUAGGAUGGACCAUAACUGACAUAAGAAGAAUUAAUCCUUUGAUUUGCACACACAUAAUUUAUUUAGAGGAAAAUGCUAAACCCUCUAGAAAAAUGCAACGAAGGCUCAAUCCUAAUAUGAAAGAAUUAUUAAGAAAUGAAGUCAUUAAGCUUCUAGAUAAUGGAAUCAUUUAUCCUAUUUCUGAUAGUAAAUGGGCAAGUCCUACCUAAGUUGUACCUAAAAAGUCUAGAGUUACUGUGAUAACAAAUGAGAAAAAUGAGUUAAUUCUAACUAGGACUAUUACUGGUUGGUGCAUGUGCAUUGAUUAUAGGAAACUUAAUUCAAUGACUAGAAAAGAUAAUUUUUCUUUACCUUUCAUGGAUCAAAUUCUACAAAGAGUUGCAGGUCAUGAAUUUUAUUAUUUUAUAGAUGGUUAUUCAGGUUACAAUCAAAUUGAAAUUGCAUUUGAAGAUCAAGAGAAAACUACUUUCACAUGUCUAUUCAGUAUGUUUGCAUACCGAAGGAUGCCUUUUUGAUUAUGUAAUGCACCAGCCACAUUUCAAAGAUGCAUGCUUAGCAUAUUCAGUGAUAUGGUUGAACGUUUUCUUGAAGUUUUUAUGGAUGACUUUUUUGUUUUUGGUGAUUCAUUUGAUGAUUGUUUAACUAACUUGGAAAAAGGUUUUGAACAGGUUUGAAGAGAAGAAUAUUAUGUUGAAUUGGGAAAAACAUUAUUUUAUGGUAACAAACAACAUUAUACUUGGUGAUUAGUACUUAAAAGUGUAUAUUUAUCAAGGUUUUAUAUCAUCAUUUUGCACUUAAAGUAUCAAUAACUCCUUAACUAAAGCAUGUUUUAUAAUAACAAGUCUAAUACUAUAAAAUGCCCUAAUAAAUGGUAAAUGUUCAUCUUAAAUGCAGGCCUAUCACAUAAAUCAAAGGAUUGAUUGAUGAAUUCAACUACUGAAAUUUGUGAAGAUAAAGAGAGGGUGAAACUUAGAAAAGAGAUGUUGGUGCAGUCCAAACUGGAACACUGUUCGGUAAUUGGGUCAUAUCUUGAGUUUUAGAUGUCCAAAUGACCUCAUAUUUUUACACAGAUUCAGUAAGACAUAGGCCUAUAACUUUCAUGUUUUCAUCAAGAUCUAAGAAGGCCGUUUUCAAGUUCAAAUUAUAGCAACAACGGAGAAGUCCGAAUUGUCCUGUAGCCCGAACACUGUUCAGUGUUUGGCCCAUAUAUGGAGUUCUAGAAGUCCAAAUGACCUCCAUUUUUUUUUAUUGGAAAGCUGAGUCAAUUUCCUAAAACUUUCAUGUUUCCAGUGGAGCCAGUUCGGAUGGUAGCAUUUUUGUUUUAUUUAGACAAGAAGAUAAGGAUUUUCACCAAGUCAAAAGUUGGCCACACACUCAACAAUUAGUCAUCAAAUCAAUAAUUCUAAAUUUUGGCCUAUAAAAGGAGGUAUUUGCCAUGCAUUUGGGGGCUUGAUUGUUCAGAUCAAGUUCAUGCUCUUUAUUUCUCGCUUUAUAUUUUUUUUGUAAUUUUUAAGUUUUGCUUUCAUUAAUAUCUUGUUUAUGCUUUUCAUUUCCUUAGUUAACUUGUAUCUUAUUUAUGUUCUUAUUUUGUUUAUUUAUGUUUUUCUUCUUCAUUAUGUUUAGCUAAGUUUAUUAUGUCAAGGUGAAAAGGUAACACUAAUGGUGUAAGAAUAAGUAUAGUGUAAACUCAACAUGGACCUUAAUGUUUAAUAUUAACAUGUCUUAUCUUUUUAUCUUACUAAUUCUUAAUACCUUGCUUGUUAAAUGGUUAAUCUAGAUUUGUGUUGUAUAACACUUGGUACAACAAAUGCUUGGCACUCUCAUGUCUUAUCUUUUUAUCUUACUAAUUCUUAAUACCUUGCUUGUUAAAUGGUUAAUCUAGAUUUGUGUUGUAUAACACUUGGUACAACAAAUGCUUGGCACUCUCAUAGCCCAACCGUAUGGUAUUACCUACACCUGGGCUAUGAAAGGAACUUGAUUUGUUGUUAACAACAAUUAACAUCAUGAAUUCCUGACAAUAUUUAAAAGUUUGGUGUUAUGUAAAUAAGAUAAUUAAUAUGAUCAUGUUAAUAAUUUAUAAUGAGUUAUUAAUGACAGAUCAUCCGAUUGGAAGUUCCUUCGUGUGUGGUUUUCAAAUUGAGUAAUAAGAUUUUAUACUAUACUUCUUUGAAAUACCAUUAGUGGAUCCUCUAACCUUGAUAUUUAUUUUUAUCAUUGUUUAAUCCUUAUAUUAAUCUUUCAUCUCAAAGUUCUCAUUAAUUUCUUCAUCUUCUUCUUUUAUUAUUAUUAUUAUUACUACUACUACUAGUAUUAUUAUUAUUACUAUUACUAUUAUUAUUAUUAAUAUUAUUACUAUUACUAUUACUAUUAUUAUUAUUAUUAUUAUUAUUUACAUUCUGUUUAUAUUAUAUAAUAUAUAUCUUUGAUCUUUUCAUAAACUCAGUAUAUAGGCUGGAAGCCUGUGACCCGAUCUUUUAGAUCAUUCUCAGGUAUAACAACGCCACGUACUGAGUAUUAUUAUUAUUGUUGUUGUUGUUGUUGUCUUGUUAUUUAUAAUUUAUACAGCUAACCUCUAUGUGGUUCGACCCCGGUCUUGCCGGGUUAUUUAUUACUUCGACACUCCUGCACUUAGGAGAAGACAUCAAUCUUUUGGUCGUGUCAAGUUUUUGGUGCCGUUGCCGGGGAGGUAAAUUCUUGUAUAAAUUAUAAUAUUUAUUUUAUUUUUUCUUUUCACUUUUCUUGUAUCUAACUUUGUUUCUUUUGUUUUGUUUCUUUUUCUUUUCUUUUCUUCUUCCUUUUCUUCUCUUUCUACACGUGCAUGAGAGUUUGGUCACGUACAUUAAAUGAUAAACUUUGUAAGGUAUCCUUAUCUUCUUUAGAAAACAUGGAUGAAGAGGAUAAUCAGUCGCUUUAUAAUGAGAAUAAUGAGAAUAAUCGGGUUAGAACACUUAGAGACUACAUGAAUCCAACAAGAACAAUUGCUCGAUCAUGUAUAUUUUUUCCUCUUGAUGCAUCUCAUUUUAAUUUUAAGCCAGACAUUAUUAAAAUUUUACCUUCUUUUCAUGGCUUAGAUCUAGAAAAUCCAUACUUGCAUUUGAGAGAAUUUCAAGAAGUUUGUAACGCUUAUAAUGACUCAAAUUUUAGCAUGAACACCAUCAGAUUAAAGCUUUUUCCUUUUUCUUUAAAAGAUAAAGCUAAAACAUGGCUACAAAAUUUGAGACCAGGAUCUAUUCGUGCUUGGGAUGAAAUGCAACAACAAUUUUUAAAGAAGUUUUUUUCAUCUCACAGAACAAACUCUUUCAAAAGACAAAUCACCACUUUCACUCAAAAACCAGGAGAAACAUUUUACCAAUGUUGGGAUAGGUAUCGAGACUUGAUUAAUGCUUGCCCUCAUUAUGGUUUUGAAACAUGGAGAUUGGUUUCAUAUUUUUAUAAAGGAUUAACACCUAAAAGAGGCAAAUGGUGGAAUUGAUGUGCAAUGGAACUUUUGAAGAUAAAUACCCUGAUGAAGCAAUGGAGUACCUAGACUUGCAAGUUGAAAAUGCUCAAAAUUGGGACACUACGGGCACUUAUGAGGCACCGGGUAAAACUCAACCUCAUACAUCUAAUAGAGGUAUGUAUAACCUUAGGGAAGAUCAUGUCCUCCAAUCCAAGUUUGCAUCUUUAGCUAGAAAAGUCGAGGCACUAGAAUUGAAAAGGAGUGGUCAAUUAAAAUCUGUUCAAGACAUUGUGUGUCAAAUCUGUGAAACAAAUGAACAUGCAACCAAUGAUUGUCCAACUUUGCCUUCUUUCAAGGAAUGCCUCCAUGAACAAGCCCAUGCUUUAAACAGUUUCCAAAGGCCUAAUCAUAACCCAUACUCGCAAACAUACAAUCCUGGUUGGAGAAAUCACCCAAAUUUUAGUUAGAAGAGUAAUAACAAUAAUGCACAAACUUCACAACCAUCGUUUCAAGCACACUAUAAUUUCCAAAAUUCUCAUGGAUAUGCACCUCCUUAUGCUCCAUCUCCUAAAAGCAAUCUUGAGGAAACAUUGCAUUCAUUCAUUGAAAAGCAAGAGAUAAUCAACACUCAACUUGCUCAAAGCAUGACAGGUUUUAAAGAUACUCUUGCAAAGUUAACAUCUGCUGUCAGUUUUCAAGAGAACGGUAAGUUUCCAUCUCAACCACAGCAAAAUCCAAAGGAGAAAUACAAUGUAAAUGCAAGUAGUUCUAGAAGUCAACACAUGGAUCAAGUCAAAUCAGACAUCACUCUUCGCAGUGGUAAGGUUAUUGAAAAAUCCACUCUUGAACCUUGUGAGAAAGAUGAUGAAUCAAUCUCUGAGGGUAAGGAAGGGGUUGCAUCUGAACAUAGCAAAGAAAAGAUUGAUUUCCCACCAGCACUUCCAUUUCCUCAUGCCAUGACCAAACAGGAAGCAAUCGAUGAUGAAAAAGGCACCGAAAAUGUUGUCCUGGAUCAUUUGUCAAAGUUGACAAUAGAUUCAACAUCUGAUAUCACACCAAUCAAUGAUUACUUUCCUGACGAAUCUUUACUUUCUCUUAGUUCAAUGCCUUGGCUUGCUAAAAAUAACAAUUUUCUUGCUUCAGGAUUUUUGCCAGCUCAUUUGGAUAACCAAGAUAAAAGAAAGUUUUUGAGCGACGUGCAAAACCUUUAUUGGGAUGACCCCUACUUAUUCAAAUAUUGUCCUGAUCAAAUAUUUCAAAGAUGCAUUCCCGACAAUGAGGUAAGUAGUGUCAUUAAAUUUUAUCAUUCUGAAGCAUGUGGGGAUCAUUUCUCGUCAAAAAAGAUGAUUGCAAAAAUCUUACAAAGUGGAUUUUACUAACCCACCAUGUUCAAGGACUCAUAUGCAUUCUGCAAAACCUGUGAAAAUUGUCAAAAGGUAGGAUUUAUUUCAAAACAUAGAGAGUCUUUAGUUAAUCUUCUAUUGACUCUUAAGUCUCAUCAUAAUGGAGAUGUGCAUCAUGCAAUUUAUGAUUUAUAGCCACAAUUCCAUAGAGAACAUGCUCAACUCAGUCUUGGGAAUCUGACUAAAAAAGACCUUGUUUGCCAGUUUUUAAGAAAACUAGAUAGGAAGCCUAUCCCUGACCCAUAGAGGACGUUUAAGCCGUUCUUGGACGUAAAACCAAGAAAUGAUGUGAGCCACACUCACAACUACCUGUAUAUACACAUGCCUUUUCAAAAUAAAUAAAUAGAGAGAGAGAGUGUGUGUGUGUGUGUGUGAGACUACGACUGGCCUACAUAUAGGUGGUAUGAUUGCAUUUUCAAUUUCUCAUCUAUAAAUUCUUCUCUUCCUUCCCUUCAUUUCUACUCAACCCAUACGUUCAUCAAAUACAAAAGUGUGUAGAAAUGGCAAGUUCCUCAAGCAAUCACAUAAAUAAUAUUUGUGUUUUCGGUGGAUCUAGUCCUGGGAAAGAAAAAGAGUUUUUAGAAUCAGCAAAUCAUCUUGGUCAUGUACUAGCUGAGCGAAAGAUUCAUUUAGUGUGUGGAGGAGGCAGCCUUGGGUUAAUGGGGGUUGUCCAGUCCUGGGAAAGAAAAAGAGUUUUUUAGAAUCAGCAAAUCAUCUUGCAUUUUUAGGAGGUAGUCAAGUUUUGGGGGUUGUCCCCAAAGCUUUAACACAAGGGGACAUCAUUGGAAAAACAAUUGGAGAGGAACUACAGGUCCCCACAAUGUCUGAUCGACUGAAUUUAAUGUUUAACCAUGCUGAUGCCUUCAUUGCCUUUCCAGGUGGUCUAGGCACAUUGGAAGAGACCUUUCAUAUUUCCUUUUCGACCCAAUUGCACAUUCACCAUAAACCCAUAGGUCUGUUAAAUGUUAAUGGUUUUUAUGAUAAGUUGUUGUCUUUUCUUGAUCAUGUUGUGGAACAGGAAUUUCUAACAUCUUCAGCACGACAAAUCAUAAUCUCUGUUGCUACUGCUGAACAAUUGAUUGACCAAUUACAAUCUUUCAUCCCUGUAAUAAAUCCCUCUAUGAGUCGUAUAAAUUGGUCAACUAAGGAAAGCCGUAAAAAGCUUAGAUUGGAUUUGAGCCUUCGUUUGUAAAAACUGUGUCUUUUGGUUUUAUUAUCGUGUUUUGUUGUUUCUUAUAUUUGUUUAAGUGUGUUUCAUGUUUGUCAGUGUUCGUUAUUUCAGGUGAUGUCUUCUAUACUCUAUCUUUCUACCUUAAGACAUUGAGGACAAUGUCUCAUUUUGGUUGGGGGGAAAGGGUAGUAGUUGAUAUUUAGAAAAAAAAAAUCUUGUGUUUUCUAUUUCAUAAACUAUUUGCAAAACUGUUGUUACUAGGAUGACAGAGUAAAAGGAGUUCUUUUGUUAAAGUGACUCUUAAGACGCAUCUUAGUAAACAUUCUUAACAAGGUCUAUCAGAAUACUUCUUGAAAUAUUCAGGUUUACAAACUCUCGUAUUGGUAGCACUUGAUUCUGCUCAUAUGCUCAUUUAACAAGUAUUUUUAAAUCUUCAUUUUCACACACACACUUUAACAUAUGAUUGUGGGUUGCACAUUGGAUUAUUACAUUAUUUAUGUUCUUUCGUUAAAGGUAACAACUAAGGGAAAGGGAUAGUACAUAAUUUGCUAAAAAAAAAUAAAAUAAUGAUAAUAAAAAGGUAGAUAAGUUUGGUUUCGUAGCCUCCCUAACCUAAGCAAUUAAGCUCGAAAGGGUGUUUUAACACUUAAUACCCUAAAGUCAACUGACUUGGGAGCUAUUGGCCCAAUACUUGUUACAUGGGUUGAGGAGAAAAGCUUAAGGGAAUCAAACAUUGCACUAUCUACGUAUCAGUAUCUGCAACCCGAGUUGCUAAGCUCGUAGGGGUGUCUCAACACCUAAUGCCCUAAGACCAACUGGUCUGGGAGUCAUGAGCCUAAAACUCGUUACAUGGGUUAAAGAUACAUUGUGUUUCAAGUUGUAUGUGUAUAUAAAUAAAUAAAAAAAAAGAAAAAGAAAAAAAAUAAUAAUCCCAACCUAAGGAAGUUAGCCUUAAAUAUUAGAAUAAAAAUUUGUUUUUCUUCCAAGUAAAGCCCCAUAACUAUAUGUUGAUAUUUUGAGCACAAAAGAAAGGUUUAGUAAUAUCUUGUUUAAGAGGUAUUGAGCAGAUAUAUGAAUUUAAUGAGAGUUUGUUUAUCUAGAUAAAUUAAAGUAAGUUGAAUGAUGAAUGCCUUGCUUUAUGGAAUUUGCAAAUUGUUUUUCUAUUUUAAUGCUUUGAUUACUAAGGACUAGUAAUAAGCUGGUUGGGGUGUGUGAUUAGUACUUAAAAAUGUAUAUUUAUCAAGGUUUUAUAUCAUCAUUUUGCACUUAAAGUAUCAAUAACUUCUUAACUAAAGCAUGUUUAUAAUAACAAGUCUAAUACUAUAAAAUGCCCUAAUAUAUGGUAAAUGUUCAUCUUAAAUGCAGGCCUAUCACAUAAAUCAAAGGAUUGAUUGAUGAAUUCAACUACUGAAAUUUGUGAAGAUAAAGAGAGGGUGAAACUUAGAAAAGAGAUGUUGGUGCAGUCCAAACUGGAACACUGUUCGGUAAUUGAGUCAUAUCUCGAGUUCUAGAUGUCCAAAUGACCUCACAUUUUUACACAGAUUCAGUAAAACAUAGGCCUACAACUUUCAUGUUUUCAUCAAGAUCUAAGAAGGCCGUUUUCAAGUCCAAAUUAUAGCAACAACGGAGAAGUCCGAAUCUAUACUACAGCUCGAACACUGUUUCAAAUAUUGUCCUGAUCAAAUAUUUCAAAGAUGCAUUCCCGACAAUGAGGUAAGUAGUGUCAUUAAAUUUUAUCAUUUUGAGGCAUGUGGGGGUCAUGUAUCAUCAAAGAAGACAAUUGUAAAAAUCUUACAAUGUGGAUUUUAUUGGCCUACCAUAUUCAAGGACACACAUGCAUUCUGCAAAACUUGUAAAAAUUGUCAAAAGUUAGGAUCUAUUUUAAAACGUCACAUGAUGCCUUUAAAUCAUAUUCUUGUCAUCGAAAUAUUUGCCUGUUGGGGUAUAGAUUUUAUGGGUCCAUUUCCUCCAUCAAUUGGUUUUGGAUACAUAUUAGUCGCAGUAGACUAUGUUUCAAAAUAGAUAAAGGCAAUUCCAAGUCAUAACAAUAAUUAUAAAAUAAUGAUUAAGUUUUUGAAAGAAACUAUUUUGAUUUGAUUUGGAAUCCCUCAGGCCAUGAUAAGUGAGGUGGAACACAUUUCUACAACAAGCCAUUUGAGUCUUUAAUGAAGAAAUAUGGAAUCACAUACAAAGUUGCCACCCCUUAUCGCCAUCAGACAAGUAGAACUUGCUAAUAGAGAGAUCAAACAUAUCUUGGAAAAAAUAGUAAACCCUAAUCGGAAGGAAUGGUCUUUAAGACUUAAUGAUACACUUUAGGCUGCUUUUUAAAAUAUCAUUAGGUAUGUCACCUUAUAGGCUGGUUUAUGGAAAACCUUGUCACUUACUUGUGAGACUUGAACACAAAUCUUAUUGGGUUGUUAAAGCUUUCAAUUCAAACCUUGGUGAUGCUAGCUAGCUGCAUAAGUCACAAAUUAAUGAGCUUGAGGAAAUAAGAAAUGAUGCAUAUUAGAAUUCAAAAAUUCAUAAAGUAAGAAUCAAAGAGUUUCAUGACAAGAGAAUAUUGAGAAAAACAUUUGAUGUUGGUUAAAAAAUGUUGCUUUAUAAUUCUCAACUCCAUUUAUUUCCUGGAAAACUAAGAUCAAGAUGAAGUAGUCCAUUUAUUAUGAAACAUUUGUACCCUAAUAGGGCCUUUGAUAUUUGAGAAUCCAAAGAGCAAUAAUGUUUUUAAGGUAAAUGGACAUCGUUUGAAAGCUUACUUUGAUGAUUUCCUAGUGAAAAUGAAUCCAUUGGUUUGAAUGAUCCUGUAUAUAAAGGUUGAUUAUUUUGUUUUUGUAUUUUUUUUUGGUGCGAGUCUUGUUUUGCUAGUCUUUCUCCAACCUCGGUCAAAUGACGGAUAAGGGUACUCUAUGACUCUUAAGUUGGUUCUUUCAGUUUCCCAUGAUAACUGAUAUCGUGUAUAUAUUUGUUCAAUUCCUUGUUCCUUCUCUUUUCUUUGUAUCUCUUUUCUACUUCUCAUCUAAAAAAUGGACACCACUUUUAAAAAAUUGAAAAAGUAAUUUCUCGCUUUGCCUCAAAAUGCGAUCACAAAAAUUUACCGUGUUAGGUGUGAAAGAUUAAGGUUGUUAAUGAACCAUGGAAUUCUUGAAGAUAUUUGCUGGAUGAUUGAAACAAAUGUUCGAUUAUCAGGUGAGUCUUCCAAUUCUUUUAUUUCAUACAUGCCUAAGACAGGUAAAAACACUUUUGCAAAGAAACAUCGUAUGUAAAUGAUUGAAAGCCUGUCACCAAUGUGCCAGACGGACUUGUAAUGCAUAAUGUUAUUUUUUAGGAAUGUUAUCUAUAAACCGUGAAGAUAAAAUACAAUUCAUUAAGGAUGGUCUGAGUAAGGAGUCUUUAGAUAAUCUUUUAUUAACUUUUGAGACACAUCCUAGUGGAGAUGUGCAUCAUGUAAUUUAUGAUUUAUGGCCUCAUUUUCAUAAAGAACAUGAUUGACUUAGUCUUGGGAAAUUGACUAAAAAAGACCAUUAUUGUCAGUUUUUAAGAAAACUAGAUGGGAAGCUUAUCCCCGACCCAUAGAAGGCGUUUAAGCUGUUUUUGGACAUAAAACCAAGGGAAGAUGUGAGCUACAAUCAUAACUACUUGUACAUACACAUGUUGUUUUUUUAAAAAAAAAGAAGGAGAAAAGAGAGAGAGAGAGAGAGAGAGAGAGAGAGAGACUCCAGCUAGCCUGCAUAUAGGUGAUAUGAUUGCAUUUUCAAUUUCUCAUGUAUACAAUUUUCUCUUUCCCUUCAUUUUUACUUAACCCAUACAUUUCAAUAGUAUAGAAAAGUGUAGAAAUGGCAGGAUCCUCAGUUUCUAAAAUAAAAAUAUUUGUGUUUUUGGUGGAUCCUGUCCUGGGAAGACAAAAAGUUUUUAGAAUAAGCAAAUCCUCUUGGUCGAGUACUGGCUGAGAAAAAUAUUCAUUUUGUGUAUGGAGGAGGCAACCUUGAGUUAAUAGGGAGUGUGUCAACAACUGCUUUUUUAGGCGGCAGUAAAGUUUUGGGUGUCAUUCCAACAGCUUUGGCCAAAAUGAACAUCAUUGGAAAAACAGUUAGAGAGGAACUACAAGUCUCCACAGUGUCUGAACGGCUGUCUAUAAUGUUUGAUCAUGUUGCCGCCUUCAUUGCCUUACUAGGUGGUCUGGGUACAUUAUAAGAGAUAUUUCAUAUUUCCUCUUGGGCCUAGUUGAACAUUCACCAUAAACCUAUAUGUUUGGUAAAUGUUAAUGGUUUUUAUAAUAAUUUACUGUCUUUUCUCGAUCAUGCUGUGGAAUAACAAUUUCUAACAUUUUCAGCAUGACAAAUCCUCAUCUCUACUACUACUGCUUAGCAAUUGAUUGAUGAACUAUAAUCUUUCAUCUCUGUAGUUGAUUCCUUUAUGAGUUGAAUCAAUUGGUCAAUCACGUAACACAGUAAAAAGCUUAAAUUUGAUUUGAGCUUUAGUUUGUAAAAACUUGUGUCUUUUGGUUUUAUUAAUAGAAUAUUAUUUGUGUUUUGUUCUUUUUUAUAUUUGUUUCAGUGUGUUUCAGGUUUGUUAGUAGUCGCUGUUUUAGGUGAUGUCUUUUAUACUCUAUCUUUCUACCUUAGGACAUUAAGGACAAUGUCUUGUUUUGGUUGGGAGGAGGGGAAGGUAGUUUAUAUAUAUAAAAAAAAAACAAAAACAAAAACAAAAAUAAAUUGAUAAUAAAAUGAAUAAAUAAAAAAGUAGAUAAGUUUGGUUUCGUAGCCUCCUUGACUUAAGCAGUUAAGCUUGAAGGGGUGUUUUAACACCUAGUACCCUAAAGUCAAUUAACUUGGGAGCUAUUGGCCCAGUGCUUAUUACAUGGGUUGAGGAGAAAGCUUAAGGGAAUCAAUCAUUGCAUUAUAUACAUUUUAGUAUCUGCAACCCGAGUUACUAAACUCAAAGGGGUGUCUUAACACCUAAUGCCCUAAGACAAUCUGGUCUAGGAGUCAUUCGCUUAAAGCUCAUUAUAUGGGUUAAGGAUGCAUUGUGUUUCAAGUUAUCAAAAUAAUAAUAAUAAUAGUCUCAACCCAAGAAAGUUAACCUUAAACAUUAGAAUAAAAUUUUGAAUUCUUCUAAGAAAAGCCCCAUGGCUAUGUUUUGAUAUAUUAAGCACAAAAUGAAGGUUUAUUAAUAUCUUGUUUAGGAAGUAUGAAGCAGAUAUAUAAAUUUAAUGAGAGUUUUUUUUAUUUGGAUAGAUUAAUGGAAGUUGAAUGAUGAAUGGCUUGCUUUUGAAUGUCACAAAUUGUGUUAACACUUUAACAACUAGGGAUUAGUAAUAAGCUGGUUGGGUGGUGUGAUUAGUACUUAAAAGUACAUUCUCAUUAAGGCUUUACAUCAUCAUAUUGCACCUAAAGUAUUAUUAAAUUCCCCAACUUAAGCAUGAUUUAUAGUAACAAGUCUUAUAAUAUAAGAUAGCUUUAGUUUAUGGUAAAUACUCAUUUUAAAUGCAGGUUUAUCCCACAACUCAAAGGAUUGAUUGAUGUGAUUAACUAUUGAAAGUGAAGAGACAAAGAGAGGACUAAGAUUAGAGAAGAGAUGCCGGUUUAAUUCAAAUUGGAAUACCAUUCGGUUAUUGGAUCAUACCUAGAGUUUUAGACCUUGGAUUUAGGCCUGGUUUAUUUUGAUUGAAAGCUAAGAUAUAGGCCUAAAACGUUCAUGAAGAGUCCAAGAUUCAAAUCUUUCAUUUUCAAGUCCAACUCUUAGCAUCAAAAGAGACGUCUGAAUCUAUCAUACAGCUCAGGCACUAUUUAGUGUUCAACUCAUAUCUCGAGUUCUAGAAGUCCAAAUGAGCUCUGGUUUUUUUGGUUGAAAAGCUGAAACAAUUUCCCACAACUUUCAUGAAGACUAUGUGCUCAAAUUAUGAUGUUAGCAAUGAUGUUUUGGCCAGCCAACAAUGUCAAUAACCAGCCACCAAGUCAAUGGUUGGCCACCAACUAAAUAGUUAGUCAUCUAAUCAAUAGUUUCGAAUUUUAGCCUAUAAAAGGAGGCAUUUGCCAUGUAUUUAGGCAUCCUGUUUUUGUGAUCAAGAUCAUUUUCUUGCUUUCUCUCUUUUGUGAUGUUUAAGUUUUCUUUCAUGUUAUAUUAAUAUCUUGUUUAUGCCUUUUCGUUUCCUUUCCUAUGCCUAGUUAACUUAUAUGAUAAUAAUAUUCUUAUCUUGUUUAUUCAUAUUUAUUUUCUUCAUAAUGUUUAGCUAAGUUUAUUAUGUCAAGGUGGAAAUGUUUCAUUAAUGGUGUUAGAAUAAGUAUAAUAUAAACUCAACAUGGACUUUAAUGCUUAUAUCCAAUAAAGUUUACUAUAUGUGUCUUAUCAUUUUUAUCUUAUUCACUCUUAAUACCUUGCUUGUUAAAUAGUUAAUCUAGAUUUAUGUUGUUAACAUAAGUUAGCAUCAUGAAUACCUGACAAUAUUUACAAGUAUGAUGUUACUUAAAUAAGAUAAUAAAUAUAAUCAUGUUAAUAAUUCAUAAUGAACUAUUAAUGAUAAAUCAUCCGAUUGGAAUCUCCUUUGUGUGUGGUUUCCAGUUGAGUAAUAAAAAGAGUUUAUAUUAUACUUGUUUGAAAUACCAUUAGUGGAUUCUCUAACCUUGAUAAUUGUUUUAUCAUUAUUUAAUCCUUACAUCAAUAUCACAAAGUUCUCUUCAACUCUUUGUUUUAUUAUUAUUAUAUAUAUAUAUAUAUAUAUAAUUUGCAAAUAAUUAACCUCCCUAUGGUUCGACCCUGAUUUUGCCGGGUUAUUUAUUACUUCGACACUCCUGCACUUGGGAUAAGACAUCAAUCUUUUGAUCAUGUCACGCAUGGAGCAAAUGCUCGACCAUUGUUCCCAUCGUUCAAGGGGUUCUUAAGCAUUGUUCUUGCAGAUUCCAGAUGGCUUUGGAUUUUUUAGGGUUUAUUUUGUAAUUUUUUGAAUUGUAUUUGAUUUAUUUAGAAUUUUGUUAUUUAGGAACAAGUUGAAUGUGUAAAAUAUAGUAAAAGUGAAUGUGUGUGUUUGUAUUUUUUUCUUUAAAUGUUUUUUUUAUAAUAAAGCCACAAAGACAAAAGAAGAAUUUAAUGUUUUGAUUUGCUCACAGUUAAGGAUUAUGAACUUACAUGUAAGUCGUAUUUCUAAUAUCUAAUGAAAAGAUAACAUUUUUAAAACUUCAUUAACACAUCAAAACCACGAAGCAACUUACCUCGGAUAGGGUGUGCUAGGGGUGCUAAUACCUUCCCUAGUCACAACCAGUCCUUUACCUUUGAAUCUCUAACAAAGACCAGUACACUCAGGUUUCCUAGUAAUCCUAAAUCGAAUACUAGGUGGCGACUCUCAAAGAACCAUCAAACAACGAACGAAAAUCACCAAUAGACGUUGCGCGGAAAUGUGCGACACACUUAAUUGAACAAAUAAAAAAUUAAGGAUUGAUUUGUAAAAAAGGACUUCUUAGGUGCCAUUUUCAUUUAAAUGAAAUGGCAUGUGUUGUACAAAACGAUGCCGUUUCAUGCAUUGUUAUUCAAAAAUAGAAAAAAAGCCAGCUUAAAACAAUGUCGUUUUGGAUGGCACUGUACAUCUUGUACUUUCCCUAGACGCGCAGUAGGCAAGGGAAGAAGGUUUUUCCCCCCUUCUUUAUAGCGCUUCUCUCUCUCUCUCCCACUUGCCCAAAAACCCUGACACAACCCACACCCUCUCAUGGCCUACCACCAUGAUGAAUGGGGCAGAGGGGACAUGCCUUGAGGACGACUUUAAGGAGGCGGUUGCAUAGUGGCCGCCACAACUAUCCUACCCCUUCGCCAUGACUGGAUAGGGGUAGGGCAGCUCUCGCCCCCCCCACCCCUUACAAAGGCCACCCUUACUAGGAGGUUGGGGGGUAAAAAAAGAAAGAAAGAAAACAAAAGGCUAAAGCAAAAUGGAACGAAGCAAAAGAGAAAAGGAUAGAAAGAAAAACAAGGGAAAAAAAGGGAUGAAAAAGAAAAACAAAGAAAAAAAAGGAAAAAAAAGGAAGGAACACUCUUUGGCCUCUACCUGGAGAAGAAAAGGAACCUCCUCUCCUCCUCCCUCUUGCUAGUUAGUAGUAGUAGUCACCAUUCCUCCUAGUCGCCACCACAACAACGUCACCAAUCACGCUUCCCUCACUCAAAGUAAUCUUCUUCCUCUAUAUGUUCCAUCUUCUUACCUGCUUUCCUUCUCCAUUUCAUUUUCACCAUCACAAUUCAUGUUCUACAUAGUAACCAGUUACUUUGCUAAGCACAGUAACUAGUUAAUGGAUUUUUGGGCUGAGUCCAACCUUAUAUAAAAAAAGAAAAGUAAUAUGUUGGGUCGACAUCGGCCAAACUCUUUUGGGCCGACCUCGACCCAAUUUCUUAUGGUUUGUAUUUUUACAUUAUAAAGAUAUAAAUUUGUUAUUAAAAUAACUAUUUUUUCUCCGAAAUGUUUCGAGAACAACAUAUAGAAAAACAACAAAAAACAUGUCUUGUUUUUAAGCAUAUGGCUAAGUCUCUAAAAAAUAUAAGAAAUUUCAUAUCAUAUUUUCAUACAAAAUAAAAUUAAAAAAAAACGUGUUAGCAUGCAUUUUAGGCUUUAAUAACUAGUUUAUUAAAGCAAUGAGAACUAGGUCUAUAUUUCAAAAAUACCAAAAAAAUUAUAUUGUUUUCUUUUAAUAUCUAGGAUUACAAACUUAUAUGUAAGACGUAUUCCAGAUAUUAAAUAAAAAGGUAGUUCUUUUUUUUUUAUAUUGACAUUAGAAUAAUUAGGUUGUUACCUGAUAAGAUAAGGAUUUUCUUACUGAGUAUUAUAUUAGGUUUUGUAUUUUGGAUAUCGGUUAUCGAGUAACAAGUUUAAUUAAUAUUUGAUCGAUGAAUUAAUUAUUUCUAUUAAUUACUAAUUAACCUAUGAUGAUAUGAUCUAAUAUUGGGUUAUGUUUUUCAGGUGUCAAUAAGUGAAUAAUAGUACCAAUUAAUACAUGAUCUCUAGGAUAUUAACCAAUAAAUUUAAGUAGCCCAAGAUGGAAUGGUCUCAUAGUAGCAGGGUAUUUUGUUUUUUUUUUUCAAAGAAAAAAAAGAGAGAGAAAGUGUGGAGAGAAAUGAUAAGAAGAUAUUGGAACAUUAAUUUGAAAGAGAUGUUAGAAAUAAGAGUUCAUUGUAGUCAUGCUACUAGAAAAUGAAAAUAAAAUGAAUAAUAUGAAUUUUUCAACAUGCAAUAAGCCUUAUAUGUAGGUGUGCUCGUCAUUUUCAAAUAACCGAGGAUAGAAAGGUCAAUAAUAUAAUUGUUCUUUAAAUGUUGUUUAAUAAAUAAUGAAAUUUGACCAAAUGAAUUGGGUUACAUGUUGACCCUUUAAGUCACUCGGGUUUGAUUGGAUCAUUGUCUACUUCUGUUAAGAAGAAAAUCAAACCAAAACAAGGUUUUGGGUCAAUGAAUCACAAAUGCAUCCUGUUGGACUAGACCAAAUUUAAUGACUAUGACUUACAUAUCGUCUCAAAGAAAUUGCACUUGGAUCUAUGUUUUUUGAGGGAAAAAAUUAUUAUAAAAAUAGCAUAGUUAAUUAGUUGCAUUGUUAGGAAGGACUCAACCAUAUAAAUUAAGUUGUUCUUAACAAUACAAUUCAAUAUGUUACACUGUGAGGAAUAUCAUAAACCUAAUGAAAUAUAUAUAUUUUAUUUUAAUUUAGAAUUUUAAAUAAUUUUUUUCCGCCACAAAUCAAAAUAACUAAUUUAUUGAUGUCAUUGUAUUCUCAAUAAUUAUGAUAAUUAUAAAUGAAAAUGAUUAGUUAUAAUCAAAUUAUAUUUUAAUAGAAUUCCUUAACUUAUUAAUUAAUAAUUAUGAUAAUUAACAAUGAAAAUGAUCAGUUGUAUUCAAUUUAAAUUUUAAUAAAAUUUCUUAAUAGGUUAGUUGUAGUCAAAUUAAAUUUCAAUAGAAUUCUUUAACUUUGUAGGUUAAUUAAUAAUUAUCAAAGAAAAUAAUUAGUUGUUGUCGAUAUCAAAGAAAAAACCCAAUGAAAUAUACAAGUGCCCUUGGUCUGAACCACAAGUGACUAACUAGCAGACUAGUAAACAGCCUGUUAGAGGAAUUGAAUGAAAGCAAUUGAAUGCAGGAAGAGGGCCAGACUAGUCAACAGCCAACAGUGGCAGUUCUCCUCCUGCACGUGUGAAACUGAGGAGCCGUGACGAAUGCGGCACUCUUCAAAAUUAUCCCUGCUUCUGGAACGAAUGUUUGAUAAUGUUGUGUUGAUUGAGAGACAUUAUUUCAAAAUCUGAAAAGGAUAAAAUUGUUAAAUAAUUCUAAUUUUAUAAAUUAUUUUAAAUAAAAUAAAUAAUAAAUAAAAAAAUAAAAACCAAACGUAAAGAAAUAACAAAUUAAAAGCGUGCUUUGAAAUUUUAAAACGGCAAACAUGAAAAUCAAGAGAGGAAAUAAGAAGAAGAAGAUAAAAAAGAUGCCGAGCAUCCUUGCACGUGCGACCGUGAUGAGUGCAAGACUCUUCAAAAUUAUCACACCGUGAUGCGUGCGAGACUUUUCAAAAUUGAUGAGAAAGCCGAUUGGUCCAAAUCCAAUUGUCUAAUGAACGGAACUCUGGAAUUAUUCCAAAUCCACAAGUUUCAUAAUAUUGUGUUGAUUGUGAGACAUUAUUUCAAAAUCCGAAGGGAGAUAAAAUUGUUAAAAUUUUAUAAAUGAUUUUAAAUAAAAAAUAAUAAUUAAAAAAAUAAAAACUAAAUUUAAAUAAAUAACAAAUUGAAGAUGUAUUUUGAAAUUUUGAAGGACAUACACAAAAAUCAAGGACAGAGAAAAAAAAAAAUCGGCAACAAACCAAAAAACUAUCUACCACACGCACCAUCUCAUCCACGACAAUAAUUGUCAACAAACAUCUCUACAUCCGCCACAUGAAGUGUGCGGGACCGUCCAUGAACUAACUUGGAUUCAUCAACUACUUUUUUUAAUAUUAUUUAUAUUUAUUAAAUUAUAAAAUUGAAAAUAUACCACCCUAUAUAAAAAAAGACCCAAUGACAACAUACAAAUGCCCUUGGUUUGAACCACAAGUGACUAACUAGAUAUCUCAAAUGAGAAAGCAGACUACUAAACAGUCAACAAUGGCAGAUCUCUCCAGCACCAGCAAGAGAAGAGCCGUACGCAACGAAUGCAACACUCUUUAAAAUUAUCACAAUGCUAUACUUUUUAAAAUUGAAAGAAAAAAAAAUAAAUUCACCACCUACUAAUUAAAAAAUAAAAAUCCAAAAAUAAACACUGCUUAAAAAUUUAGACAUUGAGUUAAUUAAGUCGAAAGAAGAUAGAUGUCAUUUUUAUUACAUCCUUUGAAAUACCUCCACAAUUCAUUUUAAAAAUUUUAUUCCAUGCAUGAUAUUAAUUAUCUAAAUUUAUUUUUAAUCUUAUUCGUGAUUUAUUUUAAUAAAAAUUUGGUAUUGAUCCUUAAAAAAAAAAGACUCGUCAAUAAAAUAAAUCUUGAUGUCAAUCCCUAAAAUUAGAUAAUUUCAUCGAUUUAGAAAAAAAAAAUUAAUUUUAAUCUUUAAAACUAGAGAUUUAAUUGGUUUAAAAAUUUUUGACGUUAAUCUUUAAAAACAGGAGAUUUCAUCAAUUUAGAAAACAAAUUUGGCAUUAAUCUUUAAAAUUAUGUGAUGUCAUCGAUUUAGAAAAAAUUGGACAUUAGUCCCUAAAAUAGAUAAUUUCAUCAAUUUUUUAAAUAUAUGAUAUUAAUCCUUAAAAAUAGAAGAUUUCAUUGAUUUAGAAAAAAAACAUUAACAUUAAUCCCUAAAACUAGGUGAUUUCCUUGAAACUAGGUGAUUUCCUUGAUAUAUAUAUAUAUAACAUUUAUAUUUUUUUGAAUCCAAUACAAUAUAUACAAAUCUCAAUAUUGAUAUAACACACACGCACACAAUAUUAUUAAUUUUAUCAUUUAAUACAUGUAUACAUAUUUCAAAUAUAUCUAUUACUAUUUUAUUUUUUGUUGAAUAUUAAAUAACAGUAGAACAAUGGAUACCAAUAUAGAUAUACUCGAAAUCCAAUGAAUAAAGCAUAGUUAUUAAACCCGGCCUGGGGAUUGACCCGGUUAAAGGGCCGGGUCCUGGGUUUUAUGGGUCAACCCGGGUCAACUCUGAUCAACCCGGAAAAAUUAAAAAAUAUAUAUAUUAAAGUUUGAAUAUUUAUAUGAAAAAAUAAAAAAAAAUCCAUGUGAAUAUAAACUAUAAAUGUUAUAAAUAAUAAAUUUUAAAAAAAAUAUUUUAAUUUUUUUAUUUUACAUUAAAAAAUAAUAUGUUAUUUUUUUUAAUUAAAAAGAAAAAAAAAUUAAAAGCCGCCCCCUAUCUCUACCAAAAAAAAUUUCACAACCCUAAAUUUUCUCUAUCUCUACCAAAAAUAAAAACAAGCCGCCCCCCCUGCUUGGGAUUUUCUCUCCCAAAACCAGUAAAGUUUUCCUUUUCACUUGGCAAAGCAAUUGCCACUGAGACCCAGCCACACCUCCCUCGCUCGUCCCUCUCUCAAUCACCCCCUUGCCUUGACCAAAUUAAACUAAAGAGCCCCUCCCUUUUUUUCCCAGCCACCUAUUGGCCAAACCAAGAGACCCAGCUCUUCAAUGGUGAUUUGCUUGCAAACAUCAGCUCAUUAUAGAGAAGAUGAAGAAAGAAGAAGAGAAGCCGAAUCACAGAAACCACAUUUAAAGAAGAACCGGGUCUCGUCCGGGUUCUCCCGGGUCGCCCGGGUCAUGGGUGGACCCUCCGGGUCGACCGGGUUUUGCCGGAUUGUUGCACCUGCCGGUCUUUUAACAAACCCGAACCGGUCCAGCCACCGGGUCGAACGGGUCCCAGGUCGAUCCGCCGGGCCAGGCCGGGUUUAAUAACUAUGGAAUAAAAUAUGAAUAUCUGGAUUUUUUACUCGAUGAAUAUUGAGCAGGAAAUAGAUUUAAAAAAAAUUAUCCCGUAGAUAUAUAUCCAUUAUGAUCCGUAUACAUAAUCUCCAUAUAUAAAAUCAAUACAUUAAUACAUUUAUUUUUCUUUUACAAUGAUAAAAUGAUAAUAAAUGCAAAAUAUACAUAUGUUUUUAUUCCUUUUACAUUAUGCUUUUAAUGUGUUUUAAGCUUAUUUGAGCUCAUUGGAAGUAAUUUAAUGAAUUUGGGAUGCCUAACAGACUUGGUGAAUUAAUUGCUAAAAGAUACAAAAUUCUGCAUUUGAUGUUUCAAACCUGGCUUUUGGAUAGGUUUUUCACUAAGUUGAAGUUAUAGAAUGGGAACGUGGCUUAAUAAAGGUUGAACUACACAUAUCCAGCUUUUCAAGAAAGUAGGGAAGAAAUCCGAUCUUAUUUGAAACUCUAAUAAGACUUGCAAAACCGAGAGGAAAGGAAAGAAGGGUCCCCUCUGCUGCUAAUGCUGGCUUGCAUUUUCUCUUGGUUGCUAGAGUUGUUGAUGACAUUGCUGCUAAUCUUGACUGCAACCAACAUUGGGGAUGGAGCUCACAAUUGGAGGUAACGCAAUUGAUGGCUGAGGAUGGAGUCUUGUUGUUGUCAACAUGAACUAGCUUUGCUGUUGUAUUUCUCAUAAAAAGGAGCCUACCAUGAGGGACAUGGAUGAUGCUAUUGUUGUGGCACAGAGAAGAAUUUCCUGCUGGACUGGGGAGAAAAAGGAGACGAAGUCCUCUCUUGCAACAUUGGACGAAAGUCUAUAUGGUGGCUUUUGGAGGUUGAAGGGGGGUCCUCUAUUCUACUGGGUCUGUGAGAUGAGGGAGAUGAAAGAUGGUCUUUUUUUUUUUGCGUUCUGCUCAGUCUGGGUUAUGGGGAUGAGCUGAGGGGUGACAACUAGUUUAAGGUUCGUCGUUCCCUCUUUUUUUUUUUAUGUUUCUUUCUUUUAGGGUUUCUGAAUAUGGCCUCCUUCUAGGGUUUCUUGUAAUUGUCUCCCCUGUUUUUGCAUACACUAAGAUAUGUAUUUAUAGUGCAAGAGUCUCAUUGCAUGUGAGAAUAAAGUUUCAAUCAAAUUCAUUCUCUUCUUUAAAUUUUAAAUUUGAUUAAUAAUCAAAUUUGAAAGAAGAUAACUAUUCUUAUCUUGAAGAUAAGGAUGAAACGACAAAAGCACAUUGUAGCCCCUAGUUUUCGUGCAAGCUGACAAAUCAUGUUUUCAUCGAAAUAAAUUCAAAUCUUUUAAUUUUACGUUUUAAAUCUUAUAAAAUUAAAUCAAAAGCCAACGGGCUAAAAUUGAAUUAUAACAGUUGCCUCCUCUUUACAAUGCUUACGGUGCAAAGGCAUUGGAAAAUUCAAUUUCUUUUGACUUUGACUUUGCAUAGUAAGUUUUGUAAAGAAAAAUAAGCAUGAAAACCCUUCCUCUUUUAUUUUGAUUGAUUUUUUUUGUUUGCUUUUAUUUUUAUUUUAAAAAAUGGUUUAAUUAUUCCAAGUAACCUACUUGAUGAUAAAAUGGUAGCAAACUCGUAGGCAACCUACUCGUUGGAAAGAAUAAAACGUGAAAAGGAUUUACGAGUGGUCUAAUUGUUCUAGGUGACCUGCCCGAUAGGAAGAAAAAAUGCAAGAAUUUUAUGAGUGGUCUAAUUGUUCCAGACGACUUGCCUGAUGAAGAAUAAAACAAGAAAAUGAUUUCACGAGUGGUCACAUUGUUCCAAGUGACUUGCCUGAUAGGAAGAAGAAAUGCAAAGGUUUUCCAUGAGUGGUCUAAUUGUUCCAGGCGCCUUGCCUGAUGAAGAAUAAAAUGCGAAAAGGAUUUCACGAGUGGUCUCAUUGUUUCAGGCAACUUGCUCGAUAGGAAGAAUAAAACACAAAAAGGUUUUCGCAAGUGGUCUAAUUGUUCUAGGCGACCUACCCGAUGAAGAAUAAAAUGCGAAAAAGAUUUCAAGAGUGGUCUCAUUGUUCCAAGCAACCUUCCCGAUAGGAAGAAGAAAGACAAAGGUUUUCGCAAGUGGUCUCAUUGUUCUAGGUGACCUGCCCAAUGAAGAAAAAAAUGCGAAAAUGAUUUCGUGAGUGGUCUCAUUGUUCCAGGUGACCUGCCCAAUAGAAAGAGUAAAACAUGAAAAGGAUUUUGCUAGUGGUCUAAUUGUUAUAGGCAACCUACUCGAUGAAGAAUAAAACGUGGAAAGGAUUUCGUGAGUGAUCUAAUUGUUCCAAGCAACCUGCCCGAUGAAGAAAAAAAUGUGAAGGAUUCCAUGAGUGACCUAAUUGUUCGUCAUGACCUGCACGAUGGGAAGAAUAAAACACGAAAAGGAUUUCGUGAGUGGUCUCAUUGUUCUAGGAGACCUACCCAAUGAUAAAAUGCUAGGAAUCUUGCAAGUGGUCUCAUUAUUACAAGCGACCUUCCCGAUGGUGAAAAAUAUAGAGAGAGAUUUCUCCUCUUUUUUUUAUUUUUUUGAAAAAUACAAUGAUUUUUCAUAGAUGGUCUCAUUAUGAUAGGUGACAUACCCAGGUGAAAAAAUAAAAAGGUGGAAAAAUACAAAGAAUUUUUUUUUAGAAGUAGUCUCGUUGUAACAAGUGAUCUUUCCAAGUAGAAAAAUACAGAGAUUUUUCGGGUGCCCUAAUUCUCAUGGGCGGUCUACCUAGGUCAAAAUAUUUCUCAAAAGUGAGCAAUUUUCACAAGCAUUUUUAGUUUUUGGCCAUUUCAAGGUGGCCUUCCUUUUGAGGGAUCCCAUUAGGGAUUUCUCUUGUGAAAUUUGAAUAACACAUUCUUCAAUGUUUCAAAGUCUAAAUGAUAUGUAUGCACCUUUACUUGAUUUGAAACAUAGGUCCCCUUUCUUCUUAAUCUUCUUGUUACUUGAUUGAUGAGGACUUGCUAUUUCUGACUUGGGUCAUCUUUGUCAAUUGGCUUCUAGCCCACUCGAGUUGGCCCAUGUGAGUCUCUUCCUAUAUUUGUUACAACUCAGCCUUCAUGGUGCCCAUUGUGCCCCACUUGCUUGCUAGAGAUUUUUUAUCUUGUUGGAUAAUUUGAGAGGAUCAUUAAUUACUCCUCGUCCCACAGUUAAAAUCACUCGGUGUCACUUGUUGAAAAGAUCAAGCUGUCUUUUUUGUAAACCAAAUUGCCCCCUUAUCUAGUUAUAAGAAAUGUUCCUCUCUUUUCCUUUUAUUUUUUUUCUAGAAGGGAUUGAUUUUUCUUCUAAACACAAUGUUGCCCCUUUAUACUAGCUAUUGCUCCUAGGUGUGCUCUGUCAAUGACUUAGACAAAUAAUGGUUUCAAGUCACCAUUCUCUCAUUUUAUCCUUUUCUACUUGGUGAAGGAAUAUGUGUCUAGAAUGAAUCUUGAAAAUUUGAUCUUGCAUUUUGAAAAAAAAUAUUAUUUUGAUUUGAGUUUUAAAACAAUUUGCUUUUGAAAUCUUGCAACUCCUUGUUAUUUUCUUUCUUGAAAAGAGAGGAUUUACUCUUGUGUUUGAUGAUAUUGUCAUUAAUGAAGGUACGUCAUGAGGUGACCUUCUGUUUCUUAUGGGUUUCCAAGCGAAUGACUCGAGAAAAAGCUCGAGGUUAUGUUUGAGAAAAAUUUGUCUUUUUUUGAACACUCAUUUUAUCAGUAUGAUUAAUAAUGAGUAGCCUGUUCUCGAUGUCAUGACUUUAAUGAAAAAGUACUCUUUGCAUUUUGAGAGCAUUGUUUAUUGUUCCAAAUUGCUUUUUACUUGAUUAGAAAGUACUUCUAUAGGCACGUAACGUAGGCUGUGGUUAUUGUCUUUGAAAGAAAAGGAUUCAUAAGGCUCAAAGAGUGUUUCAGGGUUUCAAAGAUUGAGGAUCACUAUUAGUAGUUUGACUCUUUGUGACUUUCAUCUUAUUUUUUUUACACUCUUCUUUGAUUUGCCCUUUUUCUUUUUUCAUUGCUUUGCUAGGGCAUAAUCACUUUAUCUUGGUUAUCACUCUUUCUUGUGAUUUGGGCAUGCCCCCUAGCAUUUGAGUUGUUUGGGCUCUUUUGCCUCUUUGGCUUUUUCACAACUUAAAGUCUACAUCUAGAUCCUGAUAUUUUGGCCAAACCCUAACGGAUAAUCAUAAACCAGUUAUGAUAUCCAUUUUUCUUGAUUUUGAAAAAAAACAUGCUUGGAAAAUUCUUUAGGACUUGGUCGUAUGCAAUAAAAUAUUUUUUUUCCUUUUUUUUCCGGAGAAAACCGAGUAUUUUAAUACCGAACUUGUAUCUUACAAUGUAAGUAUAUAACCCAAUAUUAAGCAAACUUGGUAGAAAAAUAUAUAUAAAUUUUUUUUUUGAAAUGAUUUUAAAUUUUUUUUUGAAUUUUUUUGAAAUUUUUUUUUUCGGGCCGGGUUGGGCUAGAACUGGCCCGGCCCGGCAGAUGAAAAAGAGAGGGCUAGUUGCAGGAAAACCAGGAAAGGCUGUUUUUUUUUUUUGCCAACUUUGAGCUCCCCUUUCCUCCUCCUCUGAGCAUGAAAUUGGCUCCUAUUUAUAGGGAUGGAAAGAGGGUAAUCUUGUAUUCAAUGGGGAAAAUGUCUCGGCCCUUGAUUCGACUCGAGGAAUCCAAGCCGUUGGUUCAAAGUGUGCACCUCGAACUACCAAAUUUGGCAAUCCAAGGCUGUAGACUGCCCGAGGUGGCCACUUUGGGCCAAUAAACGGAGCCGUUUCAAAGUUUGUCGACCAGACCAGACCAUUUUUCAGGAUAAAAGGGUUUCAGGUGGACAUGUUGGUGCAUGCUUUGUCGGAUUUGGGGGCCACACGAGUUAGAAAAUGCGCCUGGAAAGCAGCUACUCGGGCAGCUUUGCGAGGAAGAAGAUGAACAGUAACCAGGUGACGCAUCGCCUGGUCCCUUCCCCCCCUUUUUUUCUUAAACACAAAAACGACGCCGUUUUGGAUAAAAAAAAUUAGGGAUUUUUGCCGAUUUUCAAUUUAGUCCUCCAGCUUUCAAUUUCUUUCAAUAUAAUUCCCUAAUUGACCCUAAACUUCUGAUUUAAUGCAAUUUGGUCCCGGCUUAACUUCAACUUCAGCCCCAGAUUUACAUGACUUUUGCAAUAUGGUCCUUGGUUUCAGAUUUAUGCAAUUUCAUCCCUAAUUGACCAUUAAACUUUCAAUUUCUUCAAUUUGAUCCCCGGAUUUUGUCAAUUAGACCCCCGGAUUUUGUCAAUUAGACCCCUAUAGUUUGGCACCUUUUGCAGAUUGGUCCUUGGCUUGGAUUUUGUCAAUUUAACUCCUAAUUGGCCCCAAAAAUUCAAUUUUCUUUCAAUUUGGCCCGUGAUUUCAAUCAAUUAACUUGGUAAAAAUUAAAUUUGGUCUCUUAAAAUUCCAAUCUUCUCAAUUAAGCCCAAAUUAGGCUCCCAAACUUAAUUGUUUUCACCAAUUAAGCCCCAAAUAAAAUUAAUUUGACCCAUUUAAAGUAUAAUUAAGUUCUUGCACUUAAUUAAAUCCUUCAUUUGGACCUAAAUUAAUUCUUAAACAUAAUUAAAAUUUAAUUUGGCCCAUGAUUAAAUCAAAUUGGCCUAUUAAAAAUUUAAUUAUGUUAUUGGACUUCAUUUUUAUGCAAAUUUAUCCAAUAAUCAUUUAAUUUGACCUUGAAUUUGCAUUUUUUUCCCUCCAAUUUUGUGCACAAUGGGGUGCCAAUAGGUCUUGAAUCUUCUCCAAAAAUUGCAACUUGAUUUCCCGGCAUACUUUCUCCACGUUGCCAGCCUUUAUUAUUUUUUUGUCUAUAUUAUUAUUUUUAUUAUUUUUUAAUUUUUUUUUAAAAAAGCAAUUUAUUUUGGGGGAAUAACCCAGAAUUGGGUUAUGACAGAAAUUUUCACUUGCCCCUUUUGCAGUGAACGAUAUAUAUAUUAUGCAUACAUUUCAAUUUUCAAUUUUCCAAUUUUCAAUAAACUUUGACCUUGUUUAGUAUGAUGGUUUAGACUUUUGCAAAGAAAUACAUUUCAUGAGUCUAUAAGCAACGAGUUCACUACAUAUCAUUAUGCAUACAUUUAAAAUACCUAGUUCAAGAGUCAUGGUGUGAGGGUGACGGUUCAUUUCCUAUUCAUGCUUUGGUUUAGAGUUUAGUCAUCUCAAUGAAGGAGUUGCUUCAUUCAUAUGUGAUUCUACAAGUAGAAUGUCAAAAAUAUCAUUUUAAAUAAACAUCAAAUCAUUUUUUGAAAUCAAAAUGCAAGUUUAAUUUUUCAAAAUUCCACUAGAGGAAAAGAUUUUGGUAAAAGAAAUGUAUCGCUAUAAGAUCACAUGAGGCUUCAAAAGUGUAUUUGUAAGUUCUUUAGGAGGAAACCCCUUUUAGGAUAUUUGCCUAUAAAUCAAAGCAAGAGAUGCAAUUAAACGACAAACUCAUUAUUUCAUUGAAAUUCUAGAAAAAGAGGCUUAAUGAUUAGUACUUAAAAGUGUAUUUUUAUCGAGGUUUCAUAUCAUCAUUUUGCACUUGAAAUAUCAAUAACUCCUUAACUAGAGCAUGGUUUAUAAUAACAAGUCUGAUAAUAUAAGAUAGCUUUAAUUUAUGGUAAAUUCUCAUUUCAAAUGUAGACAUAUCUCACAAUUCAAAUGAUUGAUUGUUUGAUUAACUAUUGAAAGUGAAAGGACAAAGAAAAAGCUAAGCUUAGAAAAGAGAUGCUGAUUCAAUUCAAAUUGAAACAUUGUUUAGUCAAUGGGUCAUAUCUGAAGUUGUAGAUCUUGGAUUUUAGUUUGGUUUAUAUGGCUAGAAAGCUAAGAAAUUGGCUUAAAACAUUCAUGAAGAGUGGAAGAUCCAAAUCUGUCGUUUUCAAAUUCAAAACUUGGCCACAAAAGAGAAGUCAGAAUCUGUCCUGCAAUCCAACCCCAACACUGCUCAAAACGUUACCCAUAAUUAGAGUUCUAGAAAGCCAAAUGACGUCAAAUUUGAUGGGUGGAAAUAUAAGAAAAUUUCCAACAACUUUCAUGUAGACCAUCGACUUAAAUUCUGAUGUUAACAAUGAAAUUUCAUCAAGACAAGAGCUUGAGGGCUAUCCACCACGUCCACCAUAAGCAUUACUCAGUAUCUUAAUGUUUAAUAUUAACAUGUCUUAUCUUUUUAUCUUACCAAUUCUUAAUACCUUGCUUGUUAAAUGGUUAAUCUAGAUUUGUGUUGUAUAACACUUGGUACAUCAAAUGCUUGAUCCUUCAUAGCCUUCGGCUGACAUCGUUGUUAUGAGAGGAAUUUGAUUUGUUGUCAAUAUAAGUUAGCAUUAUGAAUCCCUGAUAAAAUUUAUAACUAUUAUUAUUACUCAUUUUUGGACCGCACGUGCUAGAGACAGUGUAUACCCCUUUUGAACCAAGUGCAGGAGUGUAGCUCAUGUUUGUUGGAAAAUUGACAAAAGUGGAGAAGAAAGAAAUGUUUUUCGAAUCUUGUUUGAGCUGUUUUCUACUCUCUUUAUCCUCCCCAUUUGCUGCCAAAAGCGUCAGGUUUCCUAGACUGAUUAGGAGUUUUCAUAAUGCUAAAUUCAUUUUUUAUUUGGUUUUUAAGGUUGGAUAAAUCUCUCAUAAUUUGCACUGAAAAACUAAUUUUGCUGCUGUUACAAUGUUUUUUUGUUCCCACUUAGGCUUUGAUUCUGACUUGGUUUUGGAUGAUAUCUGACUAUCCUAGCUAUAUUUUGUCACUCAUGACAUGUUGAAGAAUUGACCUACACCUUUAUUGGGUUUUAGAGCUCACUGUUCUUAUGGUAGAUUCUCAAUCAGAUUUGGAUGCUCGGCAUUGUCAGUUUCCUGAAUCAGAUCAGGAAACCUUUAUUGACCAACCAGGUUGCGACUAGAUUCUGAUCUUCAAAAUGAAGUUAUCUCAUUUUGGAUCCUUCAUGAAAGUUGUAGUUCUACAAGUGUAAAUGAAUUUGGGUUUUUAAAUCACCCGAUUUAGAUAACAGAAGCUCAAGAUAUUUCCUUUUGAAAUUUAGCGUGAAAGUAGAAAAUUCUGCCGCGAGAUGGUUUCCAGCCGAGUUUUGUUGCAAUUGUUUUCUUCAAAAUAAUUUUAUCUCACUUUAAAUACUUCAUGAAAGUUGUAGACCUGUAUAUGUAGAUGAGUUUGGGUUUUUGAAUCUCCUAAUUUUGAUAUCAGAAGCUCAAGAAAUUUCUAUGUGAAUAUCUAAUGAGAAAGCAGAGAAUCAUAUCGCGAGAAAUGUUCCAGCUAGAGUUUUUACAAUUCUGCUCUUCAAAAAGAAUUUAUGUCACUUUGAAUCCUUCAUGAAAGUUGUAGACCUGUACGCGUAGUUGAAUUUGGGUUCUUGAAUCGCCUAAUUUCGAUACCAAAAGCUGAAGAUAUUCCCAUUUGAAUAUCUAGCAUGAAAGUAGAGAAUCCUAUUGCGAGAAGGAUCCUGACUUGAGUUUGACGGUCUGAUUCGAGGGACUCGAUUUAAUGUUUCAAGAAUUUAUCCGGUUAAUUAAAGACCAAUUUUAAAUUUUGGAAAGUAAUUGGUUUCGUUGAAGGAAUUCAAAAUAUAGGGAUUGGAUCAGAAAACGUCAUAAUAAUGUCUGGCUAAUAUCAAGGAAGCAAUAUAUCAAAGAGAUAAUUACUGAAUCAUAUAUAAUUACUGUAAUAUAAAAUACUAUAGAUAUAUGAUUUCAUUAAUGCUAGUUGUCAUAACCUAAAUCUGGGUUAUUCCCAAAAAAUCACAUUUCUUUUUCAAAAUAAAAAUAAUAAAAAUAAUAAUAAAGGAUGGCAGCGUGGACAAAGAAAAUCGGGGAAUGAAGCUGCAAUUUUGGAGAAAAUUCAAGGCCUAAUUGUACCCCAUUAUGCCAAAAAAAAUGCAAAUUCAAGGUUAAAUUAAAUGAUUAUUGGACGAAUUUAAAUCAAAAUCAAGUCCAAGUAUAUAAUUAAAUUUUUAAUAGGCCAGUUUGAUUUAAUCAUGGGUCAAAUUAAAUUUUAAUUAUGUUUAAGAAUUAAUUUGGGUCCAAUUGAAGGAUUUAAUUAAGUGCAAGGACUUAAUUAUACUUUAAAUGGGUCAAAUUAAUUUUAUUUGGGGCUUAAUUAGUGAAAAAUUAAGUUUGAAAGCAUAAUUUGGGCUUAAUUGAGAAGAUUGGAAUUUUAUGAGAUCAAAUUUAAUUUUUUUCAAGUUAAUUGAUUGAAAUCAGGGUAAAAUUGCAAGAAAAUUGAAGUUUUGGGGUCAAUUAGAGGUGAAAUUGACAAAAUUCGCAGCCAAGGACUAAUUUGAAAAAGGCGCCAAACUAUAGGGGCAUAAUUUAUAUAGUUGACCUCCCUGUGAUUUGACCCCGGUCUUGUUGGGUUAUUUAUUACUUUGACACUCCUGCAUUUGAGAUAAGACAUCAACUCUUUGAUCGUGUCAAGUUUUUGGUGUCGUUGCCGUGGAAGGUAAAUUAGUGUAUAAAUUAUAUAUUUUAUUUUAUUGUCUUUUCUUUUCUUUCCUUUUAUCUCACUUUUGUUUCUUUUGUUUUGUUUCUUUUUUUUAUUCCAGUUUAUUCUCUUCCUUCACAUGCAUGAGAGUUUGGUCAUGACCAUUAAAUGGUAGACUUUAUAGGAAAUUCUCAUCAUUUUCAGAAAAUAUGGUCGAAGAGGAUAACUAGUCGCUUUAUAAUGAGAAUAAUAGAGACCACAUGAAUCCUACAAGAACAAGUGCACCCUCAUGUACCGUUUUCCCUCCUGAUGCAUCUCACUUCAAUUUUAAGCUAGGCAUUAUUCAAAUUUCACCUUCUUUUCAUGGCCUAGAUCUACAAAAUCCAUACUUGCAUUUGAGAGAAUUUGAAGAAAUCUGUAAAACCUAUAAUGACUUAAAUUGUAGUAUGAACACUAUCAGAUUAAAGCUUUUUUCUUUUUCAUUAAAAGAUAAAGCUAAAACAUGGCUACAAAAUCUUAGGUUAGGAUCCAUUUGUGCAUGGGAUGAAAUGCAACAAUAAUUUUUAAAAAAGUUUUUUCCGCCUCAUAGAACAAACUCUUUUAAAAGACAAAUCAUCACUUUUACUAAAAAACUAGGAGAAACAUUUUACCAAUGUUGGGGUAGGUGUAGAGACUUGCUGAAUACUUGUCCUCAUCAUGGUUUUGAAACAUGGAGAUUGGUUUUAUAUUUUUAUGAAGGGUUAACACCUAGAGAUAGAUAAAUGGUGUAAUUGAUGUGCAAUGGAAUUUUUGAAGAUAACGACCCUGAUGAAGCAAUGGAGUCCCUAGACUUGGUAGCUGAAAAUGCUUAAAAUUAGGACACUAUAGGUACGUGUGAGGCACAUGGUAAAACUCAACCUCAUACAUCUAGUAUAGGCAUGUACAACCUUAGGAAAGAUCAUGACCAUUAAGCCAAAUUUACAACUUUAGCUAGAAAAGUCGAGGCACUAGAAGUAAAAAAGAGUACUAAACUAAAAUCUAUUCAAGACAUUAUGUGUCAAAUAUGUGAAACCAAUGAACACUCAACCAAUGACUGUCCAACUUUGCCUUCUUUCAAGGAAUGCCUCCAUGAACAGCCCUAAGCUUUAAAUAGUUUCCAAAGGCCCAAUCAUAACCCACACUCACAAACAUACAACCCUGGUUGAAAAAAAUCACUUAAAUUUCAGUUGGAAGAGUGAUAACAAUAAUGCAUAAACUUCAAACCACCAUUUCAAGCACAUCAAAAUUUUUAAAAUUCUCAUGGAUUUGUACCUCCUUAUGCUCCUCCUAGAAGAAAUCUUGAGGAAACACUGCAUGCAUUCAUUGAAAAGCAAGAGACAAUCAACACUCAAAAUGCUCAAACUAUGGCAGAUUUGAAAUAUACUCUUGCAAAGUUCACAUCUGCUCUUAGUUUUCAGGAGAAAGGUAAGUUUUUAACUCAACUACAAUAAAAUCCCAUAGGGCAAUACAAUUCAAAUGCAAGUAACUCUAGAAGCCAACACAUGGAUCAAAUCCAAUCAGUCAUUACUCUUCAUAAUGGUAAGGUUAUUGAAAAACCAAUUCUUGAACCUUAUGAGAAAGAUGAUGAGUCAAUCUCUAAGGGUAAGGAAGGGGUUAAACCUGAACAUUGCAAAGAAAAGACUGAUUCCCCACAAAUAUUUCCAUUUGUUCAUGCCAUGACCAAACAAAGAAAAGUCAAUCAUGAUUAUGAAAUCUUUGAAACUUUCAAACAGGAAGAAAUUGAGGACGAAAAAUUGACAAUAGAUUUGACAUCCAACAUCACACCAAGUGAUGAUUACUUUCCUAAUGAAUCUUCACUUUCUAUUGCUUCAAUACCUUGGUCUGCUAAUAUUGACAUUUUUCUUGCUUUAGGAUUUUUUCCAGCUCAUUUGGAUACCCAAGACAAAAGAAAGUUUUUGAGCGAUGUGUAGAACUUUUAUUGGGAUGACCCUUACUUAUUCAAAUAUUGUCUUAAUCAAAUAUUUCAAAGAUGCAUUCUUGAUAAUGAGGUAAGUAGUGUCAUUAAAGUUUAUCAUUCAAAGGCAUGGGGGGGAUAUUUAUUGUCAACAAAGAUGAUUGCAAAAAUCUUACAAUGUGGAUUUUAUUGGCCCACCAUAUUCAAGGACACACAUGCGUUCUGCAAAACCUGUGAAAAUUAUCAAAAGUUAGGAUUUAUUUCAAAACAUAAAGAGUCCUUAUAUAAUCUUCUAUUGACUCUUGGGACGUACCUUAAUGGAGAUGUGCUUCUUGCAAUUCAUGAUUUAUAGCCUCAUUUUUAUAAAGAACAUGCUUGACAUAGUCUUGGGAAUCUGACUAAAAAAGACCUUGUUUGCUAGUUUUUAAGAAAACUAGAUGGGGAGCCUAUCCCCGAACCAUAAAGGGCGUUUAAGCCGUUCUUGGAAGUAAACCGAAGGGAAUAUGUGAGCCACAAUCUUAACUAUUUGUGCAUAAUACAUGUUCUGUAAUAACUUGUGUCUUUUGGUUUUAGCUUAAUAUUUUGUUUUAUUAUUUCUUAUAUUUGUUUAAGUGUGUUUCAGGUUUAUCAAUGUUCAUUGUUUCAGGUGAUGUUUCUAUACUCUAUCUUUCUACCUUAGGACAUUGAGGACAAUGUAUCGUUUUGGUUUGGAGGAAAGGGUGGUAGUUGAUAUUAAACAAAAAUUAACUAACUGUGUUUUCUAUUUCAUAAAUCAUUUGCAAAAUUGUUGUUACUAGGAUGUCAGAGUAAGAGAGUUCUUUUCUUAAAGUGACUCUUGAGACGCAUCUUAGUAAACAUUCUUAACAAGGUUUAUCAGAAUACUUCUUGAAAUAUUCAAGUUUACAAACUCUUAUAUUAUUAUCAAUUGAUUCUGCUCAUAAAUUCAUUUAACAAGUAUUCUUAAACCUUUAUUUUCACACACACACUUUAACAUAUGAUUAUGGGUUGCACAUUGGAUUAUUACAUUAUUUAUGUUCUUUUGUUAAAGGUAACUACUAAGGGAAAGGGAUAGUAUAUAAUUUGCAAAAUAAAAAAAUAAAAAAAAUAUUAAUGAUAAUAAAAAUAUAGAUAAGUUUGGUUUCACAACCUCCCUAAUCUAAACAAUUAAGUCUGAAGGGGUGUUUAACACCUAAUACCCUAAAGUCAACUAACUUGAGAGCUAUUGGCCAAACGCUUGUCACAUGGGUUAAGGAGAAAAGCUUAAGGGAAUCAAACAUUGCACUAUCUAUGUAUCAGUAUCUGUAACCUUAGUUACUAAGCUUGUAGGGGUGUCUCAACACCUAAUGCCAUAAGACCAACUGGUUUGGGAGUCAUUAGCCGAAAGCUCGUUACAUGGGUUAAAGAUGCAUUGUGUUUUAAGAUAUAUAUAUAAAGAAAAAAAAGAUAAUAAUCCCAACCCAAGGAAGUUAACCUUAAAAAAACAUUAGAAUAGAAUAUUGAUUUCUUCCAACAAAGCCCCAUCAUCUAUGUUUUCAUACUUUGAGCACAUAAAAAGAAGGUUUAUUAUCUUGUUUCAACAAUAUGAAGCAAAUCUAUAAAUUUAAUGAGAGUUUGUUUAUUUGGAUAGAUUAAUGAAAGUUGAAUGAUGAAUGUCUUGCUUUGUGGAACUUGCAAAUUGUUUUUCUUUUUUAACGUUUGGAUUACUAGGGACUAGUAAUAAGCUAGUCGUGGGGGGGGGGUGUGUGAUUAGUACUUAAAAAUGUAUUUUUAUCAAGGUUUUUAUAUCAUCAUUUUGCACUUUAAGUAUCAAUAACUCCUUAACUAGAACAUGUUUUAUAAUAACAAGUCUGAUAAUAUAAGAUAGCUUUAAUUUUUGGUAAAUACUUAUUUUCAAUGCAGACAUAUCUCACAAUUCAAAGGAUUGAUUGAUGUGAUUAACUAUUGAAAGUGAAAGGACAAAGAAAAGGUUAAGCUUAGAAAAGAAAUGCUGAUUCAAUUCAAAUUGGAACACUGAUCAGUCAUUGGGUCAUAUCUGGAGUUGUAGAUCUUGGAUUUUAGAUUGGUUUAUAUGGCUAGAAAGCUAAGAAAUAGGCCUACAACAUUCAUGAGGAGUGGAAGACCCAAAUUUGCCGUUUUCCAAUUCAAAGCUUGGCCAUAAAAGAUAAAUUUACCCAAAUAAUGCUCAGAAAUUUACCCAUAACUAGAGUUCUAGAAGGCCAAAUGACAUCAAACUUGGUGGGUGGAAAUAUAAGAAAAUUUCCAACAACUUUCAUGUGGACCACCGACUCAAAUUUUGAUGUUAGCAAUGAAAUUUUAUCUAGACAAGAGCUUGAGGGCUAUCCACCAUGUCAACCAGAAGAACUACACAUUAUUUUAGUCAUGUAUCAAUCUAUAGUGAUCCAAAUGCUUUGAAAUGUUGUGGGUGGAAAGAGAAAAUGAUUUCCAACAACUUUCAUGAAUAACACUUUGCCAAAUUUUGAUUACAUCAAUGUCAUUUCAUCUAACCAAAAUGCUUGAGUGCUGAUGUCCACCAAUUCCACUAAAUCAAUAGUUGGCCACUACAACAAUAAUCAAUUACCAACAUUUACAAGUAUUAGCAUUAUUCGAAUAAGAUAACUAAUGUAAUCAUGUUAUCAAUUUAUAAUAUGAUUGGAACCUUCUUUGUAUGUGGUUUCCAGUUGAGUAAUAAAAAUAGUUUAUAUUAUAUUUAUUUGAAAUACCAUUAGGGAUCCUCUAACAUUGACAAUUGUUUUUAUCAUUGUUUAAUCCUUAUAUUAAUAUCACAUUUCAAAGAUCUCUUUAACUCUUUGUUAAAUUAUAUAUAUUAUUUAUAAUUUAUAUAGUUGACCUCCAUGUGGAUCGACCCCGAUCUUGCCGGGUUAGUUAUUACUUUGACACUCCUACGCUUGGGAUAAGACAUCAACUCUUUGAUCGUAUCACUUAACAAAAAAGACCUUAUACUAAUGAUUAGUACUCAAAAGUGUAUUUUUAUCAAGGUUUUAUAUCAUCAUUUUAAACUUGAAGUAUCAAUAACUCCUUAAUGAAAGCAUGUUUUAUAAUAACAAGUUUGAUACUAUAAAAUACCUUUAAUUUAUGGUAAAUGUUCAUCUUAAAUGCAGGCCUAUCAUAUAAAUCAAAGAAUUGAUUGAUGAGUUUAACUACUGAAAUUUAAAAGACAAAGAGAGGGCUAAACUUAGAAAAGAGAUUCUGGUUCAGUCCAAACUAGAACAUUGUUCGAUCAUUGGGUCGGAUUUGGAGCUGGAGAUCUUGGAUUUAGGUCUACUCUAUAUGAAUGGAAAGCUAAGAUAUAGGCCUAAAACUUUCAUGCGGAGUCAAAGAUUUAAAAAGGUCGUUUUCAAGUCCAAAUUGUAGCAACAACGGAGAAGUCCAAAUCUGUCCUGCAACCCAGACACUGUUCAAUGUUCAACCCAUAUCUCGAGUUCUAAAAGUCCAAAUGACCUUAAUUUUUUUUUGCUGGAAAGCUGAGACAAUUUCCUAGAACUUUCAUGAGUUAGGUUUGUUCAAAUUCUGACGUUAUCAAUGACAUUUUGUUCAGAUAAGAAGAUAAGGAUUGUCACCAGGUCAAGAUAUGGCGACCCACUCAACAAUUAGUCAUCAAAUCAAUAGUUCCAAAUUUUAGCCUAUAAAAAGAGGCAUUUGCCAUGCAUUUAGGCAUCUUGGUUCUUCAGAUCAAGAUCAUGCUCUUUAUUUCUUUCUUUAUAUUUUUGUAAUGUUUAAGUUUUAUUUCAUGUUAUAUUUUCCUUAAUCUCUUGUUUAUGCUUUUCAUUUCCUUUACUAUACUUGUGUUCUUAUGUUGUUUAUUUAUGUUUAUCUUCUUCAUUAUGUUUAGCUAAGUUUAUUAUGUCAAGGUGAAAAGGUUUACUAAUGGUGUUAGAAUAGGUAUAAUAUAAACUUAACAUGAACUUCAAUGUUUAUAUCCAAGAGUGUUGGUUAUUAACAUGUCUUAUUUUUUUUAUUUUACUAAUUCUUAAUAACUUGUUAAAUGGUUAAUCUAAAUUUGUGUUGUAUAACACUUGGUACAACAAAUGCUUGACACUUUCAUAGUCAACCGUAUGGUAUAAUCUACACUUGUGCUAUGAAAGGAACUUGAUUUGUUGUUAACAUAAGUUAGCAUCAUGAAUUCCUGACAAUAUUUAAAAGUUUGGUUUUACUUAGAUAAUAUAAUUAAUAUGAUUAUGUUAAAAAUUUAUAAUGAACUAUUAAGGAUAAAUCAUCCGAUUGGAACCUCCUUUGUAUGUGGUUUCUAGUUGAUUAAUAAAAAAGAGUUUAUACUAUACUUAUUUUUAAUACUAUUAGUGGAUUAUCUAACAUUGACAUUUAUUUUUAUCACUGUUGAAUCCUCACAUUAAUCUUACAUCUCAAAGUUCUCUUAUUAUUAUUAUUAUUAUAGUUAACCUCCUUGUGGUUUGACCCCUAUCUUGUUGGGUUAUUUAUUACUUUGACACUCCUGCACUUGGGAUAAGACAUCAAUCUUUUUGUUGUGUCAACUAACAUCUUGAGUUAUGAGCAAGGUGACACAUAAAAAGGCUAAACACUUAGCAAUUAUCGAUUGAAAUUUCUUGAAUCUUCCAACUAUCCCUCUCCCAUGAAUUCCUUAACAGGGGCACCUUUCUAAUAGUCCGUUGAGGUUACGUAUAAACUAGUCUUAGCCUAAUGACAUUGUGGCUUCAUCUUCAGGACGAUUGAUCUCUAGGUGUCUUUAUUUUGGUAGUUUUUUUUCUCGCCUUUGUAACCACCUUUGAUUUUGUGAACCUAGGUUUCUUUCCUUUUUCUAGUGAAACUUUUCUCCUCAUUUGAGUCAACAAUCCUUUCCAAACGGAUGGCUUGUUCAAUCCUCUUAGCUAUAUCAACUAGGUCAGAAAAAUGUUGUGCAAAGCUUUCUACUAGGUAUUCAAAGUAUGAUGCUUUGAAACUGUUGCAGAAUAAACCUAUCAUCUCUUUCUCCAAUAGCGGGGGAUUAACCUAUGUAGCUGUCUCAUGCCAUCUUUAGGCAUGUUUCCUCAUGGACUCUUUGUUGCCCUUUUCCAUGGCUUGUAAGCUUGACUUAUCAAGAGCCACAUCCAUGUUGAGUUUAUAUUGCCUAACAAAGGCAUCGACUAGGUCCUUUCAUCCUUUCACCUUGGUGUUGUCCAGAUUCAUGUACCAAUUGAGAGCGACAUCACUUAAACUGUCUUGGAAGAAAUGGAUCAACAACUUCUCAUCGUAUACUACUUCAACAAUCUUAUUGCAGUAUGCCUUAAGGUGGAUUAUCGGGCAUUGAGUUCCAAUACACUUAACGAAUUCUAGCACUCUAAACUUCUUAGGAAUGACUAUGUUAGGCACCAAACACAUAUCGGCGGCUUUCACUUGGUCAUGCAAAUUGUUUCCCUUAACUACCAUCAUCCUCUGUUCUAGGGCAACCCAUUUUUCCAGACACUUAUCUUCUUCCAUUUUGUCCUUGUGAGACUCCUCUAAGGUUAGCUCAAUAGCAUGAGGGAUCCUUAUUGGACAUACAGGUUGUGUUGGGAAAUGCGCAUCGCGUUGGGGCUCAAGUGAGGUUCUUUAUGCCCCCAAGUUUGGUGGAUUGAAAGGAGUUGCAAACGUUGGUAAAAGUUGGGCUAUAAAUGUUGCUUGGGAGGAUUUCCUUUCUCCUGACUUGGAUCUCAAAGCUUGCUAGUAAGUCUAGCAACAUCUUCUUUCAAACUGUUUAACUCUUUUUGAUGUUAGGCAUCCAGUUGAGCUUUUUCUUUGUUUUUCAUUUUUUUUCACAACUACGUGUUAUAAGAGUGCGUUUUAAUGGGGGGACCUAUAUUUCACCUAUUUGUGCAAUAUUAUGAUAAUUCAUAAGUGUAUGUUCAACAUGCAUGAGUAUGAAUGGAACAUAUUGGGUAUGGAUUCUCUCUUCAAGGGGUGACAUAACGAUCGUUAUUCUCUAGAUGUGUGGUCAAAUCCGAAUCCAAUAUCAUUAUUGCAAUGCCAAGAGUAUAUUUGCUUAGCCUUUUGUCAUCUGAGCGUUCAGCGAUGUAUACUUGGUGUCUUUUGUUAUGCAUCUAAUGUCUUUGAGUAGCGGUAUCUCACUAACAUCCAGUUUAGGGCAAUCUCCCUCAGUCAUUUGCAAGGAUUCAGACUCGAUUCCAUACUCAAUAGUGGUUAUAUUAGGCAUAACAACCAUUAUGUCACUCGAAAGCCCCAUAAUAAAGAUGCUUACACGUUUAAGCUUACCUUACUGAAAUUACACAAGAAUCAACCUAAAGGGUAGGUUCUAGUCAUUAAAUGGAUUGAGGUAAUUUUGCUAUCUAGUCUUAAAGGUCUUUUGCAUACUCAGUGAUCAUCCUCAAAAGGUUGAUAUGAGGUUAACAAGUAGCAUGACAAUAGAGGCCUUGAGUAAUAUCAAUUCGGCGUAUCAACCACUUUCGAGGAAACAAUCAUGCGAGAGUUGGAUAGUUUAGCAAGCCUGACCCAGACUAAAGCCAUUGAGGUGCCGUUACUCCUCCACUUAUCUUAAAGUUGAUACCAUACAUAAAAAAUGAGAUGAGUGAAGUGUGAAGGCCUUAGAUCCAUAUCUAAUAUAUAUGGAUUAUAAACAUGAAUAACGAUGCCUGCUAAAAUAGUAAAAAGAGAAAAACAAAAAAUAAAACUUGAUAGACACAUCAUAACAACAAUAAAGAAAAAAACAUUAUGACAAAUAUUGUUUAGCAAUAAAAAAGAAAAAAAACAAAGCCUACUCAUAAUUUCCCAGUAGAGUUGCCAUUCUAUCACACCUAGACAUCGUGGUGAAUGUUCAAAAAUAUUUUCUCAUGAAAAAAAAAGAACAGAUAUCUGGCAUCUUGUUCCCUAAGAGAAAAUGGUCUAGUUUAAGGUGUCGCCACCUAGUAUUAUGGUUACUAGAAACCCUAACUGGUCAACAGAAAUUCUUUGGUACAUGACUGGUUCUAUGAAAUAAAAGAUAUUAUCACCCCUAAAGCGUCUCAUCUAAGGUAGGCUGCAUUGCUAGUUUUGUAGUAAAUUGCUAAAGAUUAUUUUUUGUUAUGUUCUUAUGGUCUUUCUAUAGUAUUCUUGACUCAAAUGUCAAUGAAUAUUCACCUAUAAAUAUUUUUUUAACUCUAGCGUUGAUAAAUAUUGCGCAACCUAAAAGUAUGAUAUUCCUAACUUUGACACCAGUAAAUAAAUUCACAAAAUUCUGUAUUAAAAAACCAAAAACUAUGUUUUUUUUUCUUUUUUAUCAUUUUUUAUUUAUUUAUGUAGCUCGGUCUCAAAACUAAAAAAAAAGGGUCGGGUCACUGGUCCAAACCAGUCACCCAGCUGGCCACUGUUGCAUGCAUGCAUGCAACAGCAACCAGUUAAUUGUUUUAGCAAGCAAGGAAGGAAACUUACCUGGACGUGAUGCGCUGCUGGAGGUGAAGUCGAGGGAGAUGGUUGUGGUCAUGGAGGGCUGGCCUACUAAUACCGUUUUCUUCUCCUUUGUUUUCCUUUUGUUCUUCCCCUGGUCUUCUUUUUGUGCUCUCCUUGUUUAUAUUGUGCUCGUCUGUUUUCCUUCUCUCUUUACUAGUUCUUUUUAUGCUAGCACUGAGGACGUACGAAUGUCUACAACCGUGGCUGAGGAGAAACAACUUUUGUUGCUCAUGGUGGCUGCUGCUCAAGUCAUCGAAAUUUGUGCUGCCACUACUAAGAAGAGAAGGUUGCUGCGGGAAAUGCAGGGGUGUAGCUGAUGCUGAUGGCUGUUGUUAUAGGCUAGGAGGAAAGGAAAGAAGGGUUCCCCCUGCUGCUGUUGCUGCUGCCUUGCAUUUUCUCCUGGUUGCUGGAGUUGUUGAUGACAUUGCUGCUAAUCUUGACUACAACCAACAUUGGGGAUGGAGCUCACAGUUGGAGGCAACGCUAUUGAUGGCUGAGGAUGGAGUCCUGCUGUUGUCAACAUGAACUAUCUUUGCUGCCGUAUUUCUCAUAAAAGGAUCAUGUUGUUGCUGUGGCGCAGAGAAGAAGUUCCUGCUGGACUGGGGGAAAGAGAAGAUGAAGGCCUCUCCUGCAACAUCGGAUGAAAGCCUAUAUGGUGGCUUUUGGAGGUUGAAGGGGGUCCUCUAUUCUGUUGGGUCUGUGAGAUGAGGGAGAUGAAAGGUGGUCUUUUUUUUGUGUGUUCUGCUUAGUCUGGGUUUCAGGGAUGAGCUGAGGAGGGAAAGAGAUGAGUUGAGAGCCGUUUUUGGAGGCCGGGGAAGAAGAAAAGAAAAGGGCUGGGGUCCUCUAUUCGAAAGUGAAUGACUAUUUUUAUCUUGAAGAUUACAAUAGAACAACAAAAGUACAUUGUAGUUUUUAGUUUUUAUACAAGCUGAUAAAUCAUAUUUUUUAUUAAAAUAAAUCCUUAAUAUUUUAAUUUUAUCUUUUAAACCUCGUAAAAUUAAAUCAAAAAUCAACAUACCAAAAUUAAGUUAUGGCACUUAAUACCGCAUUUCUUCCUGAUACCCUCAGGUUUCUUCAUGAAUAGAGGUUGGGAUACCCAGCAGUUUAGAAAACGAAAUGGCUUCCAUCCCCACGUUUGGCAUUGCUGUCCUAAAAUAAUUGGACAGUGGUCAGACAAGCCUGGUGGCAAACGACUGAGAAGAAGGCCUGAGAAUUUUAAAUGGCAGUCUGGAGUGGCAAAGGCUCUAUGAAUUCUACUCAUUGAGGUGCCAUGAAAUCGUGUGUAUCGGUGGCCACUGAAGGAAUACUCCAAAAGGUUAGAGCUUGAGAUGAAACGUUUGAAAUCUGCAGACCCAAUUGCAUUCAAAAACCCACUAUUCCUUUAAUAUUGAUGCAAAGUUUCAUUGAAGUCCCCAACAAUGAACAUAGACUCCUAUUGUUGCACAUUUAAAUUGCUCCCUCCAUGUGUAGACCAAAAAGCGCUACCAUUGCCCACCAUCUUCGAUUGACUAUCUAGAGCCGUCCGUGAAAUUGGAGGAAUGCAUUGUUUACAUCCAUUUACCAUAGCUUAUAUGGAAUGCAUGGUUUUGAUCGAUCCAUCUGGACAUGUCUUCACCUUGUAAACCCAUUUAUAAGAUAUGUGCUUCACGUCUAUAUAGAGUCUCAUGUCUGAUUUUCCUUUAGAGCAUGGAUCUCCUCAUCCAUUUCAUUCUUUCAUUCACUACUCUGUGAUAUAGGCUCUAUAACCUAAGCUUUCAAAGUUAAUGUUAUGCUUGCAUAUUUUGGAUUUAGUUUCCGUUGUCUCCUUGACCUUCUCAUUUAUGACUGAGGUGUACCUUGUUCUUAAACUUUUGCUAUCUUGGUUACUCUUCUUUAGAAGAUAUUUGAUGAACACUAGUUUUCUAGGGGCUUGCUCGCAUUAUAGGAUUUUCUUGAUCAUCAAAUGUUGUAGACUCCUCCAUUAAUUUUCAAGGUAUUUGUUGCAUAUCCUUGAAUAAGUCAUUGGACUCUUCUUCACAAUGGGAAUUAUCUGUCACCUUCACCUUUUCUGGUGACCACUAGGAAGUUACUUCAUCAAACACGACCUUCCUCGACACCAUACAUUUUAUUGGUAUUGGGAUUGCAACAUCUCCAUCCCUUUCUUUGCACAUUUUAAACCCAAGAAUACGCAACGAAUCACUUUCUUAUCUAAUUUUCUUCGAAGAAUAUCGGGUGUGAACACAUAGCAUACAUAUCCAAACACUCUAAAGUAACUCAUCUUUGCCCUCAUGCUCGUAACUUCUCACAUGAUGAGGUGAAUCUAAGAUUUGCUUAGGUAAGCCUAUUGAUAACAUGUGUAGCUGCCUUCAUGCACUCACCUUAGAAUCUCCUUGGAACAUUCUUGACAUGUAGCAUACUUCUACAAGUUUUAGCUAAGUGCCUAUUCUUUCUCCCCGCUACUCUAUUUUGAUGGGGCGCUGCUGGACAAGUAAGUUGCCGACGAAUCUUGCAUACUUUGAGAUAGUUUUUGAGUUCUUCACAAGUGUCACGUUAUCUGUACGUAAGUAUUUUAUUUUCUUACUAACCUCACUUUCAACUUUCUUUUUUAAACUCUAAACUUUGCCGAGUUUUCAGUUCUUUCUUUCAUUUUUUUGAGAAGUAUAUGAUUUCAUUAAACGCCAUAACAUGACAGCAUGUGAAAUUACAGAACCUGCCAUAUAUCAAUUUUGCAGGAACUACCAAAUGAAGCAAGGUCCAUACAAAGACGACAAAAAUGAGAUAUAGCCUAAGAAAGCAACAUUGGAAUCUACACAAGAUAACCAUUACAUCAAAAUCCAGGGGACACUUUCAAGAGUCUCCAAUUCAUCUCUCUAGUGAAUCUAGACUUCUGAAAAGAAGCACAUUUAGCAGCCUCAGCUUAGCUAUGUUCGAAUCUAGUAUCCCUACUGGCAAGGAAAAAAUACCAAGGAGAUGACAAUGGUGGUUUCGCAGGACACCACCUAUACUUGAGAGUCCAAGCUUUCCAAGAGAUGAGCCAUCUACGUUCCACUUGAAUCUGCUAAUGGGUGGAGGAGACCAUAUAACACCAGUUGUAGUAAUCUGAACAUUGGACCAACGAAUCAAACCUUCUGCGGAUCUUAAUAGGUCUAAAGGGGAGUAAGGAAAGUCAAGAUGAAGUGCUUUCAACCAUAAGCAUAGCCGAGUGAUGAUAAGGAAGAAGACUGAAUCAUAGUUCGGCGACUUUUGUUGAAAGAUCAGGUCAUUUCAAAGAAGCCAAAGGUACCACACCACUGCGAAAAACAACAUCAACCAUGCUUUCUUCUGAAAUUUACCAUGAACCAUGGCAGUCCAUUGAGAGAACAAGCCUAACAAAUUCUUUGGGCAGCACCAUGAUAAUCCCCACCACUUGAUGAUUUUGGACCAGAUGAUCCAAUGCUUAUUGCAAUAUAGAAUUAAGUGAUCAACCGACUCUUCCUCGACUAGACAAAUAGUACAGUUAGAGUCUGAACUAUCCAAAGCACUUCUUCUAACCAGCACACCUCAGGUGUUGAGUCUAUUAAUAAUAGCCAUUAAACAAAAGAUCUCCACUUUAGGAGGGACUACACCUUUCCAAAUCCCAGCAAAAGAGAAGCCAUUGUUAGAAUAGUGAGUGGGGCUUAGCAGCCCACAUAGAGAUUUAAAGGAAAAUCUUCUAGAUUUGUUGUCCUUCCAUAUUAGUCUAUCCACAACCUCGUUGUCUAAGUGCACCGUUGAGAGAACAACAUAUAAUUGUUCUAACAAGCCAAUGUUUCGACCCCUCAAAGGUCUUGUUCAGGAAAAGAACCAUAUCCAUUCAAAACCAUCCCACAUUCCCAUCUUGUCAAUGCUGACAUCUUUAUCAUUGGAUAAAUGGUAAAGAGUAGGGAAAUGAUUUGCAAGACAGUAAUUGGCAAGCCAAAUAUCAUGCCAAAACACUAUUCUCUUCCCAUUUCCAAUAAGAACCAUAGAUUGAUGGGACACAAUCUCUUGUAACCUGUUAUCUCUAAUGCAAUGGUUGAUCAUAUGCGUCCAUGUGCUUCCAGCUCCUGAUUGCGGCAAGAAACCAGAGCAGUUAGUGUUGUGUAUGAAUUUGAUCACUUUCUUCCACAAGCUUGUUUCCUCCGAGCCUAACUUCCAUAGCCAUUUAUACAGUAGAGCUUUGUUUUUAUCCCUUAAAGAUCCAAUCCCAAGACCCCCAAUCCUUUUUGGAAGAGCAACUAUUGUCUAGCUAACAUUGUAUAAUUUCCUGCUUUCCUAUUUUCUAGACCACAAAAAGGAUUUGAACUUCCUCUCAAUUGUUGUUGCAACUGUUGCAGGCAUGGGAAAUAGAGAUAAAUAGUAGAUGGGCAGGUUACUUAGGACAGAUUUAAGUAGACAUAGUCUACCCCUAAUAGAUAGGAAUAUGCCUUUCCAUACAACCAACCUACAGCUGAUGUUGCGGUUAAUAGGCUUCCACAUUGAAAUUUUGUUCAUAUUUGCACCAAUGGGCAAGAUAUGUGAUGGGGAGUUGUUCUUGCUUGUAUCUAAGAAUCUGCGCUAAGUGGUGACAUAUAUGAUCUUCAAUACCCACUCCAAUAAUAUUGCUUUUGUAGAAGUUGACUUUCAGCCCUGAUAUAAGUUCAAAGCACAAAAUGAUACGCUUUAUGUUUUGUAAACUAGAUAGGGAAGCUGAACUGAAUAUAAGGGUAUCUUCCACAAACUACAGGUGAGAUAGGGCAGGACCAGUUUUGCUGAAAUUUAGUCCCUCAAUCAAUCCCAUACCACAACCAUGCUGCAGCAUACAACUCAAUUCAUGUGUUGCUAUCCAAAUUUUUACCCAUGUUUUGAUUAAUUUCUUUUUUAAAAUAAUAAUAAUAAUAAUAAUAAUAAUAAAAAUAAAAAUAAGGGUUUACAUGUGGCAACAACAUAGAGAAUCAGGGCUAAGGAAGCAAUAUGUCAAGGACAUAAUUACUGAAUCAUAUAUAAUUACUGCAAUAUAAAAUACCAUAGAUAUAUGAUUUGAUUCGUGCUUGUUAUGGAAAAUAAUCACUGCAAUAUAAAAUGCCAUAUAUAUAGGAUUUGUUGGUGCUGGUUAUAGAAGAUAAUCCCUGCAAUAAUUAUUUCAAUAUUUCCGUAAAUAACACGUGUAGCACUACAAGAUUUCACAGUUUUACCGACGGAAAUAUUCCGUCGGUGUGUGAUAGAACGUUCGUCGGUAAAGUAUUUACCGACUAUAUUACCGAUGGAAUACUCCUGUCAGAAUACCUUUUGUCAGUGAUUCCACAUUCCGUCGCUAUAUCAGUCGGAAAUACAAAAAAAAAAUUUACUGACGGACCGUGCGCGCCAAAAAAAAAAAGUUUCCCACUUGGAAUAUACCGACGGAAAAUAUUCCAUUGGUGUUAUGUAAAUACCGACGGCCUAACUCCGUCGGCAAAAGUGUCGGUGAUAUUUGAUACCGACCGAAUAUUUCCGUCUGUAAAUUCGUCGGUAAAUUUAUACCGACGGAUUAUUUCCGUCGGUGAUGGUGGGAGAUGGUGGCUGACAUUGUCCAAUGCCGACGGAGUUAUUCCGUCGGUAAAUCCCUGUGUAAUUGUUUUUUUUUAAUUGUUUUUUAAUUAUUUAGAAAAAAUAAUAUAAAUUAAUGGUAAUACAAACCAAUUAUGCAAAUAAAAUUUAUAUUAAGCAACAAAAACUCAAAGUGAAAUAAUAUUCAUUACAAAAUGAAUGUGUUUCAAAAAAAAAUUAAACAAAAUUUUAAAUGUAAAUAAUGUUUAUUAAAAAUUAAUAUAAAGGUGGUGGAGGAGGAGGAGGAGGAGGAUGGGGGUUAGGCAGCCAAAAAGGAUUAGGCGCACAUGUUCCACCUUGUGUCAUGUUCAUGACCAUUUGACGAAGCUCUUCAUAGGCCGCUCUUUGUUGUUCAAACUCUACUCUGUGUUGUUCGUUCGCCAAUCUUUGCUCUUCUUUGAGUUGUGUGUAUGCCUCUGAUAGGUGGUCGCUCCUUUGCUGCAAGGCCACAAACUCCUUAGAUUGGGAGCUCGAUACAGAUUGGGAGCUCCCAACAGUUGAAGCAGUACCGAUCGACCGCAAGUUGGCGGCGGUAGUGUUGGAGAGCCCGUAAACCCGAUUUUUAUUGGGUCCACCUGACGAUCCAGCCUCCAUCCACAAAUCCGGAUCGAAUUCCGGAUGGGUCAAAGAAUCAUCCCCGUAUCUUUCCCUCCACCGAUUAUUAUAGGUCUCCUGAAAAAAAAAAUCAUCAUAUUCAAUUCAAUAAACAUAAUAAUAACUUACAAAAUAAAAUGGUUGAACAAACAUACCACAAACUGUUGAGCACGGUUGUCAACGAAAUGUCCACACGUCAAAAGCUUUGAGAUAAGUUUCCAUUUUCACAGCCCACACACCAAAAUUCUGCCCUGUGAACACUGGUGUUUUUUCUAGAAAAUUUACAGAAUCCAUUUCUUAAAAAAAACUCACUUAAUCUCUUGUGUUUCACUCACAAUCCCUUGAAAGAAAAAUGCUUUGAUUUAGCCUCACUAAUCUCUCGUGUUUCACUCACAAUCCCUUCAAAGAUCAAAGAAUGCUCUGAUACCAAUUGUUGAUAAUUGGUUUAUAAAGAACUGAAUGUUGAUGAUAACCAGAAAAACAAAGAACAAAGAACUUGCAACAAAGAACAAAGAGCAGAAUGUUUUUGAUGAAGGUUACUGCCAUCGCUUAGCUUUUAUUUAUAGAUCAAUUACAACACAAUUAAGAAACAUAACUAAUAUAAACUCCUUCAUUUAUGGGGCUAUGUAACUUAUCCUAAAUAAGUUUCAUAAUUAAAGAAGUAAAAAACUAACUAAACAACAUUAAGAUAAUGAUGUUACUAAUAAAUAAACAUUAAUGAAAGAUAACAUAUGGUUGAGACAUUAAUUUCAGCUUUGGUGCCAUAGCUGCACAUUCCUAUCAUCUCCCUUAGAUCUUCAAAUCUCUCUUUAGCUAAAGGCUUGGUCAACAGGUCUGCUAAUUGCUCUUUUGAAGUGCAGUAUAUCAUCUCUAGUUCCCCUUCUUGCUGGAAUUGCCUAAUAGCAUGGAACUUGAUCUUCAUAUGCUUGGUUCUGUCAUGAAAAACAGAAUUCUUUGAAAUAGCUAUUGUUGAUGUAUUGUCACAGAACAAUUCUGUGGGACUUCGUUGAUCAAAUUCUAGAUCAUUCAGUAUUUUCCUUAGCCAUAUCAAUUGCUUUGCUGCCACAUAUGCUGCUAUGUAUUCUGCCUCUGCAGUGGAAUGUGCAACCACUGAUUGCUUCUUUGAGUUCCAACAGAAAAUGCUUCCUCCAAUAGCAAAGCAAUAACCUGAGGUGCUCAUCAUUUCUUCAUCACUUCCAGCCCAAUCACUAUCAGAAAAACCAACAAGUUUAACAGAACUUGAUUUCACAAAAUGCAUGCCAAACUCUAAAGUCCCUUUCAGAUAUCUCAAAACUCUCUUAGCUGCAACAAAAUGGAUUUGACUUGGACUUUGCAUAAACCUAGAGAGGUAAUUGACAGCAAAAACAAUGUCUGGACGUGUAGCAGUUAAAUACAACAAGCUGCCAACUAAACUUCUGUAGGCUUUUCCAUUAGUUUUGGGAGCUCCAUCCUCCUUCAUUAGAUUUUGUCCCAGUACCAUAGGUGUACUGACUGGUUUGCAAUUUUCCAUUGCAAAUUUGUUUAGUAGCUUCAUUGUAAACCUCUUUUGACAUAAGAAAUAACCUUGCUCCGAUUGAUUUACUUCCAUGCCUAAGAAGUAUGACAACAAACCAAGUUCAUUCAUCUCAAACUUAUCCUUCAUGUUGGUUUUAAACUCCUCUACCAGCUGCUCCUUGUCUCCUGCAAUCAAUAAAUCAUCUACAUAUACUGAUAUGAUCAGGGUAUGUUUGCCAACAUUUUUCACAUACAAAGUUACUUCAUUCAUGCUUCUUUCAAAGCCUAAACUCAAAAGAUACCCAUCCAAUCUGCUGUACCAGGCUCUAGGAGCCUGUUUAAGUCCAUACAAAGCCUUCUUUAGCAAAUAUACUUUGUUUGAUGUGAUCUCCUUUUCAAAGCCAUCAGGUUGUUCAACAUAUAUUUCUUCAUUUAGAACACCAUUUAGAAAUGCAGACUUAACAUCCAACUGAAAAAUAUGCCAACCAUUUUGUGCUGCUAGAGCAAGCAAGAGCUUUAUUGUAUCAAGCCUAGAUACUGGAGCAAAUGUCUCAGUGAAGUCAAUACCUGGCUCUUGUGAAUAACCCUUCACUACAAGUCUUGCUUUGUGCUUGCUGAUACUCCCAUCUGCAUUCAACUUGGUUUUGAAAAUCCAUUUCACACCAAUUACCUUCUUGUGAACGGGUCUGUCAACCAGCAUCCAUGUUUCAUUCUUUUCUAUCAUCGUGAGCUCCUCCUUCAUUGCAGCUAUCCAUACUUGUGAGUUGAUAGCUUCUUCAAAAUCUAUUGGUUCUGCUUCAGCAACAUUGCACCUGCUGUAAAUGUCAGCUAAGGACCUUGUCCCCCUUACUGGUUUGUCAUCGACGGUAUCAUCAUCCUCUGCAGCAUCCAGUUCAAUUUGAUACUCUUGUUUUGUCCCUUCAAUUGAUGCAGCUUCCCAGUUCCAUAUACCAUUCUCUGCAACUUUUACAUCUCUAGCAAUCACAACUUUAUUAGAUUUCAGAUCAUAGAUUUUAUAAGCCUUAGAUUUUGUGCUAUAGCCUAUAAAAAUUCCCAUAUCAGCCUUUUGAUCAAGUUUUCUUCUCUUAACUUCAGGUUGCAAGACAUAGCAAGGGCUGCCAAAAACUUUUAAAUGAUCAACAUUGGGUUUAAAGCCAUACCAGAUUUCAUAAGGAGUCUUAUCUCCUAACACUCUUGUGGUCAUACGUUUAGAAAGGUAAGAUGCGUGUUUUACUGCCUAUGCCCAGAAUUUUUAAUGGCAUUUUCUUCUCAUAUUAGCAAACAUCUUGCCAUUUCCAUCAAUGUUCGGUUUCUCUCUCACUUAUCCAUUCUGUUGUGGAGUGUAGGGAACUGUCAAUUGGUGUUUGAUCCCUUCUUUUGCCAAGUAUGCCUAAAUUGUCGAGAGGUAUACUCUCCUCCAUUGUCAGAUCUUAAUAUCUUCAAUUGUUUCCUGUUUCUAGUUCAACUGCUGCUAACUUAACAAACUCAGCAAACACAUCAGAUUUUGAUUUCAGAAAGUGAACCCAGCAGUACCUGCUAUAAUCAUCAACAAACAGAAGAAAAUACUUUGAACCAUUCAAUGAUUCAUUAUGCAUCGGCCCACACACAUCUGUGUGUACAAGCUGGAGUUUUGACAGUGCUCUAUAUGCAUUGUCAGGAAAAACAACUCUAGUUUGUUUUCCUAACUGACAUGCUUCACAAAUACUCUUUUGUUCCUGUAUAUCUGGUAAACCGUGAGUCACCUGCAGGUCAGCCAUUCUCUUUAAAGUUGCAUAAUUGAAGUGCCCCAACCGUUUGUGCCAGAGAACAGAUUCAUUAUUCUCAAAAGUGUUAGCACUCAAACAUACUUCUCUCCAAUCAACAUUAAAACUUAUGUUCAUCAUUUUUGCAAAAGCAGUAACACUCCAUUUUUAUCUUUAAUAUCACAUACUCCAUCAUUAAAGAAUAUUGAGUAACCAGAUUCCAGUAAUUGUCCCACACUCACUAGAUUUUGAUUAAUCUUAGGUACAUAAAGCACAUUUUUUAGAGUUUUUGUACCUGACAUUGUUUCAACUUCAAUCGCCCCUUUGCCUUCAACCUUCACAUACUCUCCAUUGCCAAUUCUUACUUUGGACAUGUAGCUUUUAUCCAAAUCCUUGAAUAAACUCAAAUCUGCAGUCAUAUGAUUAGUGCAGCCACUAUCAAUAAGCCAUGAUGAAUUGUUUACCUCUGCUGUGUUACACAUCUCCUGUAUUGUAGCCAUGAAUAAAAGAUCUUCCUUGACUUCUGAACAAUCGGCUACUUGAGCUUGUUUUAAUGUUUCUGCUUUAUUUUUGCAGAAUCUUUGAAUGUGACCAAAUUGCUUGCAGUUUCGGCAUUGUGCAUUCUUGAGCCAACACCAGGCUUCAAGAUGAUUUGUUUUCUGACAAAAUUUGCAAGCAGGAAACUGUUCUUUCUUCUCUUUCCCUCUAGUGAAGUUGUUGUUCUGUUGCCAGUUAUUGGAUUGCCAGCCUUUCCCUUUUUCUCUUUUUCCUUCUUGAUUGUUUCUGUAAAAAUUCUUAGCCCGGUUCUUCUCCUUGUAAACUGCAACAAGAGCUCCUUCACUUGAUCCUUCUUGUCUAUAAGCUUGCCUUUGCUCCACAGCUUGCAAUGCAUUUACCAGUUCUUGCAGGCUCAUUUCAGAGAAAUCUUUAGAAUCUUCUAAAGAGCAAAUUUUAUGUUCAAAUUUUUCUGGUAGACUUACCAGAACUUUCUCUACUAUUCUUGAAUCUGGAAAAUCUUCUCCCAAAAGUCUCACUUGAUUCACAAGUUUUGAAAUUUGAGAAGAGAAGUCUUUGAUGGUUUCAUUUUCUUUCAUCUUCAAACCUUCAAACUGUCUUCUAAGAUUUAAAAUCUGCAUCUUCCUUGACUUCUCAUCACCAUGAAAUUCUGCUUUUAAUUUAUCCCAUGUUUCUUUGGCAGAUUUACAAGCCAUAAUUCUGGUGAAGAUUUCUUCACUCACAGCAUUAUGAAGACAGGUAAGAGCUUUGAAUCGCUUUGCCUUUUCUUCAUUAAAAAACUUCAUCUGUGCAAUCGUAGGAUUGUUUCCUAGUGGAGUUGGUGGCUUAUCGCUCUCCACUAUCUCCCACAAGUCAAAAGCUUUGAGAUAAGUUUCCAUUUUCACAGCCCACACACCAAAAUUCUGCCCUGUGAACACUGGUGUUUUUGCUGGAAAAUUUGCAGAAUCCAUUUCUUAAAAAAAAACUCACUUAAUCUCUCGUGUUUCACUCACAAUCCCUUCAAAGAAAAAUGCUUUGAUUUAGCCUCACUAAUCUCUCGUGUUUCACUCACAAUCCCUUCAAAGAUCAAAGAAUGCUCUGAUACCAAUUGUUGAUAAUAGGUAUAUAAAGAACUGAAUGUUGAUGAUAACCAGAAAAACAAAGAACAAAGAACUUGCAACAAAGAACAAAGAGCAGAAUGUUUUUGAUGUAGGUUACUGCCAUCCCUUAGCUUUUAUUUAUAGAUGAAAUCAAUUACAACACAAUUAAGAAACAUAACUAAUAUAAACUCCUUCAUUUAUGGAGCUAUGUAACUUAUCCUAAAUAAGUUUCAUAAUUAAAGAAGUAAAAAACUGACUAAAUAACAUUAAGAUAAUGAUGUUACUAAUAAAUAAACAUUAAUGAAAGAUAACAUAUGGCUGAGACAUUAAUUUCAGCUUUGGUGUCAUAACUUCAACAAGAUUAUGUCUAUCAGUCUAAAUGUGCAUCUCUUUAGAGGUCUAGAUUCUCGUGAAAAUUAAAUUGGAGACUCUUGGAAGCUUCUCCUGAAUUUUGCAGUAAUGGUUAUCUUGUGUAGAUUAUAUUCUUGCUUUCUUAGUCUAUUUCUAAUGUUUUGUCCUCUUUGUAUGGACUUUGCUUUGAUUGGUAGUUCCUGCAAAAUUGAUAUGCGGCAGGCUUUGUAAUUUUUCAUGCCGCCAGGCUAUGGCGUUUAAUGAAACCAUAUUCUUCUAAAAAAAAAAAAAAGCCAUCAACAAGGCUUGUAUCGUAAAAAUCUUUCCCACCACUACCAUUUAGAGUGAAUUCUGCCAGGGAUGCUGGUGGGAUCGCACCGGCUCCGUUGCAUUCUAUGACGCCAGAGGCGCAGUCAGCUGUAGCACAAACAAACUUUCCCGAGGCAUCUGUAGAGCAUUGCGUUCUGGCCCACAAGCGGCCAGACCAAUUGACAGGGACACUCAGCGAAGAUGAAGCACCCGUCGCCAAUGUGAAGCCAGUUGAAGAUAAAGGCGGACGGCCAGCUGCCGUUAGAGUUCCUGGCCAGACUGUGUAUGGACACUUGCUUUUGAAGACGAAAGUCACAGAUUGAGCUCCUGCAUUCGUGCAAAAUUUAUUUUUGUUGAUAUCAAUUGCUAAAUCUUAGUCGAUUCAAAGAAAAUUUUAAACAAGAAACACCCUAUAUUAAGAACAUCGUAAAUCUAUUGAAAUAUAUUUUUUUAUUUCUUAUUUUAAUUUAAAGCUUUAAAUAAUAUUUUUCCUCUGCAAAUCAAAAUAACUAAUUUAUUGAUGUCAUUUUAUUUUCAAUAAUUAUCAUAAUUAUUGAUGAAAAUUAUUAGUUGUAAUCCAAUAGGAUUCCUUAAUUUAUUAAUUAAUAAUUAUGAUAUUUGUCAAUGAAAAUGAAAGGUUACAUUUACAAUAUGUUAUUUAUUUAUUUAUUCCAUGUAUGCUAUUAAUUAUCUAAUUUUAUAUAUAAUCUUAUUCAUGAUUUUUUUAAUAAAAAAUUAAUGUCGGUCCUUAUGAAUAAAAAACUUGUCAAUAAAGAAAAAUCUUGAUGUUAAUCCCUAAAAAUAUGUGAUUUUACCAAUUAAAAAAAAUUAAUGUUGAUCUCAAAAAGUAGGUGAUAAAAAUAGGAUAUUUCAUUGGUUUAGAAAGAUUUUGACGUUAAUCUCUAAAAAUAUGUGAUUUCAUCAAUUCAAGAAAAAUUGGACAUUAAUCACUAUAAUAUAUAAUUUCAUCAAUUUUGGGAAAACCUGAUGUUAAUCUUAAAAAUAAUAGAUUUCAUCAAUUAAGGACAAGUUGGAUGUUAAUCUCUAAAAAUAGGAGAUUUUAUUGAUUUAGGAAAAAAAUCAAUGUUAAUCCCUAAAAAUAUAUGAUUUUAUUAUUUAGGAAAAACGGAUGUUAAUCCCUAAAUAUAAGGGAUUUCAUCGACUUAGAAAAAAAAUUUAACAUUAAUCCCUAGAAAUAGGUGAUUUAUUUGAUUUAAGAAAAAAAGAAUUUUAAUCCCUGAAAAUAAAGGAUUUCAUCGAUUUACGAAAAAAAUUUAUGUUACUCCUUAAAAAUAGACUAUUUUCUUGGUUUAGGUAAAAAAAAAAAUGGUGUUAAUCCUUAAAAACAGGUUAUCUCAUCAAUUUAGAAAGAAAAAAAUGGACAUUAAUAACUAAAAAUUGGUGAUUUCAUUGAUUUUUAAUAAAUAUUAAUGUUAAUCCCUAAAAUAAAAAAUUUUAUUAAAAAACCUAUUUGCGAAAAUGAGCGUUUGGGCACGAAUACAUAGUGAAAAUUAGGCUUUAGCCAUACUUUAUUGAAUGUCUAGAAUGACCCGAAGGGUGCCAACUAUACUUAUUAGGUCUAUGUGAGGCCAGGUUACCCAGCACGGGUCUACUUGCAACAAAAGAGAUAAUAUGUCAUAAAAAACAAAUAAUAUAUAUAAAAAAACAUAAUUACAAAUAAAGAUGAUAAAACAAAAACAUGAUAAUUUUUUUUCCAAUCAUAAUGGUGUCACUUUGAGAGUGACCCUGCCAAUAAAAUAACAAUUUACUUAUUAAUAAAAAGGUGAAUCAAGAGGGUAUUGUUGGAGGCACCCUUCAAAUAUUGAUCCUAUUGAAGUUUAACAAAACAAUUUCUUUUAAAAAACAUAAAACCAUAAUUCAAUUGUAAUAGCAUACAAUCAUUAUUUUUCUAUAUAUUUUUUGUUUUUUAUGUGAAAAUGCCCCUACCGUAUUUUUUUAAAAAUACAUCCACAUUAAAAACCUAUCACAAUGAAAAAUUAAAAACAAAUAAGAAAAACCAAAUGUCCACAUUCAAAUUUCACAACUAGGGGCUUCUUACCCUACAGGUUGCCACACCAUGGUGUAAAUCCAACAUUUUAAGUGUCACAAAUUGUAACAGCCUCAUUUGUUAAAUUAGUUUAUCCAUAAAACUUCCACAUAAUAAAUGAAUGUUUUUUUUUUAAUUCACAAUAACUUCCUAAAAUUUCGAACAAAAUUUUAGCAAAGUCUCCUCUAUACCAAGAGAUCCUAAUUUAUCGACAAAUUUACCCUGCAUACAUUUCUAUUCACAUCCCAACCAUGAACACAUCUACAAAUGAUCCAACUCAACUAUUCAAUUCAUUCAAGAUUAUGAUCAUGAUAAAUAGUUUUAUUCAAUUUCCAUCUCAUAAUACACGCAUAAAUUAUAAAUUAAGAUGAACAUCCAAAUAUUGAAAUUUCAUAUACAAACACAGCAUAGUUUAACAUUUUAAACAUAACCAGUACAUUAUAAUAUUCCAAGCACAAAUUAAUACAUUUCGAUAUUCCAAACACAAAAUAGUAUAAGGAGUAUACUAUUACACUCAUGUUACAUGAUUAUUGCAUAACAAAAUACAUAAAUAGACCCCAAGUCCCUAGCUUAUACAAAAGGGGUUAAUAACCUAAUUUCUACUCCUAAUAUGCAUGGAGGGACCUACAAAUCAUGAUUUCAAUAUAAAUAAAUAAAUAAAAUAAAAUACAAUCAAUUGCAAGAAAGAAAAUUAUACAAUACAUUUAACUAGCCCUUUCAAGGAUUUGUUAAUUUGUUUUCCAUAACUAUUUCCCUUUACAUAUAUAUAUAUAUAUAUAUAUAUAUAUAUAUAUAUAUAUAUAUAUAUAUAUAUAUAUAUAUAUUCCAAGUUCUGAUUCUGAUCAAAGGUAUCCACCUCGCCACUUCUACCCAAAAUGGGGAGGUUACUGCCGAUGUUGAUGACCCUCAUUAGCGCCUUUAAUUGCCUAUCCUGGGAUCAACUAAUCAAGUUCAUAGAAAUGCCGACACUAAACUAACCAUUGGUGUCAUUAACUAUUUCCUAGCCGAAAUAGUUAAUCAAUGUUUCAGGUUACCUUGGGAGGUCCCCGGGCAUGCCGAUGUCAAGAAUCCUUGACAUCAUUAGCUUUCACCUCGGAAAGCAAAUCAAGUUCCAUGAGUUAUGCCGAUAUCGACGUUGCCCGCUGAUAUCAUUAACUAUUCUGAACUCGAAUAGAUAAUCAAGUUUCAUAUUCCACCUCUCUUGUACCAGUCAUGUCGAUGUUAGCCAACUUGGCUAACAUCAUUAGCCUUCCAUAUUUAGGAUGGUUAAUUAAAUUCGAGGAAUGGUCAUCCAUAUGAAUCAUUGUUAUUGUCCAUUUCCUCCGUAAGGACCCAUUAUUAAAUCUAGAUUUCCAUUCCCAUUCAUCCCUUCCUUUUUCUCUUCUUUUCUCUUCUUUUUUUUCCCGUCAUCAUUAGGCACCAAAACUUAUGACUCAACCAAUGCUUAAAAUAAUUAUGAACUAGAGAAGAUAUAGGUACCGAAUACCUACCUACCAUCAUUUCUCGAUUUGCACUCCCUUGUUGUUGUUGUUGUUGUUGUUCUCCCCCGCAAUUCCUCUUAAAUUGACAAGUAUAACACAUUAGUUAAUGUUUGGUUUUCAUUUCGCAAGUAGCAAGGCAACAACAAUAUUUAUGCUUUACAUUUCAUUGUUUUAAAUCAUCACGCACAUCAUCAACUUCAUUUUUAAAUGUGGUUUAUCCUCUCCCAGUGUCAAGAUUCGAUGUUACAAAAAUUGUUGUGGGAAGGAAACCGGUUUUCUACCCCUAUCACGACUAAAUCCCCUGUUUUAAUAAUUCUUACUGAAUCUACCAGCAGGAUGGCAAUUUGGCCUUUUCUCAUAUAUUUAUAUAUAUAUAGAGCUCUAGAGAUCCAAAUUAAGCGAGGUCAGAUUCAUUGGAAAGCUGACAUCAUAUAGAGACUUAUGCAAUCUCUACAUAUGAGAGGGGAGAGUAGAAUCCACAAAACCUGGAGGCUUAACCUAUUGAUUAGCCAAUAUUUUCUAUAUAUUUGUAUAGAGCAAUAUACAAUAAUAAUGAUGAAGAUUAUAAUAUAGGAGUAUGCCUAUAAUAUUUUCUACAUGGUUACAUUCUAUGAUAAUGAGAAAGCAAACUAGUAAACAACCAAUCAGAGGAACGCCCUGCUUCUCACGUCAAAUGAAAGCAAUUGAAUGUAGGUAGAGGGCCAUACUCACAAGAAAAUUGAUUUACACCCGACAUUAUAUUUUGUAAGAGUAAAAGCUAUAUAUUUGUGUCUAUAAAUAUCAUAUAGAUUUUUUUAUGGAAAUAUCUUGUUAAUAAAUAUUAAAAUAUUUGAUAUCGCAACACGAAGCAUAUAUCUUGUUGUGUUUAAUAACUUUUUUAUUUGAAUAAAUUUUGUAUCUAAUAAAAUGAUUAUCCAUGCCAAUAAAAUGAUGAAAAUGAGCAUCACAUGCUUAUAAUUAAUUAAUUAAUUAAUUAAAUUAAAUGAAAAAAAUUAUAUAAAAAGAGAAAUAAAAAAAAACACAAAUAAAAAUACUCGAGAUAUCUCGAGUCAUUUUCAAAAUAAGUGAAAAAUCCUAUAGAAAACAAAAUUCAAUGGAGCCCAAUAUCCAAUUAAAUAAAUGUUAAAUGAUGAAACUAAAAUAAAUGUGUGCUUAAAAAAAGAGAAAAAACCAAGCAAACUCGGGCAAACCUCCUCAACCUAGGUUAAUCUCUAAAACAUAAAACUCAUGAAAUCCUAGACUCUAGCUUGAUUAAGAAACAUAAUUCUCAAAUAAUUUAAUGUUGAAUAAUGAAAACAUGAAAAAAAAUCAAUUUAAAAAAAUUACCAAAGUGAAAAAAUUACCAAAUCAAUUAAAAUAAUGAGGAUUAAAUCUGAUAGGGAAAAAAAAAAUAUGAAGAAUGAUAUUGUAAAAAAAAUCUAAUUAAAAAAUUUUCUCUAAUAAAAUAUUAGUAAUAAAAAGAAUAUGGAUAAAAUUUGAAAGAUAAAAAAACUUAAAGGGGAUGAAAUUGUCAAAGAAUUCCAAUUUAAUAAAUUAUUCCAAACAAACAAACAAUGAUCAAAAGAACAUGCACCAAAUCCGAAGGGAAUAACAAAUUGAAGGCAUGCUUUGAAAUUUUGAAGGGGCACAUGUGAAAAUCAUGGAGAGAGGAAAGAAGAAGAGAAAGACAAGGUUGUUUGCCCCAAACCAAACAACCAGUUCACUCGGUCUUACCAAACGGUCGACCGGAUCACCUUAAAUGCUAGAUUUUGACAAUUUGAACUGCUACAUCUUGAACGAUACUAAUCCUAUAUACCUAUAGAGUGAAGUGCUUGAGUUUAUUUUAAUUGUGCUAUUAAGAUAAGAUAUAAAGAUUUAUAUAAUCACUAAAAUGAACAAUUAAUUCUUUGUCUUCACUUGUUUUGCAUCUUGGAUAUCUUCAUUGAUUUUUUCAUGACAUCCUUCAUGCUUGUUGAUGUUAAAACUCAUUUGGGUUAUUCCUAAAAUUUCUUUACCGUAUUCCUUUUCAAAAUAAAAAUAAAAUAAUAAAAUAAUAAUAGCAUGGAGACUAACAACGUGGAAAAAGCUAGUAGAGGAAGGAUUUUGAAUAUAGAAAAAUAGAAGUUUUGUGUCAAUUAAGGGUUGCAUUAACAAAAUUUUCAAUCAAUGCUCAUUUUGAAAAAGGCAAUUAGGGACUUCAUUGAAAAAAUCUAAAACCAAUGACCAAACUAAAAAAGAUGUGUGAAUAUAGGGGUUAAAAUUGACUGAAUCAGGGACCACAUUGAAGAAAUUGGAAGUUUGUUGAUCAAUUGAAGGUCAAAAUGCACAAAUUCAAAACCAAGGAUCAAAGUGAAAAAGGCAACCAACUUGAGUGCUGAUAUUUGAAUUUGACAGAGAUGUAAUUGAAUUAAUUCUUAAAAUCAAAAUCUAAAUUGAGAACUUAAUUGAAGAAAUACAAAAUUGAGGACUGAUUUGGAAAAAAAAAACUUCUUAGGCAUCGUUUCAUGCAUUUGUUAUUCCAAAAAAGAAAAAAAAAGACAAAGCUCAAAACGGUGUCGUUUUGGAUGGCACUCGACAUCUUCUACUCCCCCCAAACGUGUUAUAGGCAUUUCCCCCCUUCUUUGUAGCGCCUCCCUCUCCCUCUCCCUCUCCCACUUGUCCAAAAUCCCCAACACAACCCACACCUCCUCAUGGGCUACCACCAUGAUGAAAGGGCAGAGGGGACAAGCCUUGUAGGUGACUUUGGGGUGGUUGCACUGUGGCCGCCCCAGCUACCUUACCCCUUCGCCAUGACUAGACAGGGGUAGGGCAGCUCCCCCCCCCCCCCCGCCCUUUAUAAAGACCAUCCUUACCAGGAGGUUGGGGGGUGAAAAAAAGAAAGAAAGAAAAAGGAAACAAAAACGAAACAAAAAAGAAAAGGAAAGAAAGAAAAAUAAGGGAAAACAAUGGAAACAAAGGGAAGAAAAAGAAAAAAAAAGAAAGAAAAGGAAGGAACACUCUUUGGCCUCUAUUCAAAGAAGAAAAGGAACCUCCUCUCCUCCCCUCUCUUGCUAGUUAGUAGUAGCAGCCACCAUUCCUCCUAGUCAUCACCAUAACAAUGCCAUUGUCAAUGUCAGCAACCACGCUACCCUCACUCCAAGUAAUCUUCUUCCCCUCUAUGUUCCAUCUUCUUACCUGCUUUCCUUCUCCAUUUCAUUUGAAUGUAGAGCGUGAGCAAUUCACGUUAUGCACAGUAACCAUUUAAUGGUUUUUUGGGCUCGGUCUAGCCUUAUAUAAAAAAAGAAAAAAAUAUGUUGGGUUGACAUGAACCCAACUCUUUUGGCCCGAAGUCAACCCAAUUUUUUUUUUUUGUAUUUUUACACUGUAAAGAUACAAAUUCGUUACUAAAAUACCUGUUUUUUCUCCAAAAUAUUGCAAAACAAAUAUAUAGAAAAACAACAAAAGGAAUAUCUUGUUUUCAUGCAUAUGACCGAGUCUCUUAAAAAUAUAAGAAAUUUCAUAUCGUAUUUUCAUACAAAAUGAAAUUCAAAAACAAUAUGUGUUAGCAUGCAUUUUGGGCUUUAAUAACCACUUUAUUAAAGCAAUGAGAACUACGUCUAUAUUUAAAAAAUAUCAAAAAAAUAUUUUGUUUUCUUUUAAUAUCUAGGAUUACGAACUUAUGCAUAAGACGUAUUCCUGAUAUAUAUAUAUAUAUUGACAUUAAAAUGGUUAUGUUUUUACCUGAUAAGAUAAGGAUUUUCUUAACGAGGAAGACCUUUUUUAAACCUUAGACUGACCAACAAUUAGAAAACACAACAAUAUGUUAGUUAUAUCAGAUAAUUAAACAAUGCAGAUUACCUGAGAUAAGGCGUAUUGGGGGUGUUAAUACCUUCUAUUUAUGCAACUAGUCUUCGUGCCCGAUCUUAGAGACCAGUUAGGGUUUCUAUUGACCAAAAAACUAAGUGACGACUCCCAUUCCUUCUUUCCACUAAUAAAGGACAAGAAUUCCUUAUCUUUCCCAUUUCUCAAUUCGAGAGGAUGUUAGUCAAUGUCACACACGUGCGACAACCAUCAACAGCUCUCGUGAGCCACCAGGAAUCUUCAUUGUUUAUAGCAACCAACUGGAAGCUUCGACUUGUAGUAGCAACUUCAAACCAACCAUUUACCCUCUCCCAUGGUGACAGUAGCACCUAUAACCAAUAGAGAGAAGAACUAAAGAGGAAGAGGAAUUACAAUACAAAUAGAACAAAGUAGAAAUUUCAACUCAAUCGAUCUUCUUUCUUUGGUAGCCGUGAGCCUCACUGUUGGGGUUAACAGGAAGAGGAAGGAUUGAUCUACCAUGUCAAGGUCCUCACGCAAUCUCAGGUCUCGUAGGCAUGACGCGUCAAUAAUGACAGUUCUCUUCCAGGGUGGGCAACAGACACGAUGCCACUGAUCAACCUACUUCCAACAGAUUCCAAACAUCUCUAGCCAUUCCUGAAGGCAAAAUAUUAAUGUUAAGAUUGAAAUUUGGUAAUGUUGUUUGGUUGUAUGAACAUAAUUUUGAGGUGAUGAGAAAGUUGUUUGAUUCAUAGUUUUGUUAUAAGUAUAAUAUAAGUAUCAUGUGAAAAUAAUAAAUGAGCAUUAUUGAUUUUGAUUAAAAAAUAUUUGACAAGUAUGAAUUGUGAUUUUGAAGAUAUGAUAGACAACGUGUACAUUUUUUUAUAAAAAUAAAUGUUGAUUAGAAAUUGUUUGUUAAUUGGUUAUGUGCAUAUAAGAAAUAAAAAAAAUGUGCAAAAUGUGUGAGACAUUUGUUUUUGAAAGUGAGUUGGAUGAAUAUUAUAAGAUGGUUGAAUAUAACCAUAAAAUUUAAAAUUUGAGAAUUUUUAGAUUAUUGUGAAAAAUCUUGCAAUGAAUAUAUAUGGACUAAUUAUUUUUAUAAAAAUAAAGAUUGAUUAAUUAACCCAAGAUUGUAUGGUCUAACCUUAGGCUUUGUCUUUUAGAUGUUGAUUAAUAAAGAAAAAUAAAAAUAAAAAUAAAUUUGUCCUUGUAUUAAUUGUUCUUAUCAAUUGAUUAAUUAAUCCAAGAUGGAAUGGUCUUCUACUAGGGUUAUCGAGUAACAUGAUCAAUUAAUAUUUGAUCAAUGAAUUAAUUAUUUCUAUUAAUUAUUAAUUGACCAAUGAUGAUAUGAUCUAAUAUUAGGUUAUGUUCUUUAGUGUCGAUAAGUGAAUGAUAAUACCAGUUAAUACAUGAUCUCUACGAUAUUAACCAAUAAAAUUAAGUAGACCAAGAUGGGAUGGUCUAAUAAUGGGACCUGUUCUUUGAAUGCUACUUAAUGAAUAAUAUGAAUUUUUUAACCCGCGAUAAGCCUCAUAUAUAGGUGUGCUCAUCAUUUCCAAAUAAUCGAGGAUAGAAAGGUCCAAUAGUAGUGACACGACCAAAAGAUUGAUGUCUUCUUCCAAGUGCAGGAGUGUCGAAGUAAUAAAUAACCCGGCAAGACUGGAGUCGAACCACAGAUAGGUUAAUUGUAUAAAUUAUAAAUAACAAGACGACAACAACAACAACAACAACAACAACAAUAAUAACAACAAUAAUAAAAAUAAUAGUAAUAGUAAUAAUAAUAAUAAUAAUAAUAAUAAUAAUGAUACUCAGUACGUAACGUUGUUAUACCUGAGAAUGAUCUAAAAGAUCGGGUCACAGGUUUCCAGCCUAUAUACUGAGUUUAUGAAAAGAUCAAAGAGAUAAAUUAUAUAGUAUAAACAAAAUGUAAAUAAUAAUAAUAAUAUUAAUAGUAAUAAUAGUAAUAGUAAUAGUAAUAGUAAUAGUAAUAGUAAUAGUAAUAGUAAUAGUAAUAGUUAUAAUAAUAAUAAUAGUAGUAGUAGUAGUAGUAGUAGCAGUAGUAGUAGUAGUAUUAAUAAUAAUAAAAAGAAGAGGAGGAAGAAAUUAAUGAGAACUUUGAGAUGGAAGAUUAAUGUAAGGAUUAAACAAUGAUAAAAACAAAUGUCAAGGUUAGAGGAUCCACCAAUGGUAUUUCAAACAGGUAUAGUAUAAACUUUUAUUACUCAAUUUGGAAACCACACACGGAGGAGGUUCCAAUCGAAUGAUUUGUCAUUAAUAGCUCAUUAUAAAUUAUUAACAUGAUCAUAUUAAUUAUCUUAUUUACAUAACACCAAACUUUUAAAUAUUGUCAAGAAUUCAUGAUGUUAACUGAUGUUAACAACAAAUCAAGUUCCUUUCAUAGCCCAGGUGUAGGUAAUACCAUACGGUUGGGCUAUGAGAGUGCCAAGCAUUUGUUGUACCAAGUAUUAUACAACACAAAUCUAGAUUGACCAUUUAACAAGCAAGGUAUUAAGAAUUAGUAAGAUAAAAAAAUAAGACAUGUUAAUAUUAAACAUUAAGGUCCAUGUUGAGUUUACACCAUACUUGUUCUUACACUAUUAGUGUAACCUUUUAACCUUGACAUAAUAAACUUAGCUAAAUAUAAUGAAGAAGAGAAACAUAAAUAAACAAAACAAGAACAUAAAUAAGAUACAAGUUAACUAAGGAAAAGAAAGGAAAUGAAAAGCAUAAACAAGAUAUUAAUGAAAGCAAAACUUAAGAAUCACAAAAAAAUAUAAAAAGAGAAAUAAAGAGCAUGAACUUGAUCUGAACAACCAACCCCCAAAUGCAUGGCAAAUGCCUCUUUUUAUAGGCUAAAAUUCAGAAUUAUUGAUUUGAUGACUAAUUGUUGACUGGGUGGCCAACUUUUGACUUGGUGAAAAUCCUUAUCUUCUUGUGUGAAUAAAAAAAAAAUGCUACCAUCCGAAUUGGGUCCACUGGAAAACAUGAAAGUUGUAGGAAAUUGACUCCGCUUUCCAUGAAAAAAAAAUGGAGGUCAUUUGGACUUCUAGAACUCCAGAUAUGGGCCAAACACUUAACAAUGCUCGGGUUGCAGGACAGAUUCAGACUUCUCCGUUGUUGCUAUAAUUUGGACUGGAAAACGGCCUUCUUAGAUCUUGAUGAAAACAUGAAAGCUAUAGGCCUAUGUCUUAAUGAAUAGUGUUCCAGUUUGGACUGCACCAACAUCUCUUUUCUAAGUUUCACACUCUCUUUAUCUUCACAAAUUUCAAUAUUUGAAUUAGUCAAUCAAUCCUUUGAUUUAUGUGAUAGGCUUGCAUUUAAGAUGAGCAUUUACCAUAUAUUAGGAUUUUAUAGUAUUAGACUUGUUAUUAUAAAACAUGCUUUAGUUAAGGAGUUAUUGAUACUUUAAGUGCAAAAUGAUGAUAUAAAACCUUGAUAAAAUGCACUUUUAAGUACUAAUCACACCCCCCAACCAGCUUAUUACUAGUCCCUAGUAAUCAAAGCGUUAAAAUAGAAAAACAAUUUGCAAAUUCCAUAAAGCAAGGCAUUCAUCAUUCAACUUCCAUUAAUCUAUCCAGAUAAACAAACUCUCAUUAAAUUCAUAUAUCUGCUUCAUACUCUUAAACAAGAUAUUAAUAAACCUUUUUUUGUGCUCAAAAUAUCAACAUAUAGUUAUGGGGCUUUACUUGGAAGAAAAACAAAUUUGUUCUAAUGUUUAAGGUUAACUUCCUUGGGUUGGGAUUAUUUUUCUUCUUUUUUUUUUAUUUAUAUACACAUACAACUUAAAACACAAUGCAUCUUUAACCCAUGUAACGAGUUUUAGGCUAAUGACUCCCAGACCAGUUGGUCUUAGGGCAUUAGGUGUUGAGACACCCCUACGAGCUUAGCAACUCGGGUUGCAGAUACUGAUACGUAGAUAGUGCAAUGUUUGAUUCCCUUAAGCUUUUCUCCUUAACCCAUGUAACAAGCUUGGGCCAAUAGCUCCCAAGUCAGUUGACUUUAGGGUAUUAAGUGUUAAAACACCCCUUCGGGCUUAAUUGCUUAGGUUAGGGAGGCUACGAAACCAAACUUAUCUACGUUUUUAUUAUCAUUUUUUUUUUUUUUUUUGCAAAUUAUAUACUAUCCUUUCCCUUAGUUGUUACCUUUAACAAAAGAACAUAAAUAAUGUAAUAAUCCAAUGUGCAACCGACAAUCAUAUGUUAAAGUGUGUGUGUGUGAAAAUGAAGAUUUAAUAAUACUUGUUAAAUGAGCAUAUGAGCAGAAUCAAGUGAUAACAAUAUGAGAGUUUGUAAACCUGAAUAUUUCAAGAAGUAUUCUGAUAGACCUUGUUAAGAAUGUUUACUAAGAUGCGUCUCAAGAGUCACUUUAACAAAAGAACUCCUUUUACUCUGCCAUCCUAGUAACAACAGUUUUGCAAAUAGUUUAUGAAAUAGAAAACACAGUUUUUUUUUUUUUUUAAAUCCUACUACCCUUUCCCCCCAACCAAAAUGAGACAUUGUCCUCAAUGUCUUAAGGUAGAAAGAUAGAGUAUAGAAGACAUCACCUGAAAUAACGAACACUGACAAACCUGAAACACACUUAAACAAAUAUAAGAAACAACAAAACACAAUAAUAAAACCAAAAGACACAAAGUUUUUACAAACGAAGGCUCAAAUCCAAUCUAAGCUUUUUACGGCUUUCCUUAGUUGACCAAUUUAUGCUCAUGGAGGGAUUAAUUACAGGGAUGAAAGAUUGUAGUUGGUCAAUCAAUUGUUCAGCAGUAGCAGCAGAGAUUAUGAUUUGUCGUGCUGAAGAUGUUAGAAAUUCCUGUUCCACAGCAUGAUCAAGAAAAGACAACAACUUAUCAUAAAAACCAUUAACAUUUAACAAACCUAUGGGUUUAUGGUGAAUGUGCAGUUGGGCCCAAGAGGAAAUAUGAAAGAUCUCUUCCAAUGUGCCCAGACCACCUGGUAAGGCAAUGAAGGCAUCAGCAUGGUUAAACAUUGCAUUCAGUCGAUCAGACAUUGUGGGACCUGUAAUUCCUCUCCAAUUGUUUUUCCAAUGAUGUCCCCUUUGCUAAAGCUUUGGGGACAACCCCCAAAACUUGACUACCUCCUAAAAAUGCAGCUAUUGACACUCCCCCAUUAACCCAAGGCUGCCUCCUCCAUACACUAAAUGAAUCUUUCUCAGCUAGUACCUGACCAAGAUGAUUUGCUGAUUCUAAAAACUCUUUUUCUUUCCCAGGACUGGAUCCACCAAAAACACAAAUAUUUGUUUAUGUGAUGACUUGAGGAACCUGCCAUUUCUACACACUUCUAUUAUUUGAUGAAUGUAUGGGUUGAGUAGAAAUGAAGGGAAGGAAGAGAAGAAUUUAUAGAUGAGAAAUUGAAAAUGCAAUCAUACCACCUAUAUGUAGGCCAGCUGUAGUCUCACACUCUCUCUCUCUCUUUAUUUAUUAUUUAUUUUGAAAAAGCAUGUGUAUGUACAGGUAGUUGUGAUUGUGGCUCACAUCUUUCCUUGGUUUUACGUCCAAGAACGGCUUAAACGCCCUCUAUGGGUCGGGGAUAGGCUUCCCAUCCAGUUUUCUUAAAAACUGGCAAACAGGGUCUUUUUUAGUCAGAUUCCCAAGACUAAGUCGAGCAUGUUCUUUAUGGAAUUGUGGCCAUAAAUCAUGAAUUGCACGAUGCACAUCUCCACUAGGGUGCGUCUCAAGAGUCAAUAGAAGAUUAUCUAAAGACCCCUUACUCAGGCCAUCCUUAAUGAAUUGUAUUUUAUCUUCACGGUUUAUAGAUACCAUUCCUAAAGAACGACAUGUCGCAUUACAAGUCCAUCUGGCACAUCCGUGACAGACUUUCAGUCGUUUUGCACGACGUUUCUUUGCAAAAGUGCUUUUACCUGUUCCAGGCAUGUGUGAAAUGAAAGAAUUGGAGGACUCACCUGAUAAUCGACCUUUGCUUCAAUUAGCCAACGAAUAUCUUCAGGAAUUCCAUGGUUCAUUAACAACCUCAAUCUUGCACAUCUAGCACGGUAAAUUUUUGUAAUCGCAUUCUGAGGCAGAGCGGGAAAAUACUUUUUCAAUUUUUCAAGAGUGGUGUCCAUUUUCAAAUGAGAAUUGGGGAGAGAUUCAAAGAAAGGAAGAAAGAGCAAGAAUUGCACAAAUAUAUACAGAUAUCAGUUAUCAUGGGAAACUGAAAGAACCGACUUAAGAGUCACGGAGUACCGUUAUCCGCCAUUUGACCGGGGAGAGAGACUAGCAAAACAAAAGUCACAAACAAAAACAAAACAAUGUGAGAAAAAGAAUCAAUCUUUAUAUACAGGAUCACCAAUUCAAUAGAGUCAUUUUCAACUGAAAAAUUGUCAAAAUAAACUUUCAAACGAUGCCAUUUACCUUGAAAACAUUGCCAUUCUUUGGAUUUCGAUAUCACAGGCCCCAUAUGGAUACACAUGUUUCACAAUAAAAGGACCGAUCCAUCUUGAUCUUAGUUUUUUAGGAAAUAAAUAGAGUCGAGAAUUAUAAAGCAAGACUUUUUGACCAACAUUGAAUGUUUUUCUCAAUAUUUUCUUGUCAUGAAACUCUUUGAGUCUUGCUUUAUUAAUUCUUGAAUUGUCAUAUGCAUCAUUUCUGAUUUCCUCAAGCUGAUUUAUUUGCAAUUUUCGCAGCUGACUAGCAUCAUCAAUGUUUGAAUUGAAAGCUUUAAUAGCCCAAUAAGCUUUAUGUUCAAUUUCAACAGGCAAGUGACAAGGUUUUCCAUAUACUAGUUAUAAGGUGACAUACCUAAUGAUGUUUUAUACGUAGUUUGAUAAGCCCAAAGUGCAUCAUCAAGUCUUAAAGACCAGUCUUUCCGAUUAGGGUUCACCGUUUUCUCUAAGAUCUGUUUAAUCUUCCUAUUAGCCAGUUCUACUUGUCCACUCGUCUGAGGGUGAUAAGGGGUGGCAACUUUGUGUGUGAUUCCAUAUUUCUUCAUUAAAGACUCAAAUAGCUUGUUGCAGAAAUGUGUUCCACCAUCACUUAUAAUGGCUCGAGGGAUUCCAAAUCGACUUAAAAUGUUUUUUUUCAAAAAUUUUAUCACUGUUUUGUGAUCAUUGGUUCGACUUGGAAUUGCCUCUAUCCAUUUUGAAACAUAAUCUACUGCGACCAAUAUGUACAAGAAACCAAAUGAUGGAGGGAAUGGACCCAUGAAAUCUAUACCCCAACAGUCAAAGAUCUCAAUGAUAAGAAUAGGAUUUAAAGGCAUCAUGUGAUGUUUCGAAAUAGAUCCCAACUUUUGACAAUUUUCUCAAGUCUUACAAAAUGCAUGUGAGUCUUUGAACAUGGUGGGCUAGUAAAAUCCACUUUGUAAGAUUUUUGCAGUUGUCUUUCUUGAUGAGAAAUGACCCCCACAUGCCUCAGAAUCACAAAAUUUAAUGACACUACUUACCUCAUUGUCAGGAAUGCAUCUUCGAAAUAUUUGAUCAGGAUAAUAUUUGAAUAAAUAAGGGCCAUCCCAAUAAAAGUUCUUCACUUCGUUCAAGAACUUUCUUUUGUCUUGGGUACUCCAAUGAGCUCGCAAUUGUCCUGAAACAAGAAAAUUAACAAUAUUAGCAAACUAAGGCAUUGUAGAGACAUAAAAUAAAGAUUCAUCAGGAAAGUAGUCAUCGAUUGGUGUGAUGUCAGAUCUCGAAUCAGUUGUCAAUCUUGACAAAUGAAGUAACAAAAUCCACCGCACCAAUCUAGCCUUAGAAUCUUUCUUAGAGAGAAGAUAUUUCAAUGCUGCAUGAUCACUAAAAACAACAACAGUGAGCCAAUAAGAUAAGAUCUGAACUUGUCACAUGCAAAUACUACUGUAAGUAAUUCUUUUUCAGUGGUAGUGUAAUUCAUUUGAGCACUAUUUAAAGUUUUACUUGCAUAGUAAAUCACAUAAGGUUUCUUAUCUUUUCUUUGUCCCAAGACAGCACCCACGACAUAAUCACUAGCGUCACACAUUAUUUCAAAAGGUAAUGAUCAAUCAGGAGGUUGAAUGACAGGAACAGAAGUAAGCAAGUUUUAAGUUUAACAAAGGCUUUUCACAUGUUCAGUCCAUUCAAAAACAUUUCCUUUGUUAGAAGGUUACACAAUGGUUAGAUAUUACACUAAAAUCUUUGAUGAACCUUCUGUAAAAACCAGCAUGUCCUAAGAAUGAUCUAACAUCUUUAACAGAUUUUGGUGUUGGUAAGUUGGCAAUUAACUCGAUUUUAGAUUUGUCAACCUCAAUUCCUUUCGAUGAAACAAUGUGACCAAGUACAAUGCCGUUUGUUACCAUAAAGUGACAUUUUUCCCAAUUCAGUACAAGAUUCUUCUCUUCACACCUGUUCAAAACCUUUUCCAAGUUAGUUAAACAAUCAUCAAAUGAAUCACCAAAAACAGAAAAAUCAUCCAUAAAAAUCUCAAGAAAACGUUCAACCAUAUCACUGAAUAUGCUAAGCAUGCAUCUUUGAAACGUGGCUGGUGCAUUACAUAAUCCAAAAGGCAUCCUUCGAUAUGCAAAAGUACCAAAUGGACAUGUGAAAGUAGUCUUCUCUUGAUCUUCCAAUGCAAUUUCAAUUUGAUUGUAACCUGAAUAGCCAUCUAGGAAACAAUAAAAUUCAUGACCUGCAACUCUUUCUAGGAUUUGAUCCAUGAAAGGUAAAGGGAAAUGAUCUUUUCUAGUCAUUGAAUUAAGUUUCCUAUAGUCAAUGCACAUGCGCCAACCAGUAAUAGUCCUAGUUGGAAUUAACUCAUUUUUCUCAUUUGUUAUCACAGUGACUCCAGACUUUUUGGGUACAACUUGGGUAGGACUUACCCAUUUGCUGUCAGAAAUAGGAUAAAUGAUUCCAUUAUCUAGAAGCUUAAUGACUUCAUUUUUCACUACUUCUUUCAUAUUAGGAUUAAGCUUCGUUGCAUUUCUCUAGAGGUUUAGCAUUUUCCUCCAAAUAAAUCCUGUGUGUGCAAAUCAAAGGGCUAAUUCCUUUUAUGUCAGCUAUGGUCCAUCCUAAUGCAUUUUUGUGCAUUUUCAGAGUCUGUAAUAACUUACCUUCUUGAUGUGCAUUAAGUUUGGAAGAGAUUAUUACCGGAAAAGUUUCAUUUUCUCCCAAAAAUGAGUAUUUGAGAUUAAAUGGUAACGGCUUCAAAUCAGGUUUUGGUGGUUGAACACUUGAAGGUAUGACUCAAUUGAUCGUGGUGGCAAUUCUUCAAUUUGUGGUCUCCAAUUACAUGCCUUUGCUUCUUCCUGAAAAUAACCAUUUGCAAUCUCAGGUUCAUCAAUCUCAGUUUCACUAGAAGUGGUUUGAAAUUGAUCAUGAACUAAUUUUUCAAUAAAGUCCACUUCCUGUAAAUCAUUAUCAUCUCCAGGUUGCUUGUAAAUGUUGAAAAUAUUCAUCUCCAAUGUCAUGUUUCCAAAUGAUAGCUUCAUCAGUCCAUUCCUACAAUUAAUCAAUGCAUUAGAAGUGCAAGAAAUGGACGUCCUAAAAUAACAGGAAUUGAAUUACAUGCUUCAACAGGUUGUGUAUCCAAGACAAUAAAAUCUACAGGAAAUGAAUUUAUCAACUUGUAACUAACACAUCCUCAACUAUUCCUCUAGGCACUUUUACAGAUCUAUCAGCAAGUAAAAGAGUUACAGAAGUUGGUUUUAACUCACCUAGAUUGAGACUUUGAAAAACCGAAUAUGGAAGUAAAUUCACACUAGCUCCAAGAUCAAGUAAAGCUCUUUCAAUUUUAUGUUCUCCAAUAAAGCAAGAAAUUGUAGGACAACCAGGGUGUUUAUAUUUCAAAGCAUUAUUAUUCUGAAGAAUAGCACUUACUUGUUCGGCUAAAAAGGCUUUCUUUUUCACAUUCAGUUUUCUCUUCACAGUGCAUAGAUCUUUCAAAAAUUUAGCAUAGGAAGGUACCUGUUUAAUAGCAUCCAACAAAGGUAUAUUGAUCCUUACCUGUUUGAAAAUUUCAAGGAUUUCAGAAUUGUGAUUGACUUUCCUUUGUUUGGUCAUGGCAUGAGGAAAUGGAAGUGCUGGCGGAGAAUCAGUCUUUUCUUCACAAUGUUCAGAUUCAACCCCAUUGACUCAUCAUCUUUCUCACAAGGUUCAAGAGUGGGUUUUUCAAUAACCUUACCACUGCGAAGAGUGAUGACUGAUUUGACUUGAUCCAUGUGUUGGCUUCCGGAACUACUUGCAUUUGCAUUGUAUUGCCCCUUUGGAUUUUGUUGUGGUUGAGAUGGAAACUUACCUUUCUCUUGAAAACUGAGAGCAGAUGUGAAUUUUGCAAGAGCAUCUUUAAAAUUUGUCAUGCUUUGAGCAAGUUGAGUGUUGAUUGUCUCUUGCUUUUCAAUGAAUGCAUGCAAUGUUUCCUCAAGAUUUCUUCUAGGAGGUGGAGCAUAAGGAGGUGCAUAUCCAUGAGAAUUUUGGAAAUUAUGGUGUGCUUGAAACGGUGGCUGUGAAGUUUGUGCAUUAUUGUUUAUCACUCUUCCAACUGAAAUUUGGGUGAUUUCUCCAACCAGGUUGUAUGUUUGCGAGUAUGGGUUAUGAUUGGGCCUUUGGAAACUGUUUAAAGCAUGGGCUUGUUCAUGGAGGCAUUCCUUGAAAGAAGGCAAAGUUGGACAGUCAUUGGUUGCAUGUUCAUUUGUUUCACAGAUUUGACACACAAUGUCUUGAACAGAUUUUAAUUGACCACUCUUUUUCAAUUCUAGUGCCUCGACUUUUCUAGCUAAAGAUGCAAACUUGGCUUGGAGGUCAUGAUCUUCCCUAAGGUUAUACAUACCUCCACUAGAUGUAUGAGGUUGGGUUUUACUUGGUGCCUCAUAAGUGCCCGUAGUGUCCCAAUUUUGCGCAUUUUCAGCUAGCAAGUCUAGGUACUCCAUUGCUUCAUUAGGGUCUUUAUCUUCAAAAGUUCCAUUGCACAUCAAUUCAACCAUUUGCCUAUCUUUAGGUGUUAACCUUCAUAAAAUUGUGAAACCAAUCUCCAUGUUUCAAAACCAUGAUGAGGGCAAGUAUUAAGCAAGUCUCGAUACCUAUCCCAACAUUGGUAAAAUGUUUCACCUGGUUUUUGAGUGAAAGUGGUGAUUUGUCUUUUGAAAGAGUUGGUUCUGUGAGAUGGAAAAAACUUCUUUAAAAAUUGUUGUUGCAUUUCAUCCCAAGCACGAAUGGAUCCUGACCUAAGAUUUUGUAGCCAUGUUUUAGCUUUAUCUUUUAAUGAAAAAGGAAAAAGCUUUAAUCUAAUGGUAUUCAUGCUACAAUUUAAGUCAUUAUAGGUGUUACAAACUUCUUCAAAUUCUCUCAAAUGCAAGUAUGGAUUUUCUAGAUCUAAGCCAUGAAAAGAAGGUAAAAGUUGAAUAAUGCCUGGCUUAAAAUUAAAAUGAGAUGCAUCAGGAGGGAAAACUAUGCAUGAGGGUGCACUUGUUCUUGUGGGAUUCAUGUUGUCUCUAUGUGUCCUAACAGUUAUUCUCAUUUCAUUAUGAAGUGACUGGUUAUCUUCUUCAUCCAUAUUUUCUGAAAAUGAUGAGGAUACCCUACAAAGUCUACCACUUAAUGUACGUGACCAAACACUCAUGCACGUAUAGAAAGAGAAUAAAAGGAAGAAGAAAACAAAAGAAAAAGAAACAAAACAAAAGAAAAAAAGUUAGAUACAAGAAAAGUGAAAAGAGAAAACAAAAUAAAUACUAUAAUUUGUUUAAGAAUUAACUCCCUGGCAAUGACGCCAAAAACUUGACACGACUAAAAGAUUGAUGUCUUCUCCCAAGUGCAGGAGUGUCGAAGUAAUAAAUAACCUGGCAAGACCGGGGUCGAACCACAGAGAGGUUAAUUGUAUAAAUUAUAAAUAACAAGACAACAACAACAACAACAACAAUAACAACAACAACAACAACAACAAGAAUAUUAAUAAUAAUAAUAAUAAUAAUAAUAUAGUAUAGUAGUAGUAGUAGUAGUAGUAGUAGUAGUAGUAGUAAUAUUAAUAAUAAUAAAAAGAAGAGGAGGAAGAAAUUAAUGAGAACUUUGAGAUGGAAGAUUAAUGUAAGGAUUACACAAUCAUAAAAAUAAAUGUCAAGGUUAGAGGGCCCACCAAUGGUAUUUCAAACAAGUAUAGUAUAAACUCUUAUUACUCAAUUUGGAAACCACACACGGAGGAGGUUCGAAUCGGAUGAUUUGUCAUUAAUAGCUCAUUAUAAAUUAUUAACAUGAUCAUAUUAAUUAUCUUAUUUAUAUAACACCAAACUUUUAAAUAUUGUCAGGAAUUCAUGAUGUUAACAACAAAUCAAGUUCCUUUCAUAGCCCAGGUGUAGGUAAUACCAUACGGUUGGGCUAUGAGAGUGCCAAGCAUUUGUUGUACCAAGUAUUAUACAACACAAAUCUAGAUUAACCAUUUAACAAGCAAGGUAUUAAGAAUUAGUAAGAUAAAAAGAUAAGACAUGUUAAUAUUAAACAUUAAGGUCCAUGUUGAGUUUACACCAUACUUGUUCUUACACCAUUAGUGUAACCUUUUCACCUUGACAUAAUAAACUUAGCUAAACAUAAUGAAGAAGAGAAACAUAAAUAAACAAAACAAGAACAUAAAUAAGAUACAAGUUAACUAAGGAAAGAAAAGGAAAUGAAAAGCAUAAACAAGAUAUUAAUGAAAGCAAAACUUAAGAAUUACAAAAAAAUAUAAAGAGAGAAAUAAAGAGCAUGAACUUGAUCUGAACAACCAAGCCCCAAAUGCAUGGCAAAUGCCUCCUUUUAUAGGCUAAAAUUCAGAAUUAUUGAUUUGUAUGACUAAUUGUUGAGUGGGUGACCAACUUUUGACUUGGUGAAAAUCCUUAUCUUCUUGUGUGAAUAAAAAAAAAUGCUACCAUCCGAACUGGGUCCACUGGAAAACAUGAAAGUUGUAGGAAAUUGACUCCGCUUUCCAUGAAAAAAAAAUGGAGGUCAUUUGGACUUCUAGAACUCCAGAUAUGGGCCAAACACUUAACAAUGCUCGGUUAAGAUGAACAUUUACCAUAUAUUAGGGCAUUUUAUAGUAUUAGACUUGUUAUUAUAAAACAUGCUUUAGUUAAGGAGUUAUUGAUAGUUUAAGUGCAAAAUGAUGAUAUAAAACCUUGAUGAAUAUUCACUUUUAAGUACUAAUCAAGUAGAACUUGUCCUUUAAACAUUUUCUAAUAGAUAAUAAGAACUAUACUCGAAUAACAUACAUACCAGUUUAGGUGAACCAUAAAAAAAAAACACAUUUAUCAUUGAAAACAAACAACAAUACAAAUUACCUUAAGUAGGAUGUAUAGGGUUAUAUCUAUUACAUAACCAACCCCUUACCCAUAACCUCUAAAAAUUAGUUAGGGGUUUUAGUUACCAUGAAUUUAGGUGACGACUUUUUGUCCUUGUUCUACCUUUUUUUCACAUAGCUCGCCCCGAUGUCCACAUGCAACACAAGUUUGACCAAGUGAACCGAGUUAUAGGUUGGCCCUUUAAGUCACUUGGGUUUGACUGGAUCAUUGUCCACUCCUGUUUAGAAGAAAAUCAAACCAAAACAAGGUUUUGGGUUAGAGAAUCACGAACGAAUCGUGUUGGACUAGACCAAGUUUAAUGACUAUGACUUACAUAACCUCACGUAGAAAUUGCACUUGGAUCUAAGUUUUUUGAGGUAAAAAAAUAUUAUAAAAAUAGCACAAUUAAUUAGUUGCAUUGUUAGGAACGAAUCAACCAUAUAAAUUACGUACAAUUCAAUAUGUUACACUGGUAAGAAUAUCAUAAACCUAUUGAAAUAUAUAUAUUUUUUAUUUUAAUUUAGAAUUUUAAAUACUUUGUUUCCGCUAAAAAUCAAAAUAACUACUUUAUUGAUGUCAUUUUAUUCUCAAUAAUUAUGAUAAUUAUAAAUGAAGAUGAUUAGUUAUAAUCAAUUUAUAUUUCAAUAGGAUUCCUUAACUUAUGAAUUAAUAGUUAUGAUAAUUAUCAAUGAAAAUGAUCGGUUGUAGUCAUUUUAAAUUUCAACAAGAUUUCUUAGUAGGUUAGUUGUAGUCAAAUUAAAUUUCAAUAAAAUUAUGUAACUUUGUAGGUUAAUUAAUAAUUAUCAAUGAAAAUAAUUAGUUGUAGUCGAUAUAAAUUUUCUUAACUUGGUUAAUUAAUAAUUAUCAUAAUUAUCACACCAUGACAAAUGCGAGACUCUUUAAAAUUAAAGGGAAAAAAAAUAAUGAAGUCACCACCUAGUAAUAAAAAAAACUAGGAAUCCUAAAAUAGACACCGGUCAGAGAUUUAGGUAUUCAGUUAGUUAUACCUAGGGGACGAUCAAUGUCACCCUUAUUGCAUCCUUUCAAAUGAAGGGUUACCUGUACAAUGUUUUUUUUUCUAAAUUUAUUUUAUACAUGCUAUUAAUUAUCUAAAUCUAUUUUUAUUUUUAUUUUUUAUUUAUAUUGAUAAAAAAUUGAUAUUAUUGGUUAAGAAGAUAUUGUGAUGAUGUUGGAAAGAGAUUACAAUAUUGAUAGUGGUGUUUUGUUUUGGUAAGUGAGAUUGAUGUUGUUAUCUAUUUUUGAGUCCCUACAUAAAAAAAAGAAAAAAGAAAAAAAUCAAGAAUUUUUUUUUUUGAAGAAAACCAAAAAAUAUAUAUAGUAGUGAGAAGAAGACACAAGGGCACCCAAAAAAUGGCCAAAGAUUGGUUAAGAAAGUUCAAAAAUACAAAGAUUGGAAUUUGACAGUAUAUUUUUGAGUGAUGAAUGCCAUAUUGACAAAGAAAAUUGAAUUUGAGGAAGAAAAGUCUAAAAUCAGAUGUUUAAGGACUAAUUUAGAUUUUGUUAAAAGAUUAAUUGAGUUUAUGAAGGUGAUUGCAAGAAAAAAUAAUUUUUAAGUUCAUUGUGGUUUUAAUUGGAAGAAAUUAAAGUUUGAGAGUUGAAUUAUAAUAUUUAGGAGUUAAUUUGGUCAAAUCAGGGGCUUAAUUACAUAAAUAUUGAAGUUUGACGGGCAAUUGGAGACUUGAUUAAAGAAAUCUAAAACCAAGGACUAAAAUGGAAAAGGUGCAUGAAUAUAAGGGCUGAAAUUUACCAAAUCAGGGGCUAAAUUGAAGAAAUUGAAAGCUUGUUGAUUAAUUGAGGGUCAAAAUGCACAAAUUCAAUACCAAGGACUAAAGAGAAAAAGACGGUCAACAUCAGAGGUGACAUUUGAAUUUGGCAAGGAUGCAAUUGAAUUAAUUCUUUAAAUCAAAAUUACAAUUGAGGACUUGAUAAAUAAAUAAAAAGCUAAGGACUGAUUUGGAAAUUGAUACGUUUUGGUGUCAUUUUCAUUUAAAUGAAACGGCGUAUUUUCUAUAAAAUAACACCAUUUCAUUCACUGUUCAUAUAUAAAAAAGUAGGUUUUUCUUUCCUUCUUUGCAACAUCUCUCCUUCCCUUUUGCCCAUAAACCCUAACAUAACGCACACCCCCUCAUUACCUACCACCAUGAUGAAAGGGGUAGGGAAGGCUAGCCAUGCAGGUGGCUUUAAGGUGAUUGCACAAAGACCGCCCCUGCCACCCUACCCCGUUACCAUGACUAGAUAGGGGUAGGGGUUGCUCUCACUCCCGUACCCCUUAUAAAUAACCCCUCACCACGCAGUGAGGAGGGAGGAAAAAAAAGGGGAUGACCAAAACAAAAAAAAGGAGGAGGAACGGAAAAUUAGAAAGUACGAGGGAAGGAAAAAAAAGAAAUAGAAAAAGAAAAGAGAAUAGAGUUUGUUAGGCCAAAAUCAGCUCAACCCUUAUUUUGGGCUGAUAUUGGACCAAGUUUGUUGGGCCAACCUCGGCCUAGUUUGUUUAGGCCAAAUCUCGGCCCAACUAAGUGCGUUCAGCCCACAUCAUUGGGUUCGGCCCAACCCAAUAUAUUUUUAUAAUAUAAUAUUAAUAUUAUGUAUUAUUCAAAAAAACAAAAAGUUCUAAGAAUUUUCAAAAAACUUUUCAAAACAUUUGUGAUUUUCUCGUGUAUUUUUCUAUCAAUUUUGAUUAAUAUUGGUUUAUAUUUUUAUAUUGUAAAAAUAUAAAUUUGGUAUUAAAAUACAUAGUUUUCUCUGAAAUGUUGUAUAUAUAUUUGGGAAACAAAAAAAAUGAUUUUUUUCAUGCAUACGACCAAGUCUCUCAAAAUAUAUGAAAAUAUUUCAUAUCGUAUUUUCAUGCAAAAUAAAAUUAAAACAAAAAAUGCGUUAUGAUGCAUUUUGAGCUUUAAUAGCCAGUUUAUUAAAGCCACGAGAACUAGGCCUAUAUUUCAAAAAUACCAUAAAAAUAUUUUGUUUUCUUUUAGUAUCUGAGAUUAAAAAUUUUUAUAUAUAGACAUUAGAAUGGUUAGGUUCUUACCCGAUAAGAUUAGAAUCUUCUUACUAAGGAGAUCUUUUCUUAAACCAUAGACAAACCAACAAUUAGAAAACAUAACAAUAGUCUAGUUAUAUUAGACAAUCAAACAAUGUAUCGUACCUUAGGUAAGGAGUAUUAGGGGUGUUAUUACCUUCCAUUUAUGCAACCAGUCUUCGUGUCCAAUCUCUGAAACCAGUUAGGGUUUCUAUUGAUCAAAAUACUAGAUGACGACACUCAUUUUUUUCCCCACUAAUAAAGGACAAGAAUUCUUUAUUCUAUCCAUUUCCUCACACCACAUGCCAAUAUGGAAUUUCAAGAGGACAUUUGGCCACGAUGUUGCAUCAUGUACGACAAUUGAGAAAGGGGAUGGUUGGAUUUUGGUCUCGACUUGAGUUGUUUUGGUUGUGAUAUUGGUGAUCGAUGUUGCUGCUAUCAUUAUUAGUGUAUGUCAUUGGCAACUUCUAUUAGUGGUCGGAGGGAGUAGUUGUUGUUGUUCUAGGAUUCAAGAAACAAUACACCUAAAAGGAAGGUGAAUUAAUAUUUCACUAAUAAUAACAAAUAUUGAAAUUGAUUCAAUUAAACAUAAUUAACUAACAAUAUAAUUAAAUUGCAUAAAGUAAAGUGUAAAGGGAUAGGAAUUAUAAAUUCAGCUUUUAACAUGGUUUGGCAAGUCUAUAUCCACACCUCAAGCACCCAAACUGAUCUUGUGUAUUUUGUUCUUUCACUAGUCCAAGUUGAAGAUUGCAAUUGUCACUUGAUGAAUCCACACCAAGAUUUUACACCACUUGAAGAUAUUCUUUUUUUGACGGUUUGAACAUAUUGAACCUUGAACCGAUACUAAUCCGAUACAUAUACAGUGUAAAAUGGAAGACUAUUUUAAUCAUUCCAAUUUUUUUCUUUCUAAAUCUUAAGUUUUUCUUCAGGGUUGCUAGGGUUUCUUACCCACCUUUUGUAUUCCCUCUAAUUUUUCUAUAGAGGCUAGAGUUUUUUUUCUUACCUUCCUUUCUACUUAUAGGCAAUGGGGUAGGUUCUAGAAUCUUUAUAGGUAGAACAAUCAUAUCCUUUGAUUUUUUAGAGUAAAUUUUGACCCUUCAUCAUUUUGUAUAUAUAUUUGGCACAACAUGCUCGUGUUCUAUAAAGCUCACACCAAAUCUUAAUCCUAAAGAGUGGGGAUGAGAGAGAGAAAAAAGAAGAAGAAGAAGAAGAAAAUGGAGCUGAAAAACUUCACUGCCUUUUUUCAAAAUCAGACGACCCGUUUCCUUUCAAAGGGUAGCCAAAAAACUCCCAUACACACUCUUUAGCGAGCUUCUUCUUUACCAAAAAACAAAAAAACUAAAAAAAUUAGAUCAUCAUUUUCAAAUAACCACCUUCUAGCUAUAACUGGAAACAAAAAAACAAUACAGCCUCUCUCAUCAGGGCUGUCUCUUUUCGCCACCCUCGAGUUACUAUCUUGCCCCACGUUGACUCCAGGAACCAUAGCCGCUGCUUCCACAGUACCAUUAACAUGAGGUGUUCAUUACCAGAAUCAUAACCCAAGGCAGGCCAGGAGCCCACUCACAAUCGUCCAUGUGCAUCUUCAGCGUACUCGUUCUACACUCUUGCCUCAGACCUCUCUGGACUUAGCUUUAUUCAAGCACUAGCCACUCAAAAAAAGAGUGAAGAAGAGGUACGGGAUAUCCAGUGGCGCUGUCUCCAUCAUAAUCACUCAAGGUAUAAAGCUUCUACCUAUUCUCAUUUAGUUGUAAUCUUUUACAUGUGCAUGCUACUGCAAAGGCAAGCUCCCGUUUUUCCUUUAUGUGCUAUGAAGUUAACAUAUAGUGUUGUAAGGUGUGUGCAUCUUUUAAGCUUCUACCUAUGUGUGAUUUUUGACAUGAGAUGAUGGCUACCUUGCUUUGGAUCCCUUGUUAACGAUGAUGCGUGAACCAGGCAUGAAAAUCUUCAAUGACUAUCGUGCAUGAUUUUUAUGUUCAAAAGAUCCAGUACUCUAGUAUUGGCCAAGCCGUAAAUAAAAUGAUUUUUGGUUGAAGAAGAAUCGGUAUGUGCAAGGGUUUCUGGAUCAUUUCUUUUUACUGUCCCAUGGCUUUUCGUUAAUGCUAGUACAACUAUAUUUCUCUUUUCUGAAGUUAAGUAGGUUGAUAUCUAUAAAUAGGUUUAUCACGGUUUUAAGAAUAUCAAAGAAAAGAAAAACCUUUUAUGGGUCUUUAAGGCACAAACACGCUAUUAAGACAACUUUUAAGGGUGUUUUUUUUUUUUCACUAAGGACAUGUGUGGUAAAUAUACCCAAACCUAUUUUUAUUUAAUUCACGAUAUUCACCGCCCCAAUUAGUUUUAACAUAUUUAAUUUUAAGUGAAAACUGAUGCUCAACAAGUGUUUGAAAACGUUGAAAAGUGGAAAAUACAUCAGAUUUCGCAACAAGCGGAUAAUACCAUAUGUUUGGUAUGCGCACCGACAAAAAUAACAAAAUAGCAGAAGUCAUCAGAAGAAAACAUAGGAGCAGAACACCAAACAUCACUAAAAAUUAAAUGAAGUAGGGUAGAAGUUUUGUGACUGGUAGGUUGCAACGACAAACGGGACGACUUGCCUAAAGGACAAGCUUGACACUGAGUAAGAGAAUGUCUAGAAGUACAUAUGAUUUUAUUGUCGGAAACUAAAAAAUUUAAAAUGCAUGGGGUUGGAUGACCCAAACGAUGAUGCCACAGGUCGGCAUUCGCGGAGAUGCAAGGAGACCAAAAAGCUUGACGAACUGACAUGACAGAAGACUCGAAGAGGACAUAAAGGCCAUCAUUACUCUGACUGGAAAUGAGAACUUCUUUGGUGACGAGAUCCUUGACAUAAAAUAUAGAAGCUGAAAUUCAAAAUAAACAUGAUUAUCAUGACAUAAUUUUUGAAUAGAUAACAACGGUUUGGUAAUAUGAGGCACAUGAGAACAAUAGAUAAUGUAAAAAUGUGUUUUGGGGAAUGUAAUGUAGUAUGUCUAAUAUGGGAUAUGUCAAGGCCUUUAUCGUCACCAACAUGCAAAUAAUUAUUACCAAGAUAGGGUACAUAAUCGAUCAGAGUUCCAAGAUCAGGUGUGACAUGUUGAUUUGCGCUGGUGUCGGGGAACCAAGUUGCAGCAGAAGCAUUCCCAACAGCAAGGUGAGCAGAGGGCUGCUGGGUUCUACUGCGAAACUAGGGACAAUGAGGAGCUGUGUGACCAAAAUUGUAGCACAAUUGGCAGCGAACAUGCUACUGUCCAGACCACUGCCCAGCCCCGGAGUUGCGCCUAGCCUCCUGCCAGUUGUUUUGCCGUCAGUCUACAGCAGAUUGGCCCUUGUUCUGAUGAGUGUAGCAGUUGUUGUUGGGACACCAAUUGCCUUAAGAGCGACCUAUGUUGCGGCUGAAGUUGGGGCUAUGAUGAGACAUCAUUACAUGAUUUCACAGUUUUACCAACAGAAAUAUUUCGUCGGUUUGUGGUUCAGAGUUCAUCGGUAAUGUUUUUACCGACGACAUCACCGACGGAAACCCUCUGUCGGCUUUCCUUUCAUUGGUAACACCUAAUUCCUUCGCAACAUUGGUCAGUAAAAAAAAAACAAUUGCUAAUGGUUUUAUAGAUGGAAAUUGCGCGCCAAAAAAUAAACAUUCCCGCUUGAAAUAUACUGACAGAUUGAUUUCGUCGGUGAUAGUGGCAUAUCCAGUAAUAUUUUUUAGCUCCCCGUUAAAUUAACUAUUAAAAUUAAAUAAUACUCAUUACAAAUUAACAUAAUGGUGGAGGAGGAGGAGGCUAGUUGUUAUACGACCAAAAAGGAGGAGGCGCACAUGUAUUACCACUCUAUGAUGCCAUGUUCAUGACCAUUUGGCGAAGCUGUUCAUAAUUCGCCGAGAGUUGUUCAUAGUUCGUCGAUAGGUGAUCGAAUUUUUCAGUGAGCUGAGCCAUGUGUUGCUGCAAGGUCACGAACUCUUUAGAUUGGGUGCUCGAUACUGAUUGAGAGCUCCCAAUGGUUGAGACACUACAAGCCACCCACAAGUUCUAGGGCAUAGUGUUGAAGAGCACGUACACCCAAUUUAAUCGAGUCCACCGGAUGAUCGAACCUCCAUCCAUAAAUCUAGAUUGAAAUCAGGAUGGGUCGAAGGAUCGUCCCCAUAUCUCUCCCUUAACCGACUAUUAUAGGUCUCCUGAAAAUGAAAAAAGAAAGCAUCAUAGUCAAUUAAAAAAUAAUAAUAACAACUUACGAAAUAAAUGACUGAACAAACAUACCACAAAGUGUUGAGCAUGAUUGUCAACGAACUAUUGUGCUUCCUUUUGGUGGUUUUGACUCCGCACGUGCGUAUCAACAAACACCUCCAUUGGGCUUGGUUCAUGUCCAAGAGACGUAGCCUGUAAUGAAAAAAAUUAAUUAACAACAAAUUAAUUUAACAAUAUAUUUCAUUUAAAUUAAUCUUGCCAUAUGUUUUGCAUGUGUAGUAAACGAAAUGGAGUCGCCGGUGUGCGUUGCCACCGAGCCAUGAAUUGGUCGAUUCCGGUUGCCAGCACUAGACUAAGAGCGUCGUGUGAAUCGCUCAGACGUCACAUGCUCAAGAUAAUGCGGCCAUAAAUCUGCCGGGAUGUAUAUCGGUUUGAAAUCCUUCCAAACCGCCACGCCGUUCCAGCCUUGGAGACCAUUAUCUCUUGCGGUUUUUUUUUUCUUUUUUUAUGCUUCAUACCAAAAAUCACACAACCUACUUCCAUAGCAAUAAAUUAGAUUUUGAAACAUAAAUUUUUUUCUAAAACAAUCUCGUAUUGUUUUCAAUUUUCCCAUACCUAGAUUAAUGCAUUGAAUCUUUCCUAAGAAGAGCUGUGUAUAGACUAUAUUUACGUUAAGAAAGGCGGGGAGUGGACAGAAAGGAGAGGAACGAAGGAAAAAAGAGAGUAGAACUACACUGUCGAAAGCAAAAAAAAAUACAGAGGCAGGGGCAUGAACUCAACCAGCAUAACACGCUUUCAUCACCAUCUCCCUCAUCAUCUCCAUGGAGAGGCAGGCAAGAGGACAUAAGAGGAAAAGAGGGCAACAACAGAAAAGAAAACAGAGGCAGAAAAAAAAGGAAAGGAAGAGCAAGGGAAAAGAAACGCAAACAGGGGAAAGAAAGAACAAGAGAGAGACAGAAUACUAGAAAAAAAACAAAGAGAAAAAGAGAAAGAAAAAAAAACACAGAGAACAAGGGUUCAUCUUUUCGACUGUGAAAGUCUUCACAGGAACGAAGAGGAGAGAAAAAAGCAAGAGGCAGGCAAAACAAGGAGAAAGAGAGAGGGCAGGGAAAUGAAAAAAGAAGAGAUAGCGAGGGGAGUGAACGACGCAGAUAACAGGGGAGAACAGAGGGAGUUUCUUUCCUUUAUCCUUUCAUUACUGUGAGAAAGGAAAACAGAACGGAGUAGAGAGAGAAGAGAAGAAAAAACAAAACUUGGAAAGAACCAGGUAAGUUGUCGCUCUUUUCUUACCAGCUUUGCAUGCAUUCUUGGUUGCAUUGUUACUAUUCAAGUGAAAUUUAAUUCACUUGAACAGUAACCAGCCAAGGCAUGUGUGAGGAAACACACGCAUGCCUUUGUGCCCAACCGGGUCACUGGUUUAGGCCAGUGACCAUGUUAGGCCUGCUGGGUUCAGCCCAACCACAUGGGCCAAACUGGACCCAGCCCUUAAAAAACGAGUAAUAUUGUUUUUUUUUUUUUGUAUUUACUUUGUGGUUUUUUUGUAUUUUUAUAUUGUCAAAACAUAAAUCUUGUAUUUAAAAUACCCGGUUUUUGACGCAAUGUGACAUAUAUAUAUAUAUAUAUAUAUAUAUGUUUUCAUGCAUACGGCCAAUACUCUAACAUGUUUUGAAUGUUUUUUUAUAUAAAAAAAAUAUAUUGGAAGUUUUGAAAAUGUGUUUUCGCAUGGAUUUCUUAAACACUAUAAAAAUUAUUUUCUUGCAUUUCUGGAUUUUUACAACAUGUUUGUAAAACUCCAAAGGGUAUUGGCCAAUAUUCCAAAAAUAUAAAAGCUUUAUUUUGGGGGGAAUUCAUCUAUCAUUCACCGUUAAUGUUUGGAUAAAGAAAUCCGUAAGGGAUGAAUAUCCAAAAUAGUAUUGGAAAUAAUUUGUUAUUAUUCGCUCUUAAUGUUUGGAUAAAGAAACCCAAGUGGUUAAUAUGCAAAAUAUUUUUCUAGGAAUAAUAAAACACCAUACAUCUUUGAAAGAAGUCUCGAUUAUAAUUGAGGACAUUUCAAUUUUUUGACUCCACGGUUUACGAGCCAUGAAAGUAUGAAACACUAAGGCAAAAAAAAAGGCUUUUAAAGCACUCUGAAUUUCCUUAGAUUUCUAAAUCUUUGUUCCUUUUCCUUGCGAUUUAGGAGUCGCGAACACUUGAAAUACCAAGAGGAAAAUGAGCUUUUAAAGCACAUUGAAUCUCCUUGGAUUUCUAUCUUAAUAAAUUUAGUCUGAAUCAAACACAGAUUUCAAGAGAUCUGCAUUGGUUCCCCUCGGCACUUUGUAGACAUAUCUAAAGGUAUGAUCUAUAUUGGCCAAGGAUUCUUGCUUUUAGACUUUGAACCUAAAAUCAUUCAUCAUAGCAAACCUAUCUUAGGAAAACUAAUUAAGAGAACACCAACACCAUAGCAAUUAUAAGGCAAACCAAACACCAAGCAGCUUACCUUAGGUAGGGCGUACUAGGAGUGCUAAUACCUUUCCUUUACGCAACCAGUCCCUUGCUUUAGAAUCUCUGAAAGACUAGUUAGGGUUCCUAGAGACCAAAAUACUAGGUGGCGACUCCUAUUCACAAAACAAAACAAAAGACCCGAAAUCAAUCGAGGAUCGCCGCGACGGUGCGACAAUGUUGAUGAUAGAAAAUCUAUGGGUGGUUAUCUUGUGUUCUUUGGUCAGACAUCAAUUUUAUGGAAAUCAGGUAAGCAACGUACAUGUGCUCACACUUCUACUGAAGCCGAGUACAAAGCCUUAGCCGAUGGCACUGCUGAGGUUAUCUAACUUUAGUAUUUAUUAAUAGAUCUCCAGAUUUCAUCCGCUUCUGCUCCUUUCAUCUGGUGUGACAACCUUGGUGCCACUUAUUUGUUUGCGAAUCUUGUUCUUCAUGCUCGUACAAAACAUGUUAAGGUUGAUUAUCAUUUUGUCCGAGAUAGAGUUGCAAAGAAGGAGAUUCAGAUUCGUUUUAUUUCUUCUCGGGAUUAACUUGCAGAUGUCUUCACUAAACCACUUCCUAUUGCUUCAUUUACUGCUUUUUGGUUCAAGCUUCGAGUUGAUCCUCCACCCUCAGCUUGAGGGGGCAUAUUAUAGAAUGCACCUAUAUAGGAAAUAUUGUAUAUAGAAAAUAUUGUAGUCAUACUCUUGUGUGGUAACCUCCACCAUUACUAUUGUAUAUUGCCAUAUACAUGUAUAUAGAGAAGGUUGGCUAGCCAAUAGGUUAAACCUCCUAAUUAUUCUAACUUUCACUACAUCUACUUAGUACAUAUAAGUUGAAGGAUUGGUACCUUGACCAAUGAACUGGAAAUAUCGUUAAUUGAUAAUGAAUGGCAUACAGUCUUACCAUAUAAGUUGAAGGAUUGAUAAUCGAUCCUUUUGGGAUAUGUCAAUCCCAAAUCUAUUAUUCCAUUUAUUUAUUAAUUAUCAUAAAAACAUUUAUUAAAUGUGCUGUCCUCCAACUCUUUCCAUGAAAAGAAAAGGUUGUGAACCACCACAUUUGAUCAUGGACAAAAGGUAAUCAAAUAGUUGCCUCCACUAGGACAAGUAAACGUGCUCGAUUUAUCAUCAUAAGCAUAACUGUAAGCUUGAGGACACUGCUGCUUGAAAGUCAUCGAAUAUUGGCUAGGAGGACAUUUGUCAGGUGUAUUAUAGUCUCCUGUGCAGCAGUACUGCGGCUGGUUAAAUGCCAAACACGCGCUCUUGCAGGCAAUCACAGUCCCAUCUGAACCCUUCACUUGUAAACUAGGAUCACAAACAGCAUUCACGUUAGCUGCACAGCUUGUAGAAGGGCAGCCAGUAGAACCUCCUUGCGGGGUUAUCGAAAUCGGGAUGUUAAAGCCAUCAACAAGGCUUAUAUCGUAAAAAUCUUGCCCACCACUACCGCUUAGAGUAAAUUCUGCCAAGGAUGCUGGUGGGAUCGCACCGGCUCCAUUGCAUUCUAUGACACCGGAGGCACAGUCAGCAGUAGCACAAACAAACUUUCCCGAGGCAUCUGUAGAGCAUUGCGUUCUGGCCCAAAAGCGGCCAGACCAAUUGACAGGGACACUCAGCGAAGAUGAAGCACCCGUUGCCAAUGUGAAGCCAGUUGAAGAUAAAGACGGACCGCGAUCAGCCGUUAGAGUUCCUGGCCAGACUGUGUAUGGACACUUGUUUGUGAAGUCGAAAGUCACAGAUUGAGCUCCUGCAUGCGUGCAAGCUGCGCAAGAUUUAUUUUUGUUGAUAUCAAUAGUUAAAUCUUGGUCGAUUCAAAGAUAACAUAAUUCAAUAUUUAAGAUCUUGUAUUAAUUCACUUAUUUUUCUUUUACAAAUAUAACAUAACCCAGGAUUUUUGUUUAAUAUAUUUUUUUUCUUUUUAGUUUUUUAUCUGGAAACUCCCUCCUGGAUAAGUUUAUUGGAUUCACGAAAUCCAUUGAAUAAUGAAAACUAAUUAAUAUUGCAUAUGCAAACAGAAAAUAUAUAUGUAGAAUAAUCAAAGUGAAUAAUAUGCAUAAUAGAGUUUUCCAUGCAAGAAUCUAAUAUUUGUAAUAUUGUAAAACUACUUGCCACAGAGGAAGAUGACGAGGGUGAAGGUAAUUAUAGCAAUGGGCACACGACUCUCCAUUGCCGAGAUGCGUCGAAUUAACACUUUUUCAGUAUCUUUUAAGAGAUUUGAGCUAAGCAAGAAACACUCUAUAUUUUAAAAAGAUUGUGUUUGCCACUUAAUAAAUAGUGUUAAAUUUGCAGACUAGUAAACAGCCAAACAGAGGAACCGUCUUCCACACGCACCGUCUCAUCCACGAUGACAUUUGAAAAUGAAUGCCAAAUUAUAAAAUUAUAAUUUAUUUAUAUUUAUAAAAAAAAAUUAUAAAAUUGGGUCUAUCACCUGAAGUGUGUGGAUACCGUCCAUGCACUGACCUGCACUCAUCAACUAUUUUUUAAUAUUAUUUUUACUUAUAAAAUUAUAAAAUUAGAAAUAAACCACCCUGGUAAAAAAAAAAAAAAAACCCCAAAGAAAUAUACAAAUGCCCUUGGUUUGAACCACAAGUGACUAACUAGAUAUCUCAAGAGGAACGCCCUGCUUCUCACGUCUAAUUGAAUAUUGAAUGUAAUACCGUUUCCUUGUUUGAACCACAAGUGACUAACUAGAUAUCUCAAUUGAUGAGAAAGCAGACUAGAAAACAGAGGCAGUUCUCCUCCAUCAUGUGCGACUGAGGAGCCGUGAUGAGUGCGAGACUCUUCAAAAUUGAUGAGAAAGCAGACUGGUCCCUGCUUCUGGAAUGAAUGGAAGUCUAGAAUUUUUCCAAAUCCAAUUGUCUAAUGAAUGUAACUCUGGAAUUAUUCCAAAUCCACAAGUUUCAUAAUGUUGUGUUGAUUGUGAGACAUUAUUUCAAAAACUGAAGGGGAAUAAAAUUGUAAAAAAUUCUAAUUUUACAAAUUAUUCCAAAUAAAAAAACAAUAAACAAAAUAAUAGGAAUGAAAUUCAAAAAAUAACAAAUUAAAGGCAUGCUUUGAAAUUUUGAAGGGCUACACAUAAAAAUCAAGAAAAAAAAAUAUUGUCGGCAACAAACCAAAAAAUAUUUGUCACACGCGCUGCCUCACCCACGGCAGUAAUUGGUCAACAAACAUUCUGAACGUGCCACUUGAAGUGUGCGGAUCGCCCAAGAACUAACCUGUACUCAUCAGCUACUUUUUUUAAACUAUUUUUUAAAAAAAUAAUAUUUAUAUUUAUUAAAUUAUAAAAUUGAAAAUAAACCACCCUGAUAAAAAAAAAAAAAAAACCAAUGAAGAUAUACGAAUGCCCUUGGUUUGAACCACAAGUGACUAACUAGAUAUCUCAAUUAAUGAGAAAGGAGACUAGCAAACAGCCAAUUAGAGGAACGCCCUGCUUCUCACGUCUAAUGAAUGCAAUUGAAUGCAGGAACAGGGCCAUACUCACAAGAAAAUUAAUUACACCCGACAUCCUACUUUCUAAGUGUAAAAGCUAUAUUUCUGUGUCUAGAAAUAUCAGGUAGAUUUUUUUAUGGAAAUAUCUUGUCAAUAAAUAUCAAAAUAUUUGAUAUAGAGCAUAUAUCUAAUUAUGUUUAAUAAAAUUUUUAUUUGAAUAAAUUUUUAUUUAACCAAAUGAUUAUCCUUGCCAAUAAAACGAUGUCUAUCCAGUAUAAUUUUUUUAUUUAAUUUAUAUUUCAAAAUAUUAUGAAAUAAGAAUGCUCUUACCCAAGGUUAAAGUUCAAGCACGGUAUGAGAAGGUGGAAAAAGAUGUUGAUAACUAUUGGGGUCAUAGGUUUUCCUUCUUUUUUUGUGUCUUUGGAAAAUAGAAAUGCAAAGGACUGUCACGGAGUUUUUCCAUACCAUGCUUGGGCUUUGGAUGUAUGUUUCCUUGACAUGAGAUGAUGGCUACCUUGCUUUGGAUCCCUUGUCAACGAUGAUGCUCGUUAAUGUUGGUACAACUAUAUUUCUCUUUUCUAAAGUUAAGUACUAGGUUGAUAUCUAGAAAUAGGUUUAUCACGGUUUUAAGAAUAUCAAACACGCUAUUAAGAAAAAUUGUAAGGGUUUUUUUUUUCCACUAAGGACAUGUGUGAUUAAUAUUCCCAAACCUAUUUUUUCAAAGCUUUUUUUUUUUUUUUGUGUUUUGUCAAACUAAUCUUAGUCUAAUUUUAAUUAUUUUUCAAGUUUGGAAGAGCAUUUUUGCAAUUAAUUUUUCAUUCUUUAUCCUUUUAUAUUUAAAAACAAGUUUAUUAAAUCCACAGGUAGAUGGCCUAAGUUUGAAAAACACUAAAACAUUUAACUUGUUUAUUUUAAUAUGAAUUAUGAGCUUAUACGUGAGAUUUAUUUUUGAUAUUGAAAGAAACAAAGGCAAAAAUAUGUUUUGGCUCUAUAAUGGCUAGGCUUCACCCAUAAAGCUAUUGGUUCACUUUACUGGGAUAGACUUGCUUUAAUCAAUAGACAAACCAAUGAUAAGAAAAAAAAACAACAGUGUCUUAGUAAUAAUCAGACAAAUAAACAAUACAGCUUAUCUUAGGUAUGAUGUACUAGGGGUGAUAAUAUCCAUCCUAUAUGUUGUACGUGUGCGGCGUCGCGGUGAUCGUCCACCAUCUCAAGGAAAAUGGAACGGUGUAUCCCUGGAAAAUGUGGAGAGACAAGGAAUUCCUUGUCUUUUAUCAGUAAAAUAUGGACUGGGAGUUGCCACCUAGUAUUCUGGUCAUUAGGAACCCUAACUGGUCUUAGAGAUCGAGUACGGAGACUGGUUGCGUAAAUGGAAGGUAUUAGCACCCCAACUACGCCCUACCUAAGGUAAGCUACAUUGUUUUCAUGUCUAAUAAAAUCUAAGUUCUUAUUGUGUUUUCUAAUUGUUGGUUUGUCUAAGCUUCAAGAAAAGCCCUUCUUAUUAAGAAGGUUCUUAUUUUAAUGGGGUAGAACCUAACUGUUCUAGUGUCUGAAAAAAAUUUAAUAUCUAGAAUACGUAUUACGUGUAAUGUCCUACCCCGGAUACUAAAAGCCAAACAAAAUAAAAAUUCUAUUUUUUUUGUAAUUUUGGCCAAUGUUCUCUUGACUUUAAAGCAAAAAUGCAUGCUAAAACAUUGUUUUUUGUGUAUGAAAAAAACAAUAUGAUUUUUUAGCUUUGAGACACUUGGUUGUAUGCACAAAAACAUUUUUUUUUCUUUUUUUUCAAUUUUUUUUGUAUUUUUGAAAGUUUUGACGAAAAUCAGGUAUUGUAAUACCGGAUUCGUAUUUUGUUUUUGAAAUGACAAAAUAAACAGACUCAGAUUAAACAAAACAAAGUAUAAAAAUACACGAAAAACUUACAAUUUUUCAAAGGCAUUUUUUUUUUAAAAAAAUUUGAAUUGGGUCGGACCCGACCCAAUUAUUUUUCUUUGGACUGGGCUGGGCCCAAAUAUUCAGCUGGGCCAAAAUUGGCCCAUCCAUGAACAGUGCUCUCCACUGUUUGUAGACUAAGCAAUGGAGGCAAGACGAAGCAGAAGAGAAAAAAAAGGAAGGGGGAAGGCUGACCUGCGGUGGCUGCUACCGUUGGUUGUGCUGCUGGAGGCGACAGGCGGCGACGCUGGUGGUGGCACUGGUGGUUUGUGCUGGCUCUAUAUUUUUUUCUUCUCUCUUUCUUCUGUUUUUCGUUCUCUUCUCUGCUUAUUCUUUUUUUCUUUCGGUAUUCCCCCUCUACUCUGCUCUCUCUUCUCCUCUCUCCUUUUUUUCUCUCCUUUUUUUUUUCUUGUUUUUUCCUGCUCUCUCUCUCUUACUCUGUUUUUCUUCUUUUUUUCUAUCCUUGUGUUUUUCUCCCUCUCCUCUCUGUUUUUUUUUCAUUGUCCUUGUGUCUCCUUUCUCCCCUUUAUUUAUAGGGGAGAAAGGAGGCCUACACCUCUGCCUAGUCAAUGGCGUAGGGUUGUAGGGUGGACGGGGCGGCCACUGUUCAGCCGCCCCUCUACCACCCUAGGGACACCUCUCGUCCCCUAAUUCUAACACGUGGAAAGCUGUUCAAGUGGAGGGGUCAGGUUGGCAUUUUUUUGGAAAGAGUUGGUGGCGGUGACAGAGGAAGAAAAAAUCUUCUUCUUGCCCUGCUUCGCGCGUCCAAGGGAAGAAGAAAACCCACAAUACCGUUCAAAACGACACCAUUUCGGCCUUUUUUUUGGUGAACAAGUAUUUAAAACGAUGCCAUUUUUCCCAAAACACGCCAUUUCAUUUAAAUGGGAAUUGGCACCAAAACGCGUCAGAUUUCAAAAUCAUGCCUUCAAUUUGCGUGUGUUUUGCAUUUUGGUCCUUGGUCUCGGAUUUCUUCAAUUAAGUCCCUAAUUGGCCAUCAAACUUCAAUAUUUAUGCAAUUAAGCCCCUUAUUUGACCUAAUUAAAUCUCAAAAAUUAUAUUUUGACCCCAGAAUUUUAAUUUCUUUCAAUUAAAGCCCAAGUUCACUCCAAAUCAAUUUUUCUUGCAAUCAAAACCUCCAUAAAUUCAAUUAAACCUUCAAUAAAAUUUAAUUGAGUCCAGAAACAACUGAUUUUGGACUUUUCUUCCUCAAAUUGAAUUUUCUUUGUCAACAAGGCUUUUAUCAGUCAAUAAAAUACUACUAAAUUUUGAUAUUUUUAUUUUUAAACCUCCUCUACCAAUUUUUGACCAAAUAGAGGAACACGUGAAAAUCAAGAAGAGAAAAAAAAAAGAAAAUGAAAAAAAAAAAAUGUUUGUAAUAACAACCAUCUUCAACCCGCACCGUCUCAUCCACGAUGACAUUUGACAAUUAAUGUCAAAUUAUAAAAUUAUAAUUUAUUUAUAUUUAUAAAAAAUUAAAUUAUAAAAUUGGUUUUGUCACCUGAAGUGCAUGGAGAUCAUACAUGCACUGACCUGUAUUCAUCAAUUAUUUUUUAAUAUUAUUUAAAUUAAUUAAAUUAUAAAAUUAGAAAUAAACCACCCAGAUAAAGAAAAAAAAACCAAUGAAAUAUACAAACGCCCUUGGUUUGAACCACAAGUGAUUAUCUAGAUAUCUCAAUUAAUGAGAAAGCAGAAUAGCAAACAGCCAAUUAGAGGAACGCCCUGCUUCUCUAAUUGACUAAAGAAUGUAACACCGGUGCCUUGUUUGAACCACAACUGACUAACUAGAUAUCUCAAUUGAUGAGAAAGCAGACUACUAAACAGCCAACAGUGGCGGUUCUCCUCCAGCAUUACACCGUGAUGAGUGCGAGACUCUUCAAAAUUGACAAGGAAUCAGACUGGUCCCUGCUUCUGGAAUGAAUGGAACUCCAAAUCCAAUUGUCUAAUCAAUGUAACUCUGGAAUUAUUCCAAAUCCACAAGUUUCAUAAUGUUGUGUUGAUUGUGAGACAUUAUUUAAAAAACUGAAGGGAGAAAAUUGUCAAAGAAUUAUAAUUUUAUAAAUUAUUCUAAAUAAAAAAACAAUAAUCAAAAGAAUAUGAAUCAAAUCCGAAGAAAUAAGAAAUUGAAGGUGUGCUUUGAAAUUUUGAAGGGCCACACAUAAAAAUUAAGGAGAGAAAAAAUAAAAAAUAAAAAUUAUCAGCACCAAACUAAAAAGCUAUCUGCCACACAUGCUGCCUCAUCGAUGGCGGCAAUGGGUCAACGAACAUCCCUGCAUGUGCCACCUAAAGUGUGCGGAAUUGCCCAUGCACUAACAUGUACUCAUUAACUAUUUUUUUAAUAUUAUUUUAUAUUUAUUAAAGUAUAAAAUUGGAAAUAAACCACCCUGAUAAAAAUAAAAAAAAAACGCAAUGAAAAUAUACAAACACCCUUGGUUUGAACCCCAAGUGACUAACUAGAUAUCUCAAUUAAUGAGAAAGCAGACUAGUAAACAGCCAAUUAGAGGAACGCCCUGCUUCUCACAUCUAAUGAAAGCAAUUGAAUGCAGGAAUAGGGCCAUACUCACAAGAAAAUUGAUUUAUACCCGACAUGGUACUUUGUAAGUGUAAAAGCUAUAUUUCUGUGUCUAUAAAUAUUAGGUAGAUUUUUUUAUGGAAAUAUCUUGUCAAUAAAUAUCAAAAUAUUUGAUAUUGCAACACGGUGCAUAUACCUAAUUGUAUUUAAUAAUGUUUUUAUUUGAAUAAAUUUAUAUUUAACCAAAUGAUUAUCCAUGUCAAUAAAACAAUGUCUACCCAAUACAAUUUAUUUAUUUAUUUUAUAUUUCAAAAUAUUAUGAAAUGAGCAUCACUUGCCUAUAUUUAUUUAAUUAAUUAAAUGAAAUGAAAUGAAAAAAUAUCUAUAAAAAGGAGAAAUGAAAAAAAAAACAACAAAUAAAAAUACUCGAGAUAUCCUGAGUCAUUUUCAAAAUAAGUGAAAAAUCUUAUAUCUUCACUGUUGGUACUGAUAUUUGUUAUCUUUUGGUCUACAUUGAUGAUAUUCUGCUUACGGGUAGCAACUCUCUUCUGCUCCAAUGCCUUAUACAGCUACUGAGCUUAGAAUUUAAGCUUCGCGACUUGGGUUAUGUUCAUUAUUUUUUAGGUAUUGAAGUUCAGCCUAUCGGUAUGGGUCUUAUGCUCCGAUAGCAUAAAUAUACACUUGACAUCCUCACUGAGGAUGGUAUGUUUUCUUGCAAACCUGUUGAUACUUCUAUCUCUACAUCCAAAGCUACCUUUUAGAUCCCUUAUUUUCUGAUGCUACAUGCUUUCAUCAAAUUUUGGGUGCUCUUCAAUAUCUCAUUUUUACAUGCCCAGAUAUUUGCUUUGCUAUUAACAGAGUCUGUCAAUUUAUGCAUGAUCCUACAUAUUCUCAUUGAGCUACCGUUAAAUGCAUGUUGUGUUAUCUUAGGGGUACGACAUCACAUGGCCUACAUAUUACUCGCUGAUUAGUACUUAAAAGUGUAUUUUUAUCAAAGUUUUAUAUCAUCAUUUUGCACUUGAAGUAUGAAUAAAUCCUUAACUAAAACAUGUUUUAUAAUAACAAGUCUGAUACUAUAAGUUAGCUUAAUUUAUGGUAAAUGUUCAUCUUAAAUACAGGCCUAUCACAUAAAUCAAAAGAUUGAUUGAUGAGUUUAACUACUGAAAUUGAAAAGACAAAGAGAGAGCCAAAUUUAGAAAAGAGAUGCUGGUUCAAUCCAAACUGGAAUACUGUUCGGUCAUUGAGUCAUAUCUGGAGCUAUACAUAUUGGAUUUAGGCCUGCUCUAUAUGGAUGGAAAGCUAAGACAUAAGCCUUAGACUUUCAUGGAAGUCCAUGAUUUAAAAAGGCCAUUUUCAAGUCCAAAUUGUAGCAACUGUAUGGUAUAACCGAUAACUGUAUGGUAUAAACAAUUUAUAAUCCGAUUGGAACCUCCUUUGUAUCUGGUUUCCAGUUUAGUAAUAAGAGUUUAUACUAUACUUGUUUGAAAUACCAUUAGUGGAUCCUCUAACCUUGACAAUUGUUUUUAUCAUUGUUUAAUCCUUAUAUUAAUAUCACAUCUCAAAGCUCUCUUCAACUUAUUGUUAUUAUUAUUCUUGUUGUUGUUGUUGUUACUAUUACUAUUACUAUUAUCAUUUAAAAUUUAUAUAGUUAACCUCCAUAUGGUUCGACCCCGAUCUUGCCAGGUUAUUUAUUACUUCGACACUCCUACACUUGGAAGAAGACAUCAAUCUUUUGGUCGUGUUACUCACAGUUCUUCCUUUGCCUUACAUGGUUUUAUAGAUGGAAAUUGGGCAGAUAGUGUUGAUGAUAGAAAAAAUCAUGGGUGGUUAUCUUGUGUUCUUUGGUCAGAUGUCGACUUUGUGGAAAUCAGGUAAGCAAUGUACAAUUGCUCGCUCUUCUACUGAAGCUGAGUACAAAGCCUUAGCCGAUGACACUGCUGAGGUUAUCUGGCUUCGGUAUUUAUUAACAAAUCUCCAGAUUUUGUUUGCUUCUGCUCCUUUCAUCUGGUGUGACAACCUUGGUGCCACUUAUUUGUCUGCGAAUCCUGUUUUUCAUGCUUGCACAAAACAUGUUAAGGUUGAUUAUCAUUUUGUUCGAGAUAGAGUUGCGAAGAAGAAGAUUCAGAUUCAUUUUAUUUCCUCUCGGGAUCAACUUGCAGAUGUCUUCACUAAGCCACUUCCUACAGCUUCAUUUACUAUUUUUCGGUUCAAGUUUCGGGUUGAUCCUCCACCCUCAGCUUGAGGGGGCAUAUUAUAGAAUGUACCUAUAUAGGAAAUAUUAUAUAUAGAAAAUAUUGUAGUCAUACUCUUGUGUGGUAACCUCCACCCUUACUAUUGUAUAUUGCCAUACACAUGUAUAUAGAGAAGGUUGGCUAACCAAUAGGUUAAACCUCCUAAUUAUUCUAACUUUCACUACAUCUACUUAGUACAUAUAAGUUGAAGGAUUGGUACCUUGACCAAUGAACUAAAAAUAUCGUUAAUUGAUAAUGAAUGGCAUACAGUCUUACCAUAUCAACAACAUGAAAAUUGAUAAAGAUCCUUUUGGGAUAUGUCAAUCCCAAAUCUAUUAUUCCAUUUAUUUAUUAACUAUCAUAAAAACAUUUAUUAAAUGUGCUGUCCUCCAACUCUUUCCAUGAAAAGAAAAGGUAAUGUUUUUACCGACAACAUCACCGACGGAAACCCUUUGUCACUCCCCUACCCCUUAUAAAUACCCCCUCACCACGCAGUGAGUAGGGAGAAAAAAAAGGGGAUGACAAGUGUCGCAUGUCAAAAUCUGCACGGCGUCUAAUGGCAAUUUUUCGUUUUGUUUUGCUGAUUUGGUUCUUUGGAGUUGCCACCUAGUAUUUUGUUUACUAGGAACCCUAACUGGUCUUUCAUAGAUUCUAAGGCAAGGGACUGAUUGCGUAAAGGGAAGGUAUUAGCACCCCUAGUACGCCCUACCUAAGGUAAGCUGCUUGGUGUUUGGUUUGCUCUAUAAUUGCUAUGGUGUUGGUGUUUUCUAAUCCCAUCAAUUUUCCUAGGUUUGAUUCAAAUAAAAUUUAUUUGGAUAGAAAUCCAAGGAGAUUCCAUGUACUUUGAAAGCUCAUUUUUCCCUUAGUAUUUCAAGAGUUUGCGACUCGUAAAUCGCAAGGAGGAGGGACAAAAAAAUUUAGAAAUCUAGGGCCCUAAAAAAACCCUAUUUUUUAGUAUUUUAUACUAUCACGGCUCGUAAACCAUGGAAUUGUUUUUUGAAAUGUCAAUUAGAAUCAAGGCUUCUUUCAAGGAUGUGUGUGGAUUUAUUACUCCCAAUAAUAUUUUGGAUAUUCGUCCUUUAAGGAUUUCUUUAUCCAAACAUUAGCGGUGAAUAAUAGAUGAAUUCCCCCUACCCAGUUUUACAAACAUGUUGUAAAAUCCAGAAAUGCAAGAAAAAACAAUUUUUGUUGUGUUUAAGAAAUCCAUGCGAAAACACAUGUUUCAAAACUUUCAAUAUUUUUUGUAUAUAAAAAAAAAACAUUCGAAACAUGUUAGGGUAUUGGCCGUAUGCAUGAAAACAAAACAUUAUUUGUUAAUAAACAUUUUUUUUUGUUGACGAAAACUAGGUAUUUUAAUACCGGAUUUGUAUCUUUACAGUAUAAAAAUACAAACCGAUAUUGAUCAAAAUACAGUAAUAAAAUUAUAGAAAAGUCACAAAUUCUUUGAAAUAUUUUUUGAUGAAUUUUUAUUUAUUAUUUAUUAUUUAUUUUUUUUGGCUGGGCCCACAUGUGAAUAGUAAAAUAGCAUUUCACUGUUCAAGUGAAUUAUAUUUCACUUGAACAGUGAAAUGCAAGGAAAUGCACAGCGACGAAGGGGGGCAAACCUGGUGGCGGUGGAGAGGAAGUGUUGUGUUCCUGGUAGUGUUGGUGUCGCGGCGGAUGGCUGUGACAGUGGUCAGUGACUGAGGAUGACGGUGUGCUUCCGGUGAUUGCAGUGGUGGAGGCCGGCGUUGGCUACGGGAGGAAGAUGAAAAAGUUGCAGAGGAGAGAGAAACAUUGGAAGUAAAGGAAGAAAUCUGCAAAAAUUGGGCGAAAAUGCUGGUUUUUGGCUGACUUUGGACCCGAUUUUCUCCCCCCUCAGACCAUCAAAUCCGACUCUAUUUAUAGGCUCGAGCGGACAAUUCUCGGGGAUAGAGGGGUUUCAGGUGGCCAUUUUGGUGCAUGAGUUGUCAAUUUUGGGGAACAAACGAGGCAUUAAACGCGCCUCCAAAAGGGCUACCCGGACAGCUUCACGGGGAAGAUGAUGAACAAUAACCACGCGAUUUUUUCAAUUUAGUCCGCGUUCUUUCAAAUUAGUUCAAUGGAACCCCUAAUUGACCCUAAACCUUUGAUUUAAUGCAAUUUUGGCCCCUAAUUUCAAUCAAUUAACUUGGUAAAAAUUAAAUUUGGUCUCUUAAAAUUCCAAUCUUCUUAAUUAAGCCUAAAUUAGGCUCCCAAACUUAAGUUUUCACCAAUUAAGCCCCAAAUAAAAUUAAUUUGACCCACUUAAAGUAUAAUUAAGUCCUUGCACUUAAUUAAAUCCUUAAAUUGGAUCCAAAUUAAUUCUUAAACAUAAUUAAAAUUUAAUUUGGCCCAUGAUUAAAUCAAAUUGGCCUAUUAAAAAUUUAAUUAUGUCAUUGACCUUGAAUUUGCAUUUUUCUCGAUUUUUGGGCAUGAUGGGGUACAAUUAGGCCUUGGAUUUCCUCCAAAAUUGCAGCUUGAUUGCACAAUUUGCUUUCUCCACAUUGCCAGCCUUUAUUUUAUUUUUUAUUUUAUUUUAUUUUAUUUGUGGGGUGUACCCAAAAUGGGUUACAACAGAUGCCCCCUCUUUAUAAUGCUUACGGAGCAGGGGUUUUACGCAGUACGUUUUAUAAAGAUAAACCAAAUUGAACUCCCGAAACUGAUCUGGUCGCAGCUUGAUCGAUCUGAAACUUUGUCUUUAGAACAAUCCUCCUCAGCCCAAAAAACUAUGAUAAAAAUUUAGUCAUCUCGAGCUCCCUAUCCAGGGAUCCUCUGAAUUCUAACUUCAGUUUGAUUAACAUGGAAUUCCAUCCGAGAUCCCUUCUAGCAAUCUCUAAAAAGUUAUAUUUGUAGUUUGGCUAACCUGAAAUCCCAUCUGGCGAUUUCCCUUAGCCAAACUAAAAUCGGUAUUACGGUUGGGUUAACCUGAGAUCCCUUCUGGCGACCUCCUUAAACCAAAAUCUGUAGCUUACUCAACUUGGAAUCCCAUCUGGUGACCUCCUUAAACCAAAAUUUGUAGCUUACUCAACUUGGAAUCCCAUCUGGCGAUUCCCUUUUAACCAAAAUGAAAUAUGAGGUCCCUUCUAGCAACCUCCUUUGACCAAUAUCGAAAUACGAGAUCCCUUCUGGCGAUCUCCUUUAACCAAUCAACUUGGAAUCCCAUCUGGCGAUUCCUUUUUACCAAAGCUGAAAUAUGAGGUCCCUUCUGGCAACCUCCCUUGAUGAAUAUCGAAAUACGAGAUCCCUUAUAGCGAUCUCCUUUAACAAAAAAUCUUGGAAUCCCAUCUGGCGAUUCCUUUUAACCGAAGCUGAAAUAUGAGGUCCCUUCUAGCGACCUCCUUUGACCAAUAUCGAAAUAUGAGAUCCCUUCUGGCGAUCUCAAUCAACUUAGAAUCCCAUCUGACGAUUCCUUUUAACCAAAGCUGAAAUAUGAGGUCCUUUCUGGCGACCUCCAUUGAUGAAUAUCGAAAUACGAGAUCCCUUCUGGCGAUCUCCUUUAACAAACAAUCUUGGAAUCCCAUCUGGCGAUUCCUUUUAACCAAAGCUGAAAUAUGAGGUCCCUUCUGGUGACCUCCUUUGACCAAUAUCGAAAUACGAGAUCCCUUCUGGCGAUCUCAAUCAACUUAGAAUCCCAUCUAGCGAUUCCUUUUAACCAAAGCUGAAAAUAUGAGAUCCCUUCUAGCGAUCUCCUUUAAUCAAAAACCAAAAAAUCUAUUUUGUAAAUCGGUCAACCUGGAAUCCCAUCUAGCGAUUCCCUUUUAUCGAUUGCUAUCGAUGUCGUUCUUCCUAAUGGCAGGGUUUAAAAAUUAUUAUUUUCUCUUCUCGUUGUUCUAGAAUCAAAACUUUGAUUCUUUGCUAUCAUCAACUCAAUGAUUCUUUCUUCGUCCACAAUCUUGUUGGAAUGCACUAAGGACUCCUCCUGUAACGAUCCAAAAAAAAAAUACAUGCAAUGGUUUAUGAUUAGAUGCCAUGCAUGCAUUUGUACCUGGUUUUGAAACAUAGGCCCCAUCAUCUUCUUCUAGUUCAUGAGACUCUCUCUUAACAUGAGCUUGCUUUUAAAGUCGUAUGCUGGAUUCAUCUCUCGUGUUGCCUCUUUUUACCUAUCAUAUCUUGGGGAAGAAGUCUUUGACUUUUUACAGGUAGCUAUUUUUCAAAAUGUAUGGCUUGUUAUUGCUUCUUUGUCAUGCUUUUGUCAAAUGCUUUAGCCUGGUUUUCAAAUCUAUAGGCUUCCGUCCAGUUUCAAACACGUAAAACUUGUCAUAAAAACAUCUCUUAUUGCCCCCAGUGUAGGGGUGUGAUCCUAGUCUAGGUUUUUAUAUAGAGAAGAAAUUCAUUUAGCCAAUGAUAAACUUUUUAGUGAGUGAUGCGAUAACAACAAGAAAUGCACUGUUGGGAUUAAUGCAAAAAUGAUUGUUGUGAGAUCAAUGCAAAAAAAGAAACAAGUCAAUGGGCAAACUUUGCUUUAUUGAUUUAGAAGCCUACAUCAAGCAUAAUAUCUUUUUACAGAGUCAGAAUUCACAGGUCGAGCUAGGUCUUCUCCAUCCAUUCUAGCCAACUUUAGCUCUCCUCCUGAGAAUGCCUUCUUUACUACGCAAGGACCCUCGUAAUUUGGUGCCCAUUUGCUUUGAUCGUCUCCGGGUAACGACAAUAUUUUCUUCAAUACUAGAUCCCCUUCUUGAAACAACCGCGGUCUAACCUUUUUAUCAUAUGCCUUGGACAUUCGUUUCUGAUAAAGUUGGUGAUGACAUAUUGCAGCCAUCCUCUUUUCACUGAUCAGGUUCAGUUGCUCGUGUCUCACUUUGGCCCACUCGGCUUCUUCUAAUUCGGAAUCCAUCAACACUCUUAACGACGGGAUUUCCACUUCCAAAGGCAUCACUGCCUCCAUACCGUACACCAGAGAAUAUGGGGUAGUCCCUGUCGAGGACCUGACUGUAGUGCGGUAUGCAUGAAGAGAAAACGACAACAUCUCAUGCCAAUCUCUAUAUGUGACUACCAUUUUCCGAAUAAUCUUUUUGAUGUUCUUAUUGGCAGCUUCUACUGCACCAUUCAUUUUUGGUCGGUAUGGUGAGGAAUUCGAAUGCUUGAUUUUCCAUUUAGUACACAGCUCCAUUAUCAUUUUGCCAUUGAAAUUCUGUGCAUUAUAUGUCACUAUCCUUUCUAGAGGACCAUAUCGGCAAAUCAAGUCCUUUUCUACAAACUUCUUCACUACCUUUUGUGUUAGGUGGGCAUAUGAAUUAGCUUCCACCCAUUUUCUGAAGUAGUCAAUAGCUACGAGGAUGAAUCUGUGACUGGCCUACAACCGGAGCUGGUCAAGUUCUGCCUUGACCUUGAUCCAGACAUCCGGGUGGGCCCUCCUCAGCUUCUGUGAUAUCUUCAUAGGACCAAGCAAAGACAUCUGAAUAUUCUUGUAAUAGGGUGAUCAUCUUUGUUCAAAAGUAAUUAAGGUACCUAUUUUCAACUCUUUCUUUAGCUGACCACUGCCCACAUUGAUGGUUUCGAGUUCCUUGGCGGCAGGCUUCCAAGUCUGUUCCUGUUAUUCUACUAGCCUGGUGAAUUCACUGAUAUUGCUUUCAUCCCACUCUUUUUCUUCCGUAGCUAUCACAUGCUCGUUCAAGUUUGGCCAAUUAUUCUUGAUGCUAAAUGUAUGUGAUGUUGUAGGAGAUCCGCUUUCAGGAUUCCUGAAAGCGGGAAGUGCUUGGUGUAAAUGCAUAAAAAACAAUUUUGAAAAGUGCAUGAUCUCAUCAUUUAUUUAAAGAAAAAGGUGAGCUCAAAGACAAACACAAAAUCUAGCUGACAUCAUGAUCUUGAUUGUCAACUAGAGAAAAAAAAAGCAAAGAAAGCAAUGACAAAAGCAUGUUUAGGCAAACACGGUUGGUGUACAUUUUAAAAACUACUGGAGCUUCUUGGGUCACCCAGUUCUGAAACUUCUCAUCCUGAGCCAACUUGCUCACAAAGGUCUUGGCAGAGACUUCUUCUAGUGUGUGGACAACCAGUUGUGGCAGUGCUUCAUCUUCCUUCCGCACCUAUGUUUUCUUGUCAACUCCUUUGAUCUCACCUUCUUCCAUCAUUGACAAUUCUUGACCAAGGUUUUCCAAUCCUUUAUCCACUAUUACUUGCGGCAUGACUCGGCAAUGGAUUUGAAUUGAUAUUGGGAGUGUCUUCAAAUGACACCCAUCCUAUCUUGAUGAGCUCCAACAACCUUUUCUUGAAAGCGUAGCACGUUUCAAGACCAUGGCCGGGGAUACCAGUAUGGUACUCGCAAGUCAACUCGGGCUUGUACCAGAUGGGGAAUGGUGGUUGUAGUGGUAAUGUGGGGAUAUGAGCUAUUUGUCCAAUGCUCAGUAGUUUGGCAUACAUGUCCUUCAAAGGCAUUGGUAAGGGCGGUAGUUGAAUAGAAAUGUAUCUUGUGUUUGGUCUUUGGUCUUUGUUUUGGUUGUUUGACUGGUUAUUUACUCGAUUAGGGGAAAAAGGUUGGUCAAAGUUUAUGUGUGAGAAUUGAGAGGUAGGUACUUGUGGAUUAUGAGAAUCUACUCUCUUGCCCUUAUACCCACCUUCCAAGUUGUUAAUAUCGCCUUCUCUUUUUCUUCCAAUAAAACCCUUCUUUUCCAACGGCAUCACUAUACGCCCAGCUUUAAUCCCUUGCUCUAUCCUUUCAGCUAUGCGUACCGCAUCAUAGAAAUGUUGAGAGCAGCUACCCAUUAAGUGCUCAUAAUAAGGUGCCUUGAAGGUAUUGGCAAUCAAGCUCACCAUCUCUGUUUCUAUCAAAGGGGGUUGGACAUGCAUUGCCUCAUCCCUCCACCUUUGUGCAUAAGCCCUUACUGACUCUUGGCUCCUUUUCUCCAUUGACAUUAGACUUGUUCGAUCAGGAGCGAUUUCCAUGUUAAACUUGUACUGCUUAAGGAAAGCCUCUACCAAGUCUCUCCAGCUCCUGAUCCUGACACUAUCUAACCUCAUGUACUAGCUCAAAGCGGACCCUACGAGGCUAUCCUGAAAGAAAUAGAUUAGCUGUUUAUCAUCGUGAAUUACUUCUGCCAUUUUAUUGCAGUAGGAUCGAAGGUGAGUGUUUAGGCAUUCCAAACCAGUGUACUUAAUGAACUCUGGUAUCCUAAAAUCUUUUGGCACCACGAUGUUUGGUACCAAACACACCUUAGCUGCUCGCAUGGGGUCAAACCAGUCAUUACCCUCAACUGCCCUUAAUCUUUCUUCCAAGGCAAACAACUUGUCCUGGUCCAUCAAAUUAGGAGACCUAUUAUCCGGGAUUCCCUCCAUUGUUAAGUCAACAGUGAUUGGAGCCUGAGUUGGUUGGAUAGGGGUAGUAGACACAAAAUGUUGUUCAUUGGCCGAGUUUGCCCCCUAGUUUUGAGAUGCUUGAGGGAUGUGAGCUGCUGGCGCUCCUUCAGGUGGUUGUGCUGACGUUCCCUCCCCGUUCUUAGCUCUCAAAAGUUGCUCGAGUAGGUCGAUCAUCCUAGCAACUUCAUUUUUUACGGAUUCUAACCCGGUCUGAUAGUGUGACUCUAAGUGAGCUCUUUCUUCGUUCUCCAUCCUUGAUCUGGACCGGGUUUGGCGGAUUCUGGACGUAGGACCUAUGUUUCACAAUCUGCAGAUGCGUGCAUAGAUGUAUGAGAAAAAUGCAUGAUUGUGAUAAGAAUGCUUUGUUCAUUGGGUAUGGAUGCAGCCUUCUUGUGAACGAAUAAUAGCCAUCACAUUAUAAGCAUAGUUUCUCUUGUCACAUUGCUUUGAUAAGAGUUCUGCCUUUCGAGUCGUUUGCUUGAAUCAUAUUCACCAAAAGACAGAUUUUGCAUAAGAAGAUGGGUCAACGCCCUUUUCAUUAAUGCUUGAUAAAUUUAUUACAUUUAGAAAUAAAAAGAAAUACAACAUGUUAAUCCCUUUCCUCCAUAAACUCUUUAGCCAAAUGUAAGAAGGCAAAGCCGUGGUUCUCAAUCUUCCCUAGAAAGGCAUCGAUUUCAGCUAGGCUUCGGCGAUAGCGAAUGAUGUCUCCUCCCAUAUUCCGCACAUUGAUUCUAAUAAUUCGAGCAUGUGCAGCAGCUUCGUCCAUUUGCUCAUCUGUCUUGGUCAUUUUUUUCUGUGAGCAACAUGUUGGUUCUGUUCAAAGCAAUGUUGUUGACGUCGAUUUGAUCCUUGUGUUUUUCCAUUGUUACUAGCUUCUCGUCUAAAUACUUUACUUUUUCACGUUCUUUGUCAAGUUUUAUCCUCAUAACUUUUAUCUCAUUCUUCUUAACCGCUAACUCUGCUUCAACAUCCUCGAAACCUCUCCUUUUACUUUCUUCUUUUACAAUCCCUGUAGAACGGAUUUCCCACUCCAUAUAUUUCUUAUUCAAAUCCUCAUACUUCCCAAUCCUAUCCAUCAGUUCGAACUGCACUUGCACAAAUUUUUCUUGGUAGUAUUCUGCACUUUCUUGGCAAUCGUUAAAGUGCAUCUCCAUUGCUUCAAGUUUAGAGCAACUUUGCAUCCAAUCCAAACUCAUUCCAACUAGCUCCUUCUCACUUUCUUUCCUAGCACUCUUCUCCUCACCUAGCUUUACCUCAAGCUUUGUUAUUUUCGCAUCUCUAGACUGUAUUUGCUCAUCUAGAAAUGCUCUCCUUUUAUCCUCUUCUAGCAUCAUUUCUUCCAACAUUGCCUUGUCUUUUCUGCUUUUGCCCAACUCUAUUCGAAGUUUUUCCACUUGCCUUCUCAACUCAUCUUCAUUGUUAACCCUUUUUCUCUUAAUAGGCUCUUCUGUAGCUUUAGGAGAUUUGGCUUCUACACAAGGCAUGGCUGAAGCAGCUAAGUCUCUCCAUUUUUCAUAUCCUUCGCUUGCACUUGGAUCUUUUAAACCUUAUAUCUCAACCAAAACCAGAUGCUUCCAAUCUUGUUUGAUGAUCUCCAAAACCUUUUCUGCAAUGGGAUCUUUGAACAAACCAAAGAAUUGAGCAAUUCCUAUAGUCCUGGGAACAAACUGCAUGCCCCCAAGUUGCCUUACCACUAAGGCAGGAGCAUAACUCGCAUAACCUGUAAUCCCUACUAAUGGUACCCAACGUCUUUGUCCACAACUCAUUAGGACCUUCACUGUCGUUACCCAUAGGGCUCUCCACUUAAAAUCACUAUUAGGCAAACCUUUUAAUUUGUCAACCUAACCUUGGUUGUCUAGAUCUCCCCAUUCUUCUUCUUCUACUAACUUUAGGGGUCUUUGGGUGAACCACCAAAAAUGAUUGAAGAUAGGCUUUUUUGUUUCGAUAUGGCUAACCAUCCAAAUAUACAACAAUUGUGUGCAACAACUCAUUGCUCCUUUUCCGGUCCUCCUACAAUGGUUAAGUGUCAAGAUCGUUUCAGCUAAAAUAGUAGCCACUGGAUUGAUUUGUGUAUUCUCAUACUCUACAUAAGCAGCAGCGGCCUCCAAACUCACUAAACCAGUCUGGCUUGGGAACAACACAAGGCCAAAUAUACCCAAAGCAAUCAAUCUCUUUUUCUAAUCCUGACUUCUUUUCCAAUUCAAAUUCUAGCAUCCUCCAUUUCAAACCGGUACCAUUCUUUUCUAAAAACUAUUCCAAGUUGGAGAUUAUGAGCAAUUUUGACAGUUCAGGGAUGAUCUUGCCAGAUCUCAAAGGCAAAUAAAUCCGAUACAGGUCGUUUGGAAACUCGGUCAACAAUCCAUAUUCCUCAACCGUGGGACACAGGUCUAUGCUUCCAAAGGAAAAACAUCGGUAGUCUAGAUCCCAAAACUGAACUAAAGCUCGCACAGUUGGGCUUAAAACUUCUACCCUUGCUAUUUCCACCAAACGUCUGUAUUUCCUAAAAAAUGCAUUUUAUCUACAUUCUGAAAAUGAGUCGUUAAUUUGUUCACCUCAUUCAUAAUGCAAUUCAGGUUCUUGAUUGGUGGCAUCUUCUUAGCAUCGCUUCUAAGGCAGUCUCCUUUAGUCAAUUGUGACAGUUCAGAAUUUUUCCCAUACUCUACGAUGGAGGAUUUAGUGAUGAUGGCCAUUUCGUUCACAAGUCCUGCAAUUCAAAAUGCGUUGGGGUUAGACUUGUUUUGAUGCAAAAGAUAUUAUGGAACAUACACCCUAAGGAUAGGUUCUAGUUCCUUUACGUGAGACAUAGGGUAGGUUUACUACUGGGUCUCUAAAAAGAGGGUCUCUUGCUGUUCCAGUGAUCACCCUCGUAAAGGAAAUAUGGGGGUCCAGUAGAUAGUGGAAUGACACGUGUACCAAUCACAAUCAGUCUAAACACUCAGCAAAGAGUUGGGGUUUACACAAACUUAAACCUUGACUCAAGUCAUAAGGCAAGCUGCUAGUUCCCCACUUAACUUAAAGUUACAUGUGUGUGCCCUCAAAAACAUAAUAAUAAUAAAGUGAUGCAUGACUAUACCAUGUAUGAUAGAAUGUAAGGAUGCAUACUAAAGCUUUUAAACAAAGUAUCAUUCAUAUAAGAAAACAAAAACCAAUAACACAUAGCAUGAACAAACAAAUUAUCAAGCUUAGUCCUAAUUCCCCAGUGGAGUAGCCAUUCUGUCGAACGUCAAAAUCUGUGCGUCGUCCGAUGUCGAUUUUUCGUUUUGUUUUGUUGAUUUGGUUCUUUGGAUUCGCCACCUAGUAUUUUGGUCACUAGGAACCCUAACUGGACUUUUAGAGAUUCUAAGGUAAGGGACUGGUUGCGUAAAGGGAAGGUAUUAGCACCCCUAGUACGCCCUACCUAAGGUAAGCUGCUUGGUAUUUGGUUUGCUCUAUAAUUGAUAUGGUGUUGGUGUUUUCUAAUCCCAUCAAUUUUCCUAGGUUUGAUUCAAAUAAAAUUUAUUUGGAUAGAAAUCCAAGGAGAUUCCAUGUGCUUUGAAAGCUCAUUUUUCCCUUAGUAUUUCAAGAGUUUGCGACUCGUAAAUCGCAAGGAGGAGGGGCAAAAAAGUUUAGAAAUCUAGGGCACUAAAAAAAACCCUAUUUUUUAGUAUUUUAUACUCUCACAGCUCGUAAACCGUGGAAAUUUUUUUUGAAAUGUCCUCGAUUACAAUCAAGGCUUCUUUCAAGGAUGUGUGCGGAUUUAUUACUCCCAAUAAUAUUUUGGAUAUUCGUCCUUUAAGGAUUUCUUUAUCCAAACAUUAGCGGUGAAUAAUGGAUGAAUUCCCCCUACCCAAAAUAAGAUUUUUGUAUUUUUUGGAAUAUUGGCCGAUACCCUUUUGGAGUUUUACAAACAUGUUGUAAAAUCCAUAAAUGCAAGAAAAAACAAUUUUUGUUGUGUUUAAGAAAUCCAUGCAAAAACACAUUUUUCAAAACAUUCAUUAUUUUUUAUAUAUAUAUAAAAAACAUUCGAAACAUGUUAGGGUAUUGGCCGUAUGCAUGAAAACAAAACAUUUUUUUUUGUUGACAAAAACCAGGUAUUUUAAUACCGGAUUUGUAUCUUUACAGUAUAAAAAUACAAACCAAUAUUGAUCAAAAUACAAUAAUAAAAUUACAGAAAAAUCACAAAUUCUUUGAAAUAAUUUUUGAAGAAUUUUGUUUUUUUUUUUUUUUUUUGGGCUGGACCGAGCUGGCCCCACACGUGAAUAGUGAAAUAGCAUUUCACUGUUCAAGUGAAUUAUAUUUCACUUGAACAGUGAAAUGCAAGGAAAUGCACAGCGACGAAGGGGGGCAAACCUGGUGGCGGUGGAGAGGAAGUGCUCUGUUCCUGGUAGUUUGUGGAGGCCGGCGUUGGCUACGGGAGGAAGAUGAAAAAGUUGCAGAGGAGAGAGGAACGUUGGAAAUAAAGGAAGAAAUCUGCAGAAAUUAGGCAAAAAUGCUGGUUUUUGGCUGACUUUGGACCCGAUUUUCUCCCUCCUCAGACCAUCAAAUCCGACUCUAUUUAUAGGCAGUGGAAGAGAGCAAUCUUGUCUACGUUGGAGAAAAAUUGCAGCCCUUGAUUCAGUUGGGAAGCAUCUCGACCGUUGGCUCAAAGUGUGCACCUCGAGCUGCCAAAUUUGGCAGCUCCAGGCUGUGAACUGCCCGAGGUGGCCACUUUGAGCCACUCAACGGAGCCGUUUCGGCAUUUAUAGGCUCGAGCGGACAAUUCUCGGUGAUAGAGGGGUUUCAGGUGGACAUUUUGGUGCAUGAGUUGUCAAUUUUAGGGAACAAACGAGGCAUUAAGCGCGCCUGCAAAAGGGCUACCCGGACAGCUUCACGGGAAAUAUGAUGCACAAUAACCACGCGAUUGUUUCAAUUUAGUCCGCGUUCUUUCAAAUUAGUUCAAUGGAACCCCUAAUUGACCCUAAACCUUUGAUUUAAUGCAAUUUUGGCCCCUAAUUUCAAUCAAUUAACUUGGUAAAAAUUAAAUUUGGUCUCUUCAAAUUCCAAUCUUCUUAAUUAAGCCUAAAUUAGGCUCCCAAACUUAAUUUUUCACCAAUUAAGCCCCAAAUAAAAUUAAUUUGACCCACUUAAAGUAUAAUUAACUCGCACUUAAUUAAAUCCUUAAAUUGGAUCCAAAUUAAUUCUUAAACAUAAUUAAAAUUUAAUUUGGCCCAUGAUUAAAUCAAAUUGGCCUAUUAAAAAUUUAAUUACGUCAUUGGACUUAAUUUUUAUGCAAAUUCAUCCAAUAAUCAUUUAAUAUGACCUUGAAUUUGCAUUUUUCUUGAUUUUUGGGCAUGAUGGGGUACAAUUAGGCAUUGAAUUUCCUCCAAAAUUGCAGCUUGAUUGCCCGAUUUGCUUUCUCCACAUUGCCAACCUUUAUUUUAUUUUUUAUUUUAUUUUAUUUGUGGGGUGUACCUAAAAAUGGGUUACAACAAUAAGAACAAAAGAAAGGAGGAGGUACGGAAAAAUAGAAAGUAUGAGGGAAGGAAAAAAAAGAAAUAGAAAAAGAAAAGAGAAUAGAGUUUGUUAGGCCAAAAUCAGCCUAACCCCUAUUUUGGGUUGAUAUUGGACCAAGUUUGUUGGGCCAACCUCGGCCUAGUUUGUUUGGGCCAAAUCUCGGCCCAACUAGGGUGCGUUCAGCCCACAUCAUUCGGUUGGGCCCAACCCAAUAUAUUUUUAUAAAAUAAUAUUAAUAUUAUGUAUUAUUCAAAAAAACAAAAAGUUCUAAGAAUUUUCAAAAAACUUUUCAAAACAUUUGUGAUUUUCUCGUGUAUUUUUCUAUCAAUUUUGAUUAAUAUUGGUUUAUAUUUUUAUAUUGUAAAAAUACAAAUCUGGUAUUAAAAUACAUAGUUUUCUCUGAAAUGUUGUAUAUAUAUUUGGGAAACAAAAAAAAUGUUUUUUUUCAUGCAUACGACCAAGUCUCUCAAAAUAUAAAAAAAUAUUUCAUAUCGUAUAAUCAUGCAAAAUAAAAUUAAAACAAAAAAAGCAUUAGGAUGCAUUUUGAGCUUUAAUAACUAGUUUAUUAAAGCCACGAGAAUUAGGUCUAUAUUUCAAAAAUACCAUAAAAAUAUUUUGUUUUCUUUUAGUAUCUGAGAUUACAAAUUUUUAUAUAUAGACAUUAGAAUGGUUAGGUUCUUACCUGAUAAGAUUAGAAUCUUCUUACUGAGGAGAUCUUUUCUUAAACCAUAGACAAACCAACAAUUAGAAAACACAACAAUGCUCUAGUUAUAUUAGACAAUCAAACAAUGUAUCUUACCUUAGGUAAGGAGUAUUAGGGGUGUUAUUACCUUCCAUUUAUGCAACCAGUCUUCGUGUCCAAUCUCUGAGACCAGUUAGGGUUUCUAUUGAUCAAAAUACUAGAUGACGACUCUCAUUUUUUUCCCCACUAAUAAAGGACAAGAAUUCCUUAUUCUAUCCAUUUCCCCACACCACAUGCCAAUAUGGAAUUUCAUGAGGACAUUUUCCACGAUGUUGCAUCAUGUACGACAAUUGAGAAAGGGGAUGGUUGGAUUUUGGUCUCGACUUGAGUUGUUUUGGUUGUGAUAUUGGUGAUCGAUGUUGCUGCUAUCAUUAUUAGUGUAUGUCAUUGCCAACUGCUAUUAGUGGUCAGAGGGAGUAGUUGUUGUUGUUCUAGGAUUCAAGAAACAAUACACCUAAAAGGAAGGUGAAUUAAUAUUUCACUAAUAAUAACAAAUAUUGAAAUUGAUUCAAUUAAACAUAAUUAACUAACAAUAUAAUUAAAUUGCAUAAAGUAAAGUGUAAAGGGAUAGGAAUUAUAAAUUCAGUUUUUAACAUGGUUUGGCAAGUCUAUAUCCACACCUCAAGCACCCAAAUUGAUCUUGUGUAUUUUGUUCUUUCACUAGUCCAAGUUGAAGAUUGCAAUUGUCACUUGUUGAAUCCACACCAAGAUUUUACACCACUUGAAGAUAUUCUUUUUUGACGGUUUGAACAUAUUGAAUCUUGAACCGAUACUAAUCCUAUAUAUAUACAGUGUAAAAUGUUUGAGUUCAUUUUAAUCAUGCCAUUAAGCUAAAAUAAAAAUAUUUACAGAAUUACUAAAAUGAACAAUUAAUUCCAAGAUUCUCAUUUGAUCUUCAUUCGCAUUGGUGGCUAGGUUUUAGAGAAGAAGAGACUAUUUUUUGUUUUGUACACUUUCACUCCAAUUUUUUUCUUUCUACAUCUUAAGUUUUUCUUCAGGGUUGCUAGGGUUUCUUACUCACCUUUUGUUUUCCCUCUAAUUUUUCUAUAGAGGCUAGAGUUUUUUUUCACACCUCCUUUUUCUUACCUUGCAUUUCUAUUUAUAGGCAAUGGGGUAGGUUCUAGAAUCUUUAUAGGUAGAACAAUCAUAUCCUUUGAAUUUUUAGAGUAAAUUUUGACCCUUCAUCAUUUUGUAUAUAUAUUUGGCACAACAUGCUCGUGUUCUGUAAAGCUCACACCAAAUCUAAAUCCUAAAGAGUGGGGAUGAGAGAGAGAAAAAAGAAGAAGAAGAAGAAGAAAAUGGAGCUGAAAAACUUCACUGCCUUUUUUCAAAAUCAGACGACCCGUUUCCUUUCAAAGGGUAGCCAAAAAGCUCCCAUACACACUCUUUAGCGAGCUUCUUCUUUACCAAAAAACAAAAAACUACAAAAAUUAGAUCAUCAUUUUCAAACCACCUUCUAGCUAUAACUGGAAACAAAAAAAACAAUACAGCCUCUCUCAUCAGGGCUGUCUCUUUUCGCCACCCUCGAGUUACUAUCUUGCCCCACGUUGACUCCAGGAACCAUAGCCGCUGCUUCCACAGUACCAUUAACAUGAGGUGUUCAUUACCAGAAUAAUAACCCAAGGCAGGCCAGGAGCCCACUCACAAUCGUCCAUGUGCAUCUUCAGCGUACUCGUUCUACACUCUUGCCUCAGACCUCUCUGGACUUAGCUUUAUUCAAGCACUAGCCACUCAAAAAAAGAGUGAAGAAGAGGUACGGGAUAUCCAGUGGCGCUGUCUCCAUCAUAAUCACUCAAGGUAUAAAGCUUCUACCUAUUCUCAUUUAGUUGUAAUCUUUUACAUGUGCAUGCUACUGCAAAGGCAAGCUCCCGUUUUUCCUUUAUGUGCUAUGAAGUUAACAUAUAGUGUUGUAAGGGUGUGUGGAUCUUUUAAGCUUCUACCUAUGUGUGAUUUUUGACAUGAGAUGAUGGCUACCUUGCUUCGGAUCCCUUGUUAACGAUGAUGCGUGAACCAGGCAUGGAAAUCUUCAAUGACUAUCGUGCAUGAUUUUUAUGUUCAAAAGAUCCAGUACUCUAGUAUUGGCCAAGCCGUAAAUAAAAUGAUUUUUGGUUGAAGAAGAAUCGGUAUGUGCAAGGGUUUCUGGAUCAUUUCUUUUUACUGUCCCAUGGCUUUUCGUUAAUGCUAGUACAACUAUAUUUCUCUUUUCUGAAGUUAAGUAGGUUGAUAUCUAGGAAUAGGUUUAUCACGGUUUUAAGAAUAUCAAAGAAAAGAAAAACCUUUUAUGGGUCUUUAAGGCACAAACACGCUAUUAAGACAACUUUUAAGGGUGUUUUUUUUUUUUUUUCACUAAGGACAUGUGUGGUAAAUAUGCCCAAACCUAUUUUUAUUUAAUUCACGAUAUUCACCACCCCAAUUAGUUUUAACAUAUUUAAUUUUAAGUGAAAACUAAUGCUCAACAAGUGUUUGAAAACGUUGAAAAGUAGAAAAUACAUCAGAUUUCGCAACAAGCGGAUAAUACCAUAUAUGUUUGGUAUGCGCACCGACAAAAAUAACAAAAUAGCAGAAGUCAUCAGAAGAAAACAUAGGAGCAGAACCCCAAACAUCACUAAAAAUUAAAUGAAGUAGGGUAGAAGUUUUGUGACUAGUAGGUCGCAACGACAAACGGGACGACUUGCCUAAAGGACAAGCUUGAUACUGAGUAAGAGAACGUCUAGAAGUACAUAUGAUUUUAUUUUCGGAAACUAACAAAUUUAAAAUGCAUGGGGUUGGAUGACCAAAACGAUGAUGCCACAGGUCGGCAUUCGCAGAGAUGCAAGGAGACCAAAAAGCUUGACAAACUGACAUGACAGAAGACUCGGAUAGGACAUAAAGGCCAUCAUUACUCUGACUGGAAAUGAGAACUUCUUUGGUGAUGAGAUCCUUGACAUAAAAUAUAGAAGCGCGAAAUUCGAAAUAAACAUGAUUAUCACGACAAAAUUUUUGAAUAGAUAACAACGGUUUGGUAAUGUGAGGCACAUGAGAACAUUAGAUAAUGUAUAAAUGCGUUUUGGGGAAUGUAAUGUAGUAUGUCUAAUAUGGGAUAUGUCAAGGCCCUUAUCGUCACCAACAUGCAAAUAAUUAUUACCAAGAUAGGGUACAAAAUCGAUCAGAGUUCCAAGAUCAGGUGUGACAUGUUGAUUUGCGCUGGUGUCGGGGAACCAAGUUGCAGCAGAAACAUUCCCAACAGCAAGGUGAGCAGAGGGCUGCUGGGUUCUGCUGCGAAACUAGGGACAAUGAGGAGCUGUGUGACCAAAAUUGUAGCACAAUUGGCAGUGAACAUGCUACUGUCUAGACCAUUGCCCGGCCCCGGAGUUGCGCCUAGCCUCCUGCCAGUUGUUUGGACCUCAGUCUACAACAGAUUGGCCCUUGUUCUGAUGAGUGUAGCAGUUGUUGUUGGGACACCAAUUACCUCGAGAGCGACCUAUGUUGCGGCUGAAGUUGGGGUUGUGAUGAGACAUCAUUACAUGAUUUCACAGUUUUACCAACAUAAAUAUUUCAUCGGUUUGUGAUUCAGAGUUCGUCGGUAAUGUUUUUACCGACGACAUCACCGACGGAAACCCUCUGUCGGCUUUCCUUUCAUUGGUAACACCUAAUUCCUUCGCAACAUUGGUCAGUAAAAAAAAAACAAUUGCUAAUGGUUUUAUAGACGGAAAUUGCGCGCGCCAAAAAAUAAACAUCCCGCUUGAAAUAUACUGACAGAUUGAUUUCGUCGGUGAUAGUGGCAUAUCCAGUAAUAUUUUUUAGCUCCCCGUUAAAUUAACUAUUAAAAUUAAAUAAUACUCAUUACAAAUUAACAUAAUGGUGGAGGAGGAGGAGGAGGAGGCUAGUUGUUAUACGACCAAAAAGGAGGAGGCGCACAUGUAUUACCACUCUAUGAUGCCAUGUUCAUGACCAUUUGGCGAAGCUGUUCAUAAUUCGCCGAGAGUUGUUCAUAGUUCGUCGAUAGGUGAUCGAAUUUUUCAGUGAGCUGAGCCAUGUGUUGCUGCAAGGUCACGAACUCUUUAGAUUGGGUGCUCGAUACUGAUUGAGAGCUCCCAAUGGUUGAGACACUACAAGCCACCCACAAGUUCUAGGGCAUAGUGUUGGAGAGCACGUACACCCAAUUUAAUCGAGUCCACAGGAUGAUCGAACCUCCAUCCAUAAAUCUAGAUUGAAAUCAGGAUGGGUCGAAGGAUCGUCCCCAUAUCUCUCCCUUAACCGACUAUUAUAGGUCUCCGGAAAAUGAAAAAAGAAAGCAUCAUAGUCAAUUAAAAACUAAUAAUAACAACUUACGAAAUAAAUGACUGAACAAACAUACCACAAAGUGUUGAGCAUGAUUGUCAACGAACUAUUGUGCUUCCUUUUGGUGGUUUUGACUCCGCACGUGCGUAUCAACAAACAACUCCAUUGGGCUUGGUUCAUGUCCAAGAGACGUAGCCUGUAAUGAAAAAAAUUAAUUAACAACAAAUUAAUUUAACAAUAUAUUUCAUUUAAAUUAAUCUUCCCAUACCUAGAUUAAUGCAUUGAAUCUUUCCUAAGAAGAGCUGUGUAUAGACUACAUAUACAUUGCCUCUGCUGACCUAAAGAAAGGGGGGGAGAGGACAGAAAGGAGAGGAACGAAAGGAAAAAAGAGAGUAGAACUACAUUGUCGAAAGCAAAACAAAAUACAGAGGCAGGGGCAUGAACUCAACCAGCAUAACACGCUUUCAUCACCAUCUCCCUCAUCAUCUCCAUGGAGAGGCAGGCAAGAGGACAUAAGAGGAAAAGAGGGCAACAAUAGAAAAGAAAACAGAGGCAGAAAAAAAAGGAAAGGAAGAGCAAGGGAAAAGAAACGCAAACAAGAGGAAAGAAAGAACAAGAGAGAGACAGAAUACUAGAAAAAAAAACAAAGAGAAAAAGAGAAAAGAAAAAAAAACACAGAGAACAAGGGUUCAUCUUUUCGACUGUGAAAGUCUUCACAGGAACGAAGAGGAGAGAAAAAAGCAAGAGGCAGGCAAAACAAGGAGAAAGAGAGAGGGCAGGGAAAUGAAAAAAGAAGAGAUAGCGAGGGGAGUGAACGACGCAGAUAACAGGGGAGAACAGAGGGAGUUUCUUUCCUUUAUCCUUUCAUUACUGUGAGAAAGGAAAACAGAACGGAGUAGAGGGAGAGAAGAGAAAUAGAAGAAAAACAAACUGGAAAGAACCAGGUAAGUUGUCGCUCUUUUCUUACCAGCUUUGCAUGCAUUCUUGGUUGCAUUGUUACUAUUCAAGUGAAAUUUAAUUCACUUGAACAGUAACCAGCCAAGGCAUGUGUGAGGAAACACACGCAUGCCUUUGUGCCCAACCGGGUCACUGGUUUAGGCCAGUGACCAUGUUAGGCCUGCUGGGUUCAGCCCAACCACAUGGGCCAAACUGGACCCAGCCCUUAAAAAACGAGUAAUAUUGUUUUUUUUUUUUGUAUUUACUUUGUGGUUUUUUUGUAUUUUUAUAUUGUCAAAACAUAAAUCUUGUAUUUAAAAUACCCGGUUUUUGACGCAAUGUGACAUAUAUAUAUAUAUAUAUAUAUAUAUAUAUAUAUAUAUAUAUAUAUAUAUAUAUAUAUAUAUAUGUUUUCAUGCAUACGGUCAAUACUCUAACAUGUUUUGAAUGUUUUUUUAUAUAAAAAAAAUAUAUUGGAAGUUUUGAAAAUGUGUUUUCGCAUGGAUUUCUUAAACACUAUAAAAAUUAUUUUCUUGCAUUUCUGGAUUUUUACAACAUGUUUGUAAAACUCCAAAGGGUAUUGGCCAAUAUUCCAAAAAUAUAAAAGCUUUAUUUUGGGGGGAAUUCAUCUAUCAUUCACCGUUAAUGUUUAGAUAACGAAAUCCCUAAGGGAUGAAUAUCCAAAAUAGUAUUGGAAAUAAUUUGUUAUUAUUCGCUCUUAAUGUUUGGAUAAAGAAACCCAAGUGGUUAAUAUGCAAAAUAUUUUUCUAGGAAUAAUAAAACACCAUACAUCUUUGAAAGAAGUCUCGAUUAUAAUUGAGGACAUUUCAAUUUUUUGACUCCACGGUUUACGAGCCAUGAAAGUAUGAAACACUAAGGCAAAAAAAAAAGGCUUUUAAAGCACUCUGAAUUUCCUUAGAUUUCUAAAUCUUUGUUCCUUUUCCUUGCGAUUUAGGAGUCGCGAACACUUGAAAUACCAAGAGGAAAAUGAGCUUUUAAAGCACAUUGAAUCUCCUUGGAUUUCUAUCUUAAUAAAUUUAGUCUGAAUCAAACACAGAUUUCAAGAGAUCUGCAUUGGUUCCCCUCGGCACUUUGUAGACAUAUCUAAAGGUAUGAUCUAUAUUGGCCAAGGAUUCUUGCUUUUAGACUUUGAACCUAAAAUCAUUCAUCAUAGCAAACCUAUCUUAGGAAAACUAAUUAAGAGAACACCAACACCAUAGCAAUUAUAAGGCAAACCAAACACCAAGCAGCUUACCUUAGGUAGGGCGUACUAGGAGUGCUAAUACCUUUCCUUUACGCAACCAGUCCCUUGCUUUAGAAUCUCUGAAAGACUAGUUAGGGUUCCUAGAGACCAAAAUACUAGGUGGCGACUCCUAUUCACAAAACAAAACAAAAGACCCGAAAUCAAUCGAGGAUCGCCGCUCCGCCGCGAGGGUGCGACAAUGUUGAUGAUAGAAAAUCUAUGGGUGGUUAUCUUGUGUUCUUUGGUCAGACAUCAAUUUUAUGGAAAUCAGGUAAGCAACGUACAUGUGCUCACACUUCUCCUGAAGCCGAGUACAAAGCCUUAGCCGAUGGCACUGCUGAGGUUAUCUAACUUUAGUAUUUAUUAAUAGAUCUCUAGAUUUCAUCCGCUUCUGCUCCUUUCAUCUGGUGUGACAACCUUGGUGCCACUUAUUUGUUUGCGAAUCUUGUUCUUCAUGCUCGUACAAAACAUGUUAAGGUUGAUUAUCAUUUUGUCCGAGAUAGAGUUGCAAAGAAGGAGAUUCAGAUUCGUUUUAUUUCUUCUCGGGAUUAACUUGCAGAUGUCUUCACUAAACCACUUCCUACUGCUUCAUUUACUGCUUUUUGGUUCAAGCUUCGGGUUGAUCCUCCACCCUCAGCUUGAGGGGGCAUAUUAUAGAAUGUACCUAUAUAGGAAAUAUUGUAUAUAGAAAAUAUUAUAGUCAUACUCUUGUGUGGUAACCUCCACCAUUACUAUUGUAUAUUGCCAUACACAUGUAUAUAGAGAAGGUUGGCUAACCAAUAGGUUAAACCUCCUAAUUAUUCUAACUUUCACUACAUCUACUUAGUACAUAUAAGUUGAAGGAUUGGUACCUUGACCAAUGAACUGGAAAUAUCGUUAAUUGAUAAUGAAUGGCAUACAGUCUUACCAUAUAAGUUGAAGGAUUGAUAAUCGAUCCUUUUGGGAUAUGUCAAUCCCAAAUCUAUUAUUCCAUUUAUUUAUUAAUUAUCAUAAAAACAUUUAUUAAAUGUGCUGUCCUCCAACUCUUUCCAUGAAAAGAAAAGGUUGUGAACCACCACAUUUGAUCAUGGACAAAAGGUAAUCAAAUAGUUGCCUCCACUAGGACAAGUAAACGUGCUCGAUUUAUCAUCAUAAGCAUAACUGUAAGCUUGAGGACACUGCUGCUUGAAAGUCAUCGAAUAUUGGCUAGGAGGACAUUUGUCAGGUGUAUUAUAGUCUCCUGUGCAGCAGUACUGCGGCUGGUUAAAUGCCAAACACGCGCUCUUGCAGGCAAUCACAGUCCCAUCUGAACCCUUCACUUGUAAACUAGGAUCACAAACAGCAUUCACGUUAGCUGCACAGCUUGUAGAAGGGCAGCCAGUAGAACCUCCUUGCGGGGUUAUCGAAAUCGGGAUGUUAAAGCCAUCAACAAGGCUUAUAUCGUAAAAAUCUUGCCCACCACUACCGCUUAGAGUAAAUUCUGCCAAGGAUGCUGGUGGGAUCGCACCGGCUCCAUUGCAUUCUAUGACACCGGAGGCACAGUCAGCAGUAGCACAAACAAACUUUCCCGAGGCAUCUGUAGAGCAUUGCGUUCUGGCCCAAAAGCGGCCAGACCAAUUGACAGGGACACUCAGCGAAGAUGAAGCACCCGUUGCCAAUGUGAAGCCAGUUGAAGAUAAAGACGGACCGCGAUCAGCCGUUAGAGUUCCUGGCCAGACUGUGUAUGGACACUUGUUUGUGAAGUCGAAAGUCACAGAUUGAGCUCCUGCAUGCGUGCAAGCUGCGCAAGAUUUAUUUUUGUUGAUAUCAAUAGUUAAAUCUUGGUCGAUUCAAAGAUAACAUAAUUCAAUAUUUAAGAUCUUGUAUUAAUUCACUUAUUUUUCUUUUACAAAUAUAACAUAACCCAGGAUUUUUGUUUAAUAUAUUUUUUUUCUUUUUAGUUUUUUAUCUGGAAACUCCCUCCUGGAUAAGUUUAUUGGAUUCACGAAAUCCAUUGAAUAAUGAAAACUAAUUAAUAUUGCAUAUGCAAACAGAAAAUAUAUAUGUAGAAUAAUCAAAGUGAAUAAUAUGCAUAAUAGAGUUUUCCAUGCAAGAAUCUAAUAUUUGUAAUAUUGUAAAACUACUUGCCACAGAGGAAGAUGACGAGAAGGUAAUUAUAGCAAUGGGCACACGACUCUCCAUUGCCGAGAUGCGUCGAAUUAACACUUUUCAGUAUCUUUUAAGAGAUUUGAGCUAAGCAAGAAACACUCUAUAUUUUAAAAAGAUUGUGUUUGCCACUUAAUAAAUAGUGUUAAAUUUGCAGACUAGUAAACAGCCAAACAGAGGAACCGUCUUCCACACGCACCGUCUCAUCCACGAUGACAUUUGAAAAUGAAUGCCAAAUUAUAAAAUUAUAAUUUAUUUAUAUUUAUAAAAAAAUUUUAUAAAAUUGGGUCUAACACCUGAAGUGUGUGGAUACCGUCCAUGCACUGACCUGCACUCAUCAACUAUUUUUUAAUAUUAUUGUUACUUAUAAAAUUAUAAAAUUAGAAAUAAACCACCCUGGUAAAAAAAAAAAAAAACCCCAAAGAAAUAUACAAAUGCCCUUGGUUUGAACCACAAGUGACUAACUAGAUAUCUCAAGAGGAACGCCCAGCUUCUCACGUCUAAUUGAAUAUUGAAUGUAAUACCGUUUCCUUGUUUGAACCACAAGUGACUAACUAGAUAUCUCAAUUGAUGAGAAAGCAGACUAGAAAACAGAGGCAGUUCUCCUCCAUCAUGUGCGACUGAGGAGCCGUGAUGAGUGCGAGACUCUUCAAAAUUGAUGAGAAAGCAGACUGGUCCCUGCUUCUGGAAUGAAUGGAAGUCUAGAAUUUUUCCAAAUCCAAUUGUCUAAUGAAUGUAACUCUGGAAUUAUUCCAAAUCCACAAGUUUCAUAAUGUUGUGUUGAUUGUGAGACAUUAUUUCAAAAACUGAAGGGGAAUAAAAUUGUCAAAAAUUCUAAUUUUACAAAUUAUUCCAAAUAAAAAAACAAUAAACAAAAUAAUAGGAAUGAAAUUCAAAAAAAUAACAAAUUAAAGGCAUGCUUUGAAAUUUUGAAGGGCUACACAUAAAAAUCAAGAAAAAAAAUAUAUUUUCGGCAACAAACCAAAAAAAUAUUUGUCACACGCGCUGCCUCACCCACGGCAGUAAUUGGUCAACAAACAUUCUGAACGUGCCACUUGAAGUGUGCGGAUCGCCCAAGAACUAACCUGUACUCAUCAGCUACUUUUUUUAAACUAUUUUUUUAAAAAAAUAAUAUUUAUAUUUAUUAAAUUAUAAAAUUGAAAAUAAACCACCCUGAUAAAAAAAAAAAAAAAAACCAAUGAAGAUAUACGAAUGCCCUUGGUUUGAACCACAAGUGACUAACUAGAUAUCUCAAUUAAUGAGAAAGGAGACUAGCAAACAGCCAAUUAGAGGAACGCCCUGCUUCUCACGUCUAAUGAAUGCAAUUGAAUGCAGGAACAGGGCCAUACUCACAAGAAAAUUAAUUACACCCGACAUCCUACUUUCUAAGUGUAAAAGCUAUAUUUCUGUGUCUAGAAAUAUCAGUUAGAUUUUUUUAUGGAAAUAUCUUGUCAAUAAAUAUCAAAAUAUUUGAUAUUGUAAUAUAGAGCAUAUAUCUAAUUAUGUUUAAUAAAGUUUUUAUUUGAAUAAAUUUUUAUUUAACCAAAUGAUUAUCCGUGCCAAUAAAACGAUGUAUAUCCAGUAUAAUUUUUUUAUUUAAUUUAUAUUUCAAAAUAUUAUGAAAUAAGAAUGCUCUUACCCAAGGUUAAAGUUCAAGCACGGUAUGAGAAGGUGGAAAAAGAUGUUGAUAACUAUUGGGGUCAUAGGUUUUCCUUCUUCUUUUUUUUGUGUCUUUGGAAAAUAGAAAUGCAAAGGACUGUCACGGAGUUUUUCCAUACCAUGCUUGGGCUUUGGAUGUAUGUUUCCUUGACAUGAGAUGAUGGCUACCUUGCUUUGGAUCCCUUGUCAACGAUGAUGCUCGUUAAUGCUAGUACAACUAUAUUUCUCUUUUCUAAAGUUAAGUACUAGGUUGAUAUCUAAAGUUAAGUACUAGGUUGAUAUCUAGAAAUAAGUACUAAGUUUUUAUUAAGAAAAAUUUUAAGGGUUUUUUUUUUUGCACUAAGGACAUGUGUGGUAAAUAUUCCCAAACCUAUUUUUCAAAGCUUUUUUUUUUUUUGUGUUUUGUCAAACUAAUCUUAGUCUAACUUUAAUUAUUUUUCAAGUUUGGAAGAGCAUUUUUGCAAUUAAUUUUUCAUUCUUUAUCCUUUUAUAUUUAAAAACAAGUUUAUUAAAUCCACAGGUAGAUGGCCUAAGUUUGAAAAACACUAAAACAUUUAACUUGUUUAUUUUAAUAUGAAUUAUGAGCUUAUACGUGAGAUUUAUUUUUGAUAUUGAAAGAAACAAAGGCAAAAAUAUGUUUUGGCUCUAUAAUGGCUAGGCUUCACCCAUAAAGCUAUUGGUUCACUUUACUGGGAUAGACUUGCUUUAAUCAAUAGACAAACCAAUGAUAAGAAAAAAACACAACAGUGUCUUAAUAAUAAUCAGACAAAUAAACAAUAUAGCUUAUCUUAGGUAUGAUGUACUAGGGGUGAUAAUAUCCAUCCUAUAUGUCGUACGUGUGCGGCGUCGCGGUGAUCGUCCACCAUCUCAAGGAAAAUGGAACGGUGUAUCCCUGGAAAAUGUGGAGAGACAAGGAAUUCCUUGUCUCUUAUUAGUAAAAUAUGGACUAGGAGUCGCCACCUAGUAUUCUGGUCAUUAGGAACCCUAACUAGUCUUAGAGAUCGAGUACGGAGACUGGUUGCGUAAAUGGAAGGUAUUAGCACCCCAACUACGCCCUACCUAAGGUAAGCUGCAUUGUUUUAAUGUCUAAUAAAAUCUAAGUUCUUAUUGUGUUUUCUAAUUGUUGGUUGUUUGUCUAAGCUUCAAGAAAAGCCCUUCUUAUUAAGAAGGUUUUUAUUUUAAUGGGGUAGAACCUAACCGUUCUAGUGUCUGAAAAAAUUUUAAUAUCUAGAAUACAUAUUACGUGUAAUGUCAUAUCCCGGAUACUAAAAGAAAAACAAAAUAAAAAUUCUAAGUACUAGGUUGAUAUCUAGAAAUAGGUUUAUCACGGUUUUAAGAAUAUCAAACACGCUAUUAAGAAAAAUUUUAAGGGUUUUUUUUUUCCACUAAAGACAUGUGUGGUAAAUAUUCCCAAACCUAUUUUUCAAAGCUUUUUUUUUUUUGUGUUUUGUCAAACUAAUCUUAGUCUAAUUUUAAUUAUUUUUCAAGUUUUGAAGAGCAUUUUUGCAAUUAAUUUUCAUUCUUUACCCUUUUAUAUUUAAAAACAAGUUUAUUAAAUCCACAGGUAUCUGGCCUAAGUUUGAAAAACACUAAAAAAAUUUAAUUUGUUUAUUUUAAUAUGAAUUAUGAGCUUAUACAUAAGAUUUAUUUUUGAUAUUGAAAGAAACAAUAGUGUCUUAGUAAUAAUAAAAAAAAUAAACAAUACAACUUAUCUUAGGUAUGAUGUACUAGGGGUGAUAAUAUUCAUCCUAUAUGUCGUACGUGUGCGGCGUCACGACGAUCGUCCACCAUCUUAAGGAAAAUGGAACGAUGUAUCCCUGGAUAAUGUGGAAAAUUCCUUGUCUCUCAUUAGUAAAAUAUGGACUGGGAGUCGCCACCUAGUAUUCUAGUCACUAGGAACCCUAACUGGUCUCAGAGAUCGGGUACAGAGACUGGUUGCGUAAAAGGAAGAUAUUAGCACCCCAACUACGCCCUACCUAAGGUAAGCUGCAUUGUUUUAAUGUCUGAUAAAAUCUAAGGUUUUGUUGUGUUUUCUAAUUGUUGGUCUGUCUAAGGUUCAAGAAAAGCCCUCCUUAUUAAGAAGAUUCUUAUCUUAAUGGUGUAGAACCUAACCGUUUUAGCGUCUGAAAACAUUUAAUAUCUGUAAUACGUUUUACGUGUAAUGUCAUACCUUGGAUACUAAAAGACAAACAAAAUAUAAAUUUUGUUAUUUUUGCAAUUUUGGCCAAUGUUCUAUUGACUUUAAUAAAGUGGUUAUUAAAGCCAAAAUACAUGCUAAAACAUUGUUUUUUUGUGUGUGAAAAAAAUAAUAUGAUUUUUUAGCUUUGAGACACUUGGCCCUAUGCACAAAAACAUUUUUUUUGUAUUUUCGAAAGUUUUGACGAAAACCGAGUAUUGUAAUACCGAAUUUGUAUUUUGUUUUUUAAAUGACAAAAUAAACAGACUCAAAUUAAUCAAAACAAAGAAGAAAAAUACCCGAAAAGCUUACAAUUUUUCAAAUGCAUUUUUGAAAAAAAAAUUUGAAUUGGGUCGGGCCCGGCCCAAUUAUUUUUCUUUGGACUAGGCUGGGCCCAAAUAUUCGGUUGGGCCAAAAUUGGCCCACCCAUGAACAAUGCUCUCCACUAUUCAUAGACUAAGCAAUGGAGGUGAGACGAAGCAGAAGAGAAAAAAAAAAGGAAGGGGGAAAGGCUGACCUGCGGCGGCACUGGUUGUGCUGCUGGUGGUUUGUGCUGGCUCUAUUUUUUUUUCUUCUCUCUCUCCUCUAUUUUUCGUUCUCUUCUCUGCUUCUUCUUCUUCUUUUUUUCUUUCGGUAUUCCCCCUCUAUUUUGCUCUCUCUCUUCUCCUCUAUCCUAUUUUUCUCUCCUUUUUUUUCCUGUGUUUUUCCUGCUCUCUCUCUUACUCUGUUUUUCUUCUUUUUUUCUAUCCUUGUGUUUCUCUCCCUCUCCUCUCUUUUUUUUUCAUCGUCCUUGUGUCUCCUUUCUCCCUUUUAUUUAUAGGGGAGAAAGGAGGCCUACACCCCUGCCUAGUCAAUGGCGCAGGGGUGUAGGGUAGACGGGGCGGCCACUGUUCAGCCGCCCCUCUACCACCCUAGGGACACCUCUCGUCCCCUAAUUCUAACAUGUGGAAAGUUGUUCGAGUGGAGGGGUUAGGUCAACAUUUUUUUGGAAGGAGUCGGUGGCGGUGACAGAGGAAGAAAAAAUAUUCUUCUUCCCCUGCUUCGCGUGUCCAGGGGAAGAAGAAGACCAUAGUGCCGUUCAAAACGACACCAUUUCGGCCUUUUUUUUUUUGGUGACCAAGUAUAUGAAACGAUGCAAUUUUUCCCAAAACACGUCAUUUCAUUUAAAUGGGAAUUGGCACAAAAACGCGUCAGAUUCAAAAUCAGGCCUUCAAUUUGCUCGUGUUUUGCAUUUUGGCCAUCAAACUUCAAUAUUUAUGCAAUUAAGCCCCUUAUUUGACCUAAUUAAAUCUCAAAAUUAUAUUUUGACCCUAGAAUUUGAAUUUCUUUCAAUUAAAGCCCAAAUUAACUCCAAAAUCAAUUUUUCUUGUAAUCAAAACCUCCAUAAAUUCAAUUAAACCUUCCAUAAAAUUUAAUUGAGUCCAGAAACAAUUGAUUUUGGACUUUUCUUCCUCAAAUUGAAUUUUCUUUGUCAACAAGGCUUUUAUCAGUCAAUAAAAUACUACUAAAUUUUGAUAUUUGUAUUUUUAAACCUCCUCUACCAAUUUUUAACCAAACAAAGGAACACGUGAAAAUCAAGAAGAGAAAAAAAGAAAAAGAAAAAGAAAAAGAAAAGUUUGUAAUAACAACCAUCUUCAACACACACCGUCUCAUCCAUGAUGACAUUUGACAAUGAAUGUCAAAUUAUAAUUUAUUUAUAUUUAUAAAAAAUUAAAUUAUAAAUUUGGUUGUCACCUGAAGUGCGCGGAGAUCGUACAUGCACUGACCUUUAUUCAUCAAUUAUUUUUUAAUAUUAUUUAUAUUUAUUAAAUUAUAAAAUUAGAAAUAAACCACCCAGAUAAAAAAAAAAAACCAAUGAAAUAUACAAACGCCCUUGGUUUGAACCACAAGUGAUUAUCUAGAUAUCUCAAUUGAUGAGAAAGCAGAAUAGGAAACAGCCAAUUAGAGGAACGCCCUGCUUCUCUAAUUGACUAAAGAAUGUAACACCGGUCCCUUGUUUGAACCACAACUGACUUACUAGAUAUCUCAAUUGAUGAGAAAGCAGACUACUAAACAGCCAACAGUGGCGGUUCUCCUCCAGCAUUACACCGUGAUGAGUGCGAGACUCUUCAAAAUUGACAAGGAAGCAGACUGGUCCCUGCUUCUGGAAUGAAUGGAACUCCAAAUCCAAUUGUCUAAUGAAUGUAACUCUGGAAUUAUUCCAAAUCCACAAGUUUCAUAAUGUUGUGUUGAUUGUGAGACAUUAUUUAAAAAACUGAAGGGGAUAAAAUUAUCAAAGAAUUCUAAUUUUAUAAAUUAUUUUAAAUAAAAAAACAAUAAUCAAAAGAAUAAGAAUCAAAUCUGAAAAAAUAAAAAAUUAAAGACGUGCUUUGAAAUUUUAAAGUGCCACACAUGAAAAUUAAAAAGAGAAAAAAUAUAUAAAAAAAAUUGUCAGCACCAAACUGAAAAGCUAUCUGCCACACAUGCUGCCUCAUCCAUGCGGCAAUGGGUCAACGAACAUCCCUGCAUGUACUUAUUAACUAUUUUUUUUAAUAUUAUUUUAUAUUUAUUAAAUUAUAAAAUUGGAAAUAAACCACCCUGAUAAAAAAAAAAAUACGCAAUGAAAAUAUACAAAUACCCUUGGUUUGAACCACAAGUGACUAACUAGAUAUCUCAAUUAAUGAGAAAGCAUACUAGUAAACAGCCAAUUAGAGGAACGCCCUGCUUCUCACUUCUAAUGAAAGCAAUUGAAUGCAGGAAUAGGGCCAUACUCACAAGAAAAUUGAUUUAUACCCGACAUGGUACUUUGUAAGUGUAAAAUCUAUAUUUCUGUGUCUAUAAAUAUUAGGUAGAUUUUUUUAUGGAAAUAUCUUGUCAAUAAAUAUCAAAAUAUUUGAUAUUGCAACACGAAGCAUAUACCUAAUUGUAUUUAAUAAUGUUUUUAUUUGAAUAAAUUUAUAUUUAACCAAAUGAUUAUCCAUGCCAAUAAAACAAUGUCUACCCAAUACAAUUUUUUUAUUUAUUUUAUAUUUCAAAAUAUUAUGAAAUGAGCAUCACUUGCCUAUAUUUAUUUAAUUAAUUAAAUUAAAUUAAAUUAAAAAAUGUCUAUAAAAAGGAGAAAUGAAAAAAAAAACAACAAAUAAAAAUACUCGAGAUAUCCUGAAUCAUUUUCAAAAUAAGUGAAAAAUCUUAUAGAAAGAAAAAAAAAUUCAAUGGAGCCCAAUAUCAAUGUAGUCAUUUUCAAAAUAAGUGAAAUAAACAUGAGCUUAAGAAAAGGGAAAAAAUCAAGCAAACUCGAGUGAACCUCCUAAACAUGAGUUAAUCUUUAAAACUCGCAACUUCUAAAAUCCUAGACUUGAACUUGAUUAAUAAGCACAAUUCUCAACUAAUUUAAUGUUGAAUAAUGAAAACAAGAAAAAAAAUCAAUUUAAAAAAAUUGCCAAAGUGAAAAAAAAUAGCAAUGAAAAGAAUGAGGGAUCAAAUCUGAUAGAAAAAAAAAACUUAUGGAGGAUGAUAUUGUAAAAAAAAAUCAAAAUAAAAAAUUAUCUCAAAUAAAAAAAUAGUAAUCAAAAGAAUAGAAACAAAAUUUGAAAAAUAAAAAAAUUGAAGGGGGAUUAAAUUGUUAAAGAAUUCUAAUUUAAUAAAUUAUUCCAAACAAAACAAACAAUAAUUAAAAGAACAAGCACCUAAUCUGAAGGAAUAACAAAUUGAAGGCAUGAUUUGAAAUUUUGAAGGGGCACAAGCGAGAAUCAAGGAGAGAGGAAAGAAAAGGAGAAAGAAAAGGUUCGACACCAAACCGAACAACCAGUUCACUUGGGAUUACCAAAUAGUCGACCAGACCAACUUAAAUACUAGAUUUUGAUAAUUUAAACCUGCUGAAUCUUGAACUGAUACUCAUCCUAUAUACAUAUAGAGUGAAGUGUUUGAGUUCAUUUUAAUUGUGCUAUUAAGAUAAAAUAUAAAGAUUUACAUAAUCACUGAAAUGAACAUUUAACUCUUACUCUUCACUUGUUUUGCAUCUUGGACAUCUUCAUUAAUUUUUUCAUGACAUUUUUCAUGCUUGUUGAUGUCAAAACUCAUUUUUGGGUUAUUCCCCACCCUUUUUUACCUUAUUCCUUUUCAAAAUAAAAAUAAAAUAAUAGUCACAAGGAGACUAGCGACGUUGAAAAUGUUGGCUGAGGAAGGAUUUUAAAUAUAGAAAAAUUAAAGUUUUGGAGUCAAUUAAGGGCUGCAUUUAUGAAAUUUUCAGCCAAGGACCAUUUUGAAAAAACUAAUUAGGGACUUGAUUGAAGAAAUCUAAAACCAAGGACCAAACUGGAAAAGGAGCAUGAAUAUAGGGGUUGAAAUUGAUUGAAUCAGGGACCAAAUUGAAGAAAUUGGAAGUUUGUUGAUCAAUUAAAGGUCAAAAUGCACAAAUUCAAAACCGAUCAAAGUAAAAAAGGCAAGCAACUUCAGGGCUGAAAUUUGAAUUUGACAGAGAUACAAUUGAAUUAAUUCUUAAAAUCAAAAUCUAAAUUGAUUAUAGGCAAAGGAAAAAGGUUUUUUCCUCCUCCUUUGCAGCACACCUCUCUCUCUCUCUCUCUCUCUCUCUCCCCCCCACUUGCCUAAAAACCCUGACACAACCCACACGUCCUUAUGGCCUACCACCAUGAUGAAAGGGGCAAAGGGGACAAGCCUUACAGGCGAUUCUGGGCAUCGUCCCAGCUACCCUACCCCAUCGCCAUAACUAGAUUGGGGUAGGGCAGCUCCCCACCGCCCUUUAUAAAUACCAUCCUUACCAGGAGGUUGAGGGGUAAAAAAAAGAAAGAAAACAAAAGGAAAAAAGAAAAAGGAACGAAACAAAAAAGAAAAGGAAAGAAAGAAAAACAAGGGAAAACAAAGGAAAGAAAGGGAAGAAAAAGAAAAACAAAGAAAAAAAAGGAAAGAAAUGGAAGGAACACUCUUUGCCCUUUACUCGGAGAAGAAAAGGAACCUUGUCUCCCCCUCUCUAUUGCCAGUUAGUAGCACAGUAACAAUUUAAUGGUAUUUUAGGCUUGGUCUAGCCUUAUAUAUAUAUAUAUAUAUAUAUAUAUAUAUAUAAGAAUAUGUUGGGUCGACAUCGGCCCAACUCUUUUGGGCUGACCUUGACCCAAUUUCUUUUGGUUUAUAUUUUUACACUGUAAAGAUACAUAUUCGUUAUUAAAAUACCUGUUUUUUUUUUCUCUAAAAUGUUGCAAACACAAAUAUAUAGAAAACAAUAAAAAACAAUAUCUUGUUUUCAUGCAUAGUGUCAAGUCUCUCAAAAAUAUAAUAAAUUUCAUAUUGUAUUUUCAUACAAAAUAAAAUUAAAAAAUAUAUGUGUUAGCAUGCAUUUUGGGCUUUAAUAACCAGUUUAUCAAAGUAAUGAGAACUACAACUAUAUUUUAAAAAUAUUUUGUUUUCUUUUAGUAUCUAGGAUUAUAAACUUAUACAUAAGAAGUAUUCUUGAUAUUAAAUAAAAAUGUAGUUCUUUUUUUAUUAUCGACAUUAGAACGGUUAUGUUUUUACCUAAUAAAAUAAAGAUCUCCUUACUGAGAAAGACUUUUCUUAAACCUUAGAUUGACCAACAAUUAGAAAACACAACAAUACGUUAGUUAUAUCAGACAAUUAAACAAUGCAGAUUACCUUAGGUAAGGUUUAUAAGGGGUGCUAGUACCUUAUGUGAAACCUCAAAAAUUUAUAAUUUAGAUAUGUAGAUGACUCAGUGGAAACUCUAUAAAACCCCAACAAAAGACUUCACCAUGAUGAAUUGAAUAAUGAGAAAUAAAAUAGAAAUGGUGGUAAACUGUAAACCCCCAAUCAAAUUUCAUGAUAUUAAUAAAUUUGUUGCGAUGUCGCGGUCGAACAAAUUAAUUACCCUAGCUUAAAACACAACACACAAGAUAGUAUAGAGAAAGCAAGGGGUUGAUCCCACGAGGAAGGUUUAGUUCAUAUUGUUAUGCUAUACGUUAUGUAAUUGGGGGGGUUUGGUUUGUAAUGAUUUAAACUAUGGCAGAAAUUAAACUAGCAAACAAAAUCAAUUGAAACUGAAAUAUAUCUAGAAAACAAACCUUGGUUGCAAGCACACGGAUACCAACGGAAAUUAGAACCGAUCCUUGAAAUGAAACUCCAGUUUAUAUUAUGAAUUUUAUCUUUUCUUAAUAUUGGUUAAUUAACGGAUCCGCUGUAUAACUAGCCCUAACCAACAAACAAUCACAGUGUCUGCACUAAUGAUUUAAUCCAAUGGCAGCCUUAAGAUCCAGAUAAAUUCAUUAAUCUUAACAACCAAGUUGUCAAUUUGUGUUGCUAUGAUCGAAUGCUUUUCCUAUGUUUAAUAACAUAGUUCCGCUACAAUUAUCAAGCUUAGUUGCUUCACAAGUUUAUAUACCACAACUCCGGUUUUGAUAUCAAACUUAGCAAUACAUUGUUCACAAUAAUAACUUAGAGUCCGCUCUAGCAAUUAAGAUAAACAAUCAUAGGAAAUAUGCAUAGGAAAACAAACAUACUCAUUCAUAACAUAAACUGAAAAUAAAAGGAAGAAUAAAUCUCACGGUUCUUGAAAUCCGAAGGUUUGUUGUAUCCUUGCAACCAACAAAACGAGCUUAGUCUUGCAUAUCUAUUGAACAACUACUCCUAAAGAUGGAAGAAUACAUGAUUUCUGAUUUGUAGAGGGGAGAGUUUGUGUUUCUUCUCUUCUUGCUGCUACCUCCUUCUACUCACCCUCUAUUUAUACACAAAUUGUAAGUAAGAAAAUCAAAGUUCAAGUGUGAACAUCAAUAGAUGGUGGUAGUGUGAAGGCAGCUCGCGGCUGGCUGACUUGAGGUUGGUGGCUGGCUGCUGGCUGACUUGAGGUUGGUGGUUGCCUUGAGGUUGGUGGCUGCCUUCCUUGACCUUCUAGAAUAUUUACUAGAGGAGCUAAAUUGCUGGUCGGUUUGGAUGCUUCUGGAUGAAAUUUGGAUUCGUUUCUUCACGCAACCUGCUUGCUGGCAGAAUUCAGCUGUCAUCUUUGAAAACUCAUAUCUCCCUCAUAUGCCAUCGUUUUUGGCUGACAUUUGGAGCGUUUAUAGAUCUUUUAGUACGGAAUCCAACAAAAUUGAGUUUGAAUCAAUUAAACUUCUGAAGCUCCAGAUAUUGAAUUUUGAAUAGGCAAAGGUCAACAUUGGCAGACUGCAAGAUUUGACUUUGAAGGAUGUGAUUUCCAUGAUAUUUCUCUUUUUAUUUUUCUUGCAUUACAUUUCCAGAAAGGUAUGGAUGUUAUCUUUUUAAUGCCACUGGAAUCACUUCAUUUCGAUCUCUGGAAGUCACGCUCUGCACAAAAUAUCGACUGAACGUCAAAUCUGCCAAUUACCUCCAAUUUACUCCUUUUUGUAUCUUUCAUCCAAAAAUGCCUUCAAAACAUAAACAAAGAAUAUCAAGACAUUUUAUAUAAAUAACAUAUGCAAAACACUAGUUAAAUACGGGUGAAACUAUCGAAUAAUAUGGUUAUAUCAACCCCCAAUCAAAUUUCAUGAUAUUAAUAAAAUUAUUAAUAAUUCUGAACCAAAAAUGGGAUGAGCUAGUUAAAAUAAAAUAAAAUGAAAUAGUAUUGAAUUAUUAGAAAAGAAAUUUUAGAGAGAGAUUUUUUUGCAUGGUAUUUUAAAAGCGGACCGAGAAAAGGCAUUUGGUUGAAUGAAAAGAUACCUAAACUUCAUAUAAGGGUGUUUUAGUAAAUAUAGAUAUAUUUGCUAUAUAAAUAGCAAAAUUAUAUAGAAAUUAACUAGGAGGGCCGAAUGAAAGGAAAAAGAAAAAGGAGAGAGAGAGAGAGAGAGUACCUUAAGAACAUAAAUUCAAACAACCAUAUCUCUGAAUUGCACCUUUGCAUUGGUCUGGUUUUGGGAUAUAUUAUGCUUCUCACCACCCUCUAACAUCUGACUGUUGGGAUCUAAAUGUUCUGGUAUGAUGUGAGAGAUAUACCCCUCGCAACAUUUCAAGGAAAAUUUACCUGCAGGUCAGUCAUGGACUCUAGAAGUUUCCAUAUUUAUACACCGUUGGAUCCUGCUCAAGUUUUGAUAUGUAGAUCAUAUUGACGAGCUUUUCAUUAUGAACAAUGGAGAUCGGGAUUAUAGACUCCAAUAAGAAGUUAGUCAUCGGAGAACAAUAUAUUGUAAAUUUUCAGGUCCGUUUUGGUUUUGUCUUGAUCUAGGAAGAUGUAACCGUGAAAAUACUAUGAUGUUUUGGUAUGUGUUUCAUGUUAUAAUGGUGGUUAACUUCACCGUUUGGAUUGUAUUCAUUCAGAUUGAGUUGGGAGAAACUUGAACCUUAAUGAAACAUUUGUUUAAAUUAGGUUAACAGAAAUGAAAUGAAUGGAAAGUGUGGUAGCUUGAUUUGUGUUUAACCAUCAAAAGCAUGCUAAUUAUGAUUUAAAUUGAAUAAAAUCCUUAGUGUCUUUCCUUAUCUCAUUCUUUCGGAAUUGUCGCAUGUCAAAAUCCACGCGGCAUCGGCUUGUCGAUUUUUCAUUUUGUUUGAUCGAUUUGGUUUGUUGGAGUCGCCACUUAGUAUUUAAUUGAAGGCUACUAGGAAGCUCGGGUGCUGGUCUUGUCAGAGAUUAACGGGUAAGAGACUAGUUGUGGUUAGGGAAGGUAUUAGCACACUUAACACCCCCUACCUGAGGUAAGCUGCUUCGUUAGAUUGACUGACAAAAAGCUAAGGUGUUAUUGUAUUUAUUGGUCUGUCUACAGUUCAAGAAAAGUCCUCCUUAGUAAAGAGAUCCUUAUCUUAUCGCGUAAAACCUAACUGUUCUAACGUCUAUAUAAAAACUAUAUUUUUAAUAUCAAGAAUAUGUUUUACGUAUAAAUUCGUAAUCCCCGAUACUAAAAGAAAACAAAAAGAUUUUUUAGAAUUUUUGAAAUAUUAGCCUAGUUCUUGUGGUUCUAACAAACUUGUUGUUAAAGCCAAAGUGCAUGCUAAUACAUAUAUUUUUGAAAUUUCUUUUGUUGUAUGAAAAUAUGAUGUGAUGAUUUUAUUUAUUUAUUUUGGAGAGACUAGGUCGUACGCAUUAAAACAAAAACAUUUAUAUAUAUAUAUAUAUAUAUAUAUACAUAUAUAUAUUUGAUGUCUUUGAUGAAAACCGGGUAUUUAAUACUGGAUUUGUAUCUUUACGGUAUAAAAAUACAAACCAAUAUUAACCAAUUUUGAUAAAAAUAUGCAGGAAAAUCAACAAUUUUUUUAAGGAUUUUUCAGAAGUUUGAAAACAAAACAUUUUUUUAUUUUUUGAUGUCUUGACGAAAACCAAGUAUUUUUAAUACUGGAUUUGUAUCUUUACGGUAUAAAAAUACAAACCACAAUUAAAAUUUUUUGAUAAAAAUAUGCAGGAAAAUUAAAAAAUUGUUUUAAGGAUUUUUUUUAGAAUUUUUAUUUUUAUUAUAUAUAUAUAUAUAUAAUAUUAAAUGGGUUGGGCGGGCCCAACUAACUGGGCCGGACUCAGCCCCAAAAGGGUUAGGCCGAUCUCGGCCCAAAAAGGGUUGGGUUGAUCUUGGCCUAGAAGUUCACUCUGCCUCUUUGGGUCUCGGCCGGACCCGUUCCAGACAUGAAGUGUUAAUUUAAGUUCAUUUUAAUUGUGUCAUUAAGCUAAAAUAGAAAUAUUUACAUAAUUAUUAAAAUGAACAAUUAAUCUUAGAUUCUCAUUUAAUCUUUAUUUGCUUUGCUUCGGUGGAUAGGUUUUAGAGAAGAAGAAGACUAUUUUUUAUUCUACACUUUCACUCAAUUUUUUCCCUUUCUCUAUCUUAAGUUUUUCUUCUAGGGUUGCUAGGGUUUCUUACCCACCUUUUGUUUUCCCUCUAAUUUUUCUUUGGAGGCCAGAGUUUUUUUUACACCUCCCCCUUUUUCUUACCUUGCUUUUCUAUUUAUAGGCAAUGGGUAGGUUCUAGAAUCUUUAUAGCUAGAACACUCAUAUCCUUCGAUUUUUUAGGUUAAAUUUGGACCCUUAAUCAUUGUUGUAUAUAUUUGGCACAACAUGCUCGUGUUCUAUAAAGCUCACACCAAAUCUUAAUCAUAAAGAGUGGGAUGAGAGAGAGAAAAAGGAAAAAGAGAAGAAGAAAAAUGGGGCUGAAAAACUUAACUGCUAUUUUUCAAAAUCAGACGACCCGUUUCCUUUCAAAGGGUAGCCAAAAAGCUCCCAUGCACACUCUUUAGCGAGCUUCUUCUUUACAAAAAAAAAAAAAAAAAAACUAAAAAAUUGGAUCGUCAUUUUCAAACCACCUUCUAGCUAUAACUGGAAACAAAAAAAACAAUACAGCCUCUCUCAUCAGCGCUGUCUCUUUUCGCCACCCUCGAGUUACUAUCUUGCCCCACGUUGAUUCCAGGAACCAUAGCCGCUGCUUCCACAGUACCAUUAAACUGAGGUGUUCAUUACCGGAAUCAUAACCCACGGCAGGCCAGGAUCCCACUCACAUCGUCCAUGUGCAUCUUCAGCGUGCUCGUUCUACACUCUUGCCUCAGACCUCUCUGGACUUAGCUUUAUUCAAGCACUAGCCACUGAAAAAAAGAGUGAAGAAGAGGUACGGGAUAUCCAGUGGAGCUGUCUCCAUCAUAAUCACUCAAGGUAUAAAGCUUCUACCUAUUCUCAUUUAGUUGUAAUCUUUUACAUGUGCAUGCUACUGCAAAGGCUAGCUCCCGUUUUUCCUUUAUGUGCUAUGAAGUUAACAUAUAGUGUUGUAAGGUGCGUGGAUCUUUUAAGUCCUAACCUGGGCACGGGUGUUCUUUCACUUGCUACGGAUACUGAAUAGGAUGGGGUGUGAUUUUUGCUUCAAACGCAUAAGGUCUUGAAAACUUGAUUGCAUGUCCCAAGUUUAAAGUUCAAGAACGGUAUGAGCAGGUGGAAAAAGAUGUUGAUAACUAUAGGUUUUCCUUCUUUUUUAUUUGUGUUUUGAGAAUAAAAAUGCAUAGGACUCUCAGGGAGUUUUUUCAUACCAUGCUUGGGCUUUGGAUGCAUUUUCCUUGACAUGAGAUGAUGGCUACCUUGCUUUGGAUCCCUUGUUAACGAUGAUGCAUGAACCAGGCAUGGAAAUCUUCAAUGACUAUCGUGCAUGAUUUUUAUGUUCAAAAGAUCCAGUACUCUAGCUGUGCAUAAUUAUUGGCCAAGCCGUAAAUAAAAUGAUUUUUGGUUGAAGAAGAAUCGGUAUGUGCAAGGGUUUCUGGAUCAUUUCUUUUUACUGUCCCAUGGCUUUUCGUUAAUGCUAGUACAGCUAUAUUUCUCUUUUCUAAUGUUAAGUAGGUUGAUAUCUAGAAAUAAGUUUAUCACGGGUUUAAGAAUAUCAAAGACAAGAAAAGAAAAGCUAAAAAAAAGAAGCUUUUAAGGCACAAACACGCUAUUAAGACAAAUUUUAAGGUUUUUUUUUUUUUUCACUAACGACAUGUCUGGUAAAUAUGCCCAAACCUAUUUUUCUCAGCCUUUAUUUAUUUAUUUAUUGUGUUUACACAUACUAGUCUAAUUUUAAUUAUUUUUCAUGUUUUGAAGAGCGUUUUUGCAAUUAAUUUUUCAUUCUUUACCCUUUUAUAUUUAAAAACAAGUUUAUUAAAACCAUAUAAAUUUGAUUUAAGUUUGAAAAACAUUAAAAAAAAUAAUUUAUUUAUUUUAAUAUAAUGAAUUAUUAGUUUAUACAUAAAAUGUAUUAUCAAUAUAAAAAUAUGUUUUGACUCUAGAAUAACUAGACUUGACUCAUAAAAAUAUGAAUAUACUCUACUGGGAUAGACUUGCUUUAACCAAUAAAUAGACCAAUAAUUAGAAAAACACAACAAUACCUAAUUAGUUAUAAUCAGAUAAAUAAACAAUACAACUUAUAUUAAAUGAUCACAAUGAUGCUACAACCAUGCUACAUUCAACAUUGUACUUUCCAUGAGUUAUCUUUUCUAUUUUUCAAUUCCUCUUCCCCACUUAAUGUGUUAUUUUUUUAAUAAUCUUCAAAGCUAGCUUAGAUUAUAUGAUCAUAAUAACUCCACAAAAAAAAAAGCUAAAUUUAUUUAUAAAAUGAGCAUGGCAUGCUUACCAUUCAAACCAGUAAAAAAUCCCAUAAAAGAUUAGCACCUGAUGACAAUGUUUUGAAAUUGAAUUCGACACUCCAUCUACUUAGUACAUAUAUGUUGAAGGAUUGCAACCUUCAUCAAUGAACUGAAAAUAUCAUUAAUUUAUAAUGAAUGGCAUAUAGUUUUACUAUAUCACCAGCAUGAAAAUUGAUAAUCGGUCCUUUUGGGAUAUGUCAAUCCCAAAUCUAUUAUUCCAUUUCUUUAUUAAUUAUCAUAAAAACAUUUAUUAAAGGUGUUGUCCUCCAACUCUUUCCAUAAAAAGAAAGAGUUGUGAACCACCACAUUUGAUCAUGGACAAAAGGUAAUCAAAUAGUUGCCUCCACUAGGACAGGUAAACGUGCUCGUUUUAUCAUCAUAAGCAUAACUAUAAGCUU
Molecule: long non-coding RNA, 140587 nt
Filed under: Populus tremula
Lineage: Eukaryota; Viridiplantae; Streptophyta; Magnoliopsida; Malpighiales; Salicaceae
Description: long non-coding RNA (PTRE_LNC000145)
Rfam family: MIR2912 microRNA precursor family (bases 6768-6921)
Source: RNAcentral